AAGUGGUCUUGGCCCAAGAAGUGAAUAAAAUGGUCCAAGUGGCCUGAUCCAUUAAGAAACCAGAAAAUGCAUUUUGCAUAUCAGUCCCUGAAUUUCCCCUUGACUGUACUGUGGCCCUGGAUAUUUUUAACUUCUUUCGAUUAUGUCCCUAGCUUAAUUGCAAAUAGGUCCCUAAACUUUAUUUUUCUUUGAUUUUGACCUCAAAGCUUUGUUAAUUUUUGCAAUCAAGUCCUUUCUUCUUUUGGCUUCUUAAAUGUAGGUUGUCUACAUGAUUUAAUUGAUUCAAAUUCAUGUUUGUUUUUGUCAUUUGUGAUUAUUUGUCAAAUAAAUUGGCACCUUGACUCCUUUAUUAUUUUGGAGGGUAAAUAAGUUGAUUUCGCUCCAUUAGAGCUUCAUUUCAAGGGAGGUAUAAUUUCUUUUAUCCCUUUUGUGUCUCCUAUGUGAUCCAAUGUGCUAAGUGUGAAUCGCAUGCCUAAUUUGCUUUCAUUACCAUUCUUUAGUUUCCAUUAUUUCAUUCAUUCUUGCUUUUAUUAAAUUAUUCUUUUAAAUGGGGUAUGUGUACACCUCUUGGCUUGUAAUAGAUAGGGUUGUGGCGAGCAAUUUGAUCCAUUUUCCUUUUCCCCUUUUGUUUUAGUUAGCAAAUGUAAUAAGUUCAUUGCUUGCUUUCGUUGCUACGUGUUUAAUCGCUUUAUUAGGUCCUUGCAUCUAGUCAAGCAUGCUAAGUGUUAUGUGCUACGUGUUUAUAAGUGAUUCGCAUGUCUACUCGCUUUUUAUAGUCAUGAAUGAAUGUGAUGGAUGAAUGGACGUCACCACACUAGUCCAAUGCUAGUUGUGGCCCCCUUUCCCGUCACCACACUAGUCCAACGCUAGUUGUGGUCCCUUGUUACGUUCCACUAGUCCAACGCUAGUAGGAACUCAUAGAAAGGGCUAGUCCAACACUAGACCCAAUAGGUCCAUUUCCUUUUCAUUCGUGCAUAGUUUGCAUGUUCACUACAUAUCAUGCAAUUUUCCUUAGUUUUAUCAUUUGGCAUGCUCCUCUAAACCUUUCCCCUUCACUUUAGGUCUUGCAUUUCAUGCUAGUUAGGGUACAUUUGCUUGAAGUGUCCCCUCCGAUUAGGGAAACGAGCGAGUGUGGCUACUCGAUAGCCUUAGCACGCUAGUUUUGCCUUCUAAUCAAAGGAAAAAUCGAAGUCGAAAAAGUUAGGAGUCAUUCCCAUACCCGACCUGAUGCAUUCCUUUAGACUCAUUCAUUCUCAAUUUUUCACUUACUCACUUUUUCAAUUCACAUUACUUUUUCCUUUCCUUAUUGUUUAAUUUGAUUUCUACUUCACAAAACUGCACUUAAUUACACCUAUAUGCACUUAUCACUAUAUUUCAUACACUUGCACACAGACACUUGGAUUUUUCAUACAAUUUCACACAUGCACCUUUUCAUACACUUGCACACAAACACUUGGAUUUUUCAUACAAUUUCACACGUUCACCUUUUUAUACACUUGCACACUUGCACUUUAGCCAUCAUUUGCAUUAAUCGACCUCUAUAAGGUUUUCCUUUAUUGGCCGCCACAAUUCAUGUGGUUGGGACCAAGAACCUUACAAGAGACAUUUUAGAAUUUAGGUUUGCAUUUUUCCUUCAUUUUGCAUUCAUGUAGUGCAUCCAAAUGUAAUAAAUUCUUUGGUUAAAAUAAGAAAAACUUUGAUUGAAUCACGCAACUAGCUUUGGCUAGGUCGGAGGGGUGCCUUGGAUUUUUAUCCUUGCCUUCCCCUUCGUCAAAUGUGACUCCCGAACCUUUUUCAUUGGUUUACGUGGACUAGGAGUCGUUUAAAAGGGGUUUCUUACAACUUUUUUCCUAAAAAAUUCAUUUUUGGGUGACUUGGUACACCCUAACUCUAUACCAAGUGGCGACUCCAUUUCUCAUAUAAAACCCUUUUUGAACUAUUUUUCUUGGGUCAAAUCGUCGCAUUUUCAAAAGUCCCAUUUAGACCCACUUUUUCUUUUAAAUCACAAUUCAUUUUUCAAUCAUAAAUUGAAUCAAAAAAUACAUCUUUCUCAAACCAUUUUAUUUAUUUUAUCAAAAAAUGGGGCGCGACAGGCAGGCUCGGGUUUUAUCCCACUGACCGCUUUCAUUUUCGUUGGGCACGGGUUUUAUCCCUCCGACCUCGGCAGGCUCGGGUUUUAUCCCACUGGCCGCUUUCAUUUUCGUUGGGCAUGGGUUUUAUCCCUCCGAUCUCGGCAGGCUCGGGUUUUAUCCCACUGACCGCUUUUACUUUCGUUGGGCACGGGUUUUAUCCCUCCGACCUCGGCAGGCUCGGGUUUGAUCCUACUGUCCGAUUGUCAAAAGCAUUUUAUUGCUACUGGAGCUGGGUUUGUCCCGCCAGUAAGCAUCUCAUUCUCAUUGCUAUUGGAGCUGGGUUUGUCCCGCCAGUAAGCAUUUCAUUUGCAUCACUAACAAACAUGGGUCAGUUCCAUUAACACUUCAUUUCACUUCUUUCAUUUGUAUCACUAACAAACAUGGGUCAGUCCCAUUAACACUUCAUUUCACUUCUUUCAUUUGCAUCACUAACAAACAUGGGUCAGUUCCAUUAACACUUCAUUUCACUUCUUUCAUUUGUAUCACUAACAAACAUGGGUCAGUCACAUUAACACUUCAUUUCACUUCUUUCAUUUGCAUCACCAAUAAACAUGGGUCAAUCCCACCAACACUCCAUCUCACUUCAAUUCAUCUGAUUUUAAUUUCUGUUCGGGUCAGUCCCGUUUAAAUUUCUGUUCGGGUCAGUCCCGUUUAAAUUCUUGUUCGAGUCAGUCCCGUUUAAAUUCUGUUCGGGUCAGUCCCGUUUCAAUUCCUGUUCGGGUCAGUCCCGUUUAAAUUCUUUUUGUUCGGGUCAGUCCCGUUUAAAUUCUGUUCGGGUCAGUCCCGUUUAAUUCCUGUUCGGGUCAGUCCCGUUUAAAUUUCUGUCUCGAGUCAGUCCCGAUUUUAAAAUUUCCUGUCAGGGGUCAGUCCCCAUCAUUUGAGUAAUUCGCAGCCGAAUAACGCAGGUAAGUAUUUGGUGUCUACUUCUUUGUCUCAAGUUUUUUCAAAACUCAGACAAAGAGGGGCAAACUGUAGACACCAAAUUUUUGGUGUAAUUUCAUUUGUUGUUUUUUAUUUGUCGUGUUCGUUUUUUAGUUUUUAGUUUCUAGUUUUAUUUUUUAUUUUUAAGUUUUAGCAUAGAAUUUCUUGAAAAAAAAAGGAAAAAGAAAAAGGAAAAACAUUCAAAAAAUAUGCUUUAGUCGUUUUCUUUCUUAUUUAAAUUCAAUGUUUUCUUGAAAAAUAAAAAAAAAGAGAGGAAAAAGAGGAAAAAGAGAAAAUUGUUCACAAAAUAUGUUUAUUUCUUUUAAAUUCAACCUUUUGUCAUUUUAUUUAUUUUUAUUAAGUUAUUUUGAAAAAAAGAGAGAAAAAAGAGAAAAAUGAUGAAAAAUGAAAAAUGAAAGAAAAAUUGAAAAAUGACCAUUUUUGUUGUUUCCAUUUGUUUAGUUUUUUAAUUAAUUAGUUUUUAUUAUUAUUACCUGGUUUUUGUCAUUUUGUUAUUAUUAUUAUAUUCUGUAAUUAUCAGGUAAAAAAAAAACAAAAAACAAAAAAAAACGCAGCAUGCAAGCUGCAUUUUGUUGCAGCUUGCAAAGAAAGGUUGAGAUGGCUCCUUUGGCUGCAAAUAUGGAAAGAUGAUGAGUUGGUUUAGGGAUUGGAGAGGCCUCAUAUAAAUAGAUAAAGGAAAGGCAGCCGGCAGAGGGGGAGGAGAUGAAAAGCAACGGCUGGAAAAAGAAACUAAUGAGAGGGGUUUUCUGGAGAGAGCUAGUGGAGAUGAAAAGUGACGGCUAAGGGGGGUUGGGAAGAGAAAACCAGAGAGAGCUGGAGUUGGUGGCUGAAUGAAAGAAAGGCUAAGAGAGAGUGAAAGAGAGGGGACAGCCGCAAAGGAGAGAGAGAGCAAGGGGGGUGGCGGCUGAGAUUGUGAGGAAAAGAAAAGGAGAGGUAGAGAAACGGCAAGAAAAGAAAAAGUUUGAGAGGGGGCGGCUGUAAAAAUCUGGAAAACGGCAAAAGAAAGAAACAGAGCAAGAGUGAAGUAGAGAAAGGAAACUUACGGUAAAGGAAAAAGAAGAGGGGAGCGGCAGCUGAACAAGAAGAAACGUUGCUGAGUUCCAGAAAUUUCUUCACCAGAAAUCUGUGGCGUUGAAGUCGACAUCCUCACGCAAGUUCUUCGAUUUAUGCUUGGUUCACGGGAUCCCAUACGGUGCUAAAGGUAAUCCCUUUACUUCAUAUCUUCUAGCAAGCCCAGCAGAUUGUAUAGUCUUUCUUUUUUCCAUUAGAUUUUCACGAUCUUUAAUCUGAUCCGCAAGAUCACGGUAGGAAGUUGCAGGUUUGACAUGUUUUGAUAUGAUGUGUUUAUCUUGUUUUGAUGUUCUGGGUUUGCUUUCUGGAAGUUGGGAUUGAAGAUUUAGAGAUUGUUUGUCGGAAAAAUUAGACUUGUUUGAGUGUUUUUUUUUUGAUCAUACACGCCUGGUAUUCUAUUCCUUCAUGGCUGUUUUGACGAAUAAAGUUGCUGAAGAAGUAUGGAAUUUCUGGAAUGGAUUUUUGUAUGUUGAAAUAUUGGAUGUUGUUUUCUUGCUAGCAAUCUAAAAGCUUAUGAUGUUGGUUCUUGUGAUGUUGGUUAAAUGGUGCUCAAGGUUUGUGAUUGAGGCUGAAGCCUGCGCACGAAAAUGAAGAGUCUUUGCUGCAUUAUCAUGUUUCGAGACCUUGUUGAACCUUCCCACUCCCUUUUGUCCCAGAUUCAUGUGUAUCAAUAAGUCAUGGCAUGUUUUGGGUUAUUUUGUUUUUCUUUUCAUGGUUUCUAGUUAAAAAUAUUAGCAUCAAUCUGAGCAACUAAAAAUGUUGCAGCAAUGCUGAUAGCUCACGUUACUUGUCGCGUUCCAGGCCUGCAACUUUUUGUUAUACUGUCUUCCUUCCCAUCAUUCCUGUUUGUCCAUUUGCUUAAGUAGCUGUUGUCUUGAGAGGUUGUCUUGGCCAGCAUUGGUUGUUUGAGAUAUGUUCUUGCAUUUUAAGUGGUGUGUUAUGAUAUGCUUGCUGGCAUUUAAAAGAAGAAACAAGGGGCACAAUGCCAGGCUGCAAUACUAGCCGCAAUACUGGUUUUUGUUUUGCAGCUAUAGCUACUUUGGUUUUGUUUUGUUUUUCUGUUUGGCCGCAAGUUUUGAUUUGCAGAAAUUUGAGGUUCACAAGCGAUAGUUUAGGGUGCAACAUUGAUUUCAUGUUCUAGGUUCGAUUUUGGGUAAAGAGUAAGCACUAGGAUGUUUCAUUGUAAAUGUUAACAUGUUUUUUUCCUCAUUAUUUGUUUCUUUCCUGCUCCACAGAAGUUUUGUUGGCAAGAGUUGGGUAGUCUAGUUCAUUUUCUUGAUGUCCGUUCAUGCUAAAAGGAUACGUAAGAAAUCUUGUUGUUUGGUUUAAGUUGAGUUGUUGGAUCCUUUGGGUUACUCUGUACAAGUACAUCUCGGCUGAAUGAGCUGCAAAAUUGCAGAAAGAAGAAAUCAGCAGAAACAAAGAAAGUGCCGUAUGCAUGCAUGUAAGUUUUCAUAAACAUUGCACUUUGAUCCCCCAAGUCCCCCUUUGUUCCACUGUGGCCCAAAUAAUUGGAAAAACUAAUCAAUUUGGUCCUUGUAAUUUUGCAGCAAUGCUAUAAAGACUCAAUUGAGUUCUAGUAGCUUGUAAUUAGGUCCUAAGGUAUUUGCAUUUCAAUCAUUAUUUGGCUCUUUUAUUAUUUUUGGGACCUUUGAAGUUCUUGAAUGUUUCGAUUGGACUCGAAUGAUUGAUUAAUAUUUGCAAUUGGGUCCUAAAAAUGCAUUUUUGAGCCAUAACUUGACUUUUUCUUUGCCCUUGGACCUUUGAAACUCUUAAAAAUGUUUAAUUAGGCUUGAGUGCUUGGCUAAUGUUCGCAAUUGAGUCCUUGGUAGCUUUAAUUUUUCAACUUGAUUGUUUGUUUGCUUUCAUUAAUUACCAUGUUUUGUUAGGUUGUAUUUAAUACAUGAAUUGGUGAACUUUGAAUCUAAAUGAGCUUUGUUUUGCACAUUUUCUUUAAUUUUCCCAAAUAAAUUGGUACCUUGACCAUUUCUUUUAUUUUGGAGGAUAAAUAAGCCAUUUUUUCUUUCAUUUGGGUACCAUUCCAAGGGAGGUAUAACUUCUUUUAUCUUUUUGUUUCUCUCCUAUGUGAUCCAACGUGCUAAGUGAGAAUGGCAUGUCUAAAUUGCUUUCCUUGCCUUUCUUUAGUUCCUUUAUUUCAUUUACUCUUACUUUUUGUUAAGUUAUUCUUUUAUGGGGUAUGUGUACACCUCUUGGCUUGUAAUAGAUAGGGCUUGGAGGAGCAUUUGAUGAAGACCUAUUGAAGACGUGUGCCUAGCUAGCAAAUGUAAUAGAUUUAUUAGUUUGGUUGCUUACCUUUGUUGCUAUGUGUUAUUUGCUUUAUUAGGCUCUUGCAUCUAGUCGAGCAUGCUAAGUGUUAUGUGCUAUGUGUUUAUGAGUGUUUGGCAUGUCUACUUGGUUUCUAUAGCCAUGAAUGAAUGUGAUGGAUGAAUGUACGUUUCCACUAGUCCAACGCUAGUCGGAAUUCAUAGAAUGGGCUAGUCCAACGCUAGACCCUUAGGGAUUUCCCCUCGUUAGUACAUAUUUGCAUGUUCAUUACAUGUCAUGCAUUCUUUUUAGUUUUAUCAUUUUGCAUGCCCCUCGAACCCAUUUUCCCUCCAUUUUAGGAUUUUUGCAUUUCAUGCUAGUUAUAGGGUUCAUUUGCUUGAGAGUCCCCUUAAAUAUAGGAUAUAGACGAGUGUGGCUUUUUUUAAGCCUUAGCACGCUUGUAUCCUCUCUAUAAAAAGGGCAAAUUGAGUCACGAUUUAGGUCUCCCCGUACCCAAUAUGCCUAAAUUCCCUAGGCUCAUGCAUUUUUAAAUCCACUCUACCAUUUUAUACCUUCAUCACACUUUCAUUUUUCCUCCCAUUUUUCACACGUGCACCUUUAUGUUUCUUCAUUUGCACACGAACACUUUUAUCAUCACUUGCACACAUGUACUUCAUAUUAUCAUUUCACAUACCGUAUCUUCCCCACUCAUGUGCACAUUUUCAUUUACAUAUUUAUUGUCUUUUAUUACUUUUUCAAACUCAAGCCCUCACAUUGCAUACAUGCAUUCCAUUCAUUUGCAUCCCACUCGCAUUAUUCGUGACUUCUUCAAAGGAUCGUUAUUGGGCUUCACAAUUAAUGUGAUUGGCACCACUCAACCUUUGAAGAGAAAUUUCCCCCAAUACCCCUAGGUCUAGGUUUUGCAUUCAUGUAGUGCAUCCAAAUGUAAUAAAUUCUUUGGUUAAAACAGGAAAAUCUUUGAUUAAAUCAUGCAACUAGCCCUGGCUAGGUCAAAGGGGUGCCUUGGAUUUUAUCCUUGCCUUCCCCUUUGUCAAAUGUGACUCCCGAACCUUUUUCUUUGGUUUACGUGGACUAGGAGUCGUUUAAAAGGGGUUUCUUACUACUUUUUCCUAUUCUUUAAAAGUUCAUUUUUAGGUGACUUGGUACACCUUAACUCAUUAUCAAGUGGCGACUCCGAUUUUUAUUUCAAAAAACCCUUUUUAAACUAUAAUUUUGGGUCAAAUCGUCGCAUUCUCAAAACCCCAUUGAGGCCCACUUUUCUUUUAAAUCAAAAUUCAUUUUCCAACCACAAAUUGAAUCAAAAAACUACAUUUUCUCAAAUCAUUUAUUUAUUUAUUCAAAAAUGGGGCGCGACAGACACUUGUCACCUCCAUAAAUGCAUUCUUAUCUUUCUUUUCUCUCUCACAUCAAUCAUUUCACACACUCUACUUAUCUCUUAACACCCGAUAAAUUUUACACAGUAUCCGAAACUUAACCUUAUUGGCCGAAUUUUUUCGAACUUUUCGUACUAGUGGGUCCCACGUCCAAUAUAUAUUCUUAAUUUUCUAAAAUUUCUCCAAUACUAGAAAAAUCAUCUAAAAACUAUAAUUACUCAUAAAAUCCACCAAGAAAAUAUUUCUAAGCCACAAAAUGCAGAAAACAUGCAAUUAAGGGAACUAAAACCCUAGGGAAAAUGAUUAGGGUUUUUUUUUUUUUUUUUACGGGUUCUCACACUCUUUCCCCCUUAAAAGAAUUUCGUCCUCGAAAUUCCUUAUCAUUGCCUACUCCGGGAUCAAAUUGAGCACUAUACUUAGCUAACAGAUCGGUACCCCUUCACUGGCCAGGUUCAGUAAAUUAUUACCUUCCACGUCCUCUUCACUGGCCAGAUUCAGUAAAUUAUUACCUUCCACGUCCUCUAAGGGGUCAAAGACUUGAUGUUGUUCUAAGGAGUACACCCGAGAGGACACUUUCGAUCCAUCCUUGUCCCCCUUCGGCUGGGCAGGGUUGGUCGUAGUUGGUGGCAAAGUCCCUUGCCGCUCGCGCAGGCGAGCUGGACAAUUAGCAAUUUGAUGGUCGGCACUCCCACAGAGCAAGCAUUUUCCUCCUUUCCUCCAGCAGUUAUCCUCCGAGUGGUUUAAUUUUCCGCAAUACCCGCAGGGUCCGCGUGCUGUAGAAGCCGAGCCUCCUCUUGACGGCCUCUCCGGUGACACUCCCGGCAUCCUUACUCCUCCCGUUCCUCGUCCAAACUUGGGAAGGGUACUUUCAUCUCCCUGCCCCGAACUAUUUCCAGGAAAUCCACGCUUCUUAGCCUGGAAGUUUCGAAACUGCAUUCGUGCACUUUCAACUCGUUGGGCUUUUUCCAUUGCCUCGCUAAACGUAGUGAUUUGAGCCGCCGCGAGGUCUUUCUGGAUCUCAACGUUCAAACCCUGAAUAAAGCGCCUAACCCGUCGUUGCUCAGUCAUGAUUAGUUCAGGCGCAAACUUGGACAGGCGGGUAAAUUGACUCUCAUAUUCCGCCACAGUCUGAGCCCCUUGCCGGAGCCGGAUAAACCCAUCCUCCUUCCUCUCCUGGACUAGAGGAGGGAAAAACUUGGCAUUAAAUUCUCGGAUGAAGUUCACCCAAGUCCUAGGCGUCUGCUCCCGCUCUCAUUUCUGUCUAAUUACGUUCCACCAGGAACGGGCUGCUCCCUCAAGUUGAAACACGGCAAAAGUCACCUGCCGUUCGUCUGGGUAGUGUAGAGCGGCAAAUAUAUCUACCAUCUUCUCAAGCCAUUUCUCAGCAACGUCAGGGUCGGGUCCCCCAACAAACUUUGGCGGGGAAAACUUUUGAAAACGUUCGAGAGCUCUAUCCUCGCUCUCGAUAUGGUUACCGGGGUUUCCGAGAUUAGGGUUUGGGUUCUGGCCCUGUUGUUGCACUACUUGUGCUAGUAAAUUGGUCAUUUGCUGCAUAGCAACAGCUAUUUGAACAGUGGGGUCGGCUUGUGGUUCAGGAUUGGGCCCAGUAGAGGUUUCCCCCGUACCCCUAAUCGGUGUGGGUUGUCUACCCCUGCGUCCACGGCCUCGACCACUUCGGGUGCCUUCCAUCAAUCUAAGUCAAUCUAGGUCAUCAAAUAAAUACACUGUUAAAGGGCACCUAACCCUUCCUUCCGUAGCACCAGACAGGAACAAUGAAACAAGAAUAAGCAACUCAAACAUUUACUGCGAAGAGCAUUUAAACACAUAACACGUAUACAUAGAUCACAUAACCAGGUUAAGCAAUCAUACGGAACAGUCAGUCAAUUACAUACGAAGUCAUUGCAUGAAACAAUAGGGUCCUCAACAAAUACUAUGAACAACUAGGUCACAAGUACAAAAGAACUCACGAAAAGCUUUUCCCCUUUUAGGGCUUCGUCCAAAUAUUUAUGUCUUAAUCAAGGUCGAUCACGCUUAACCACACCCAAACAAACCACACGAAGUUCCAUAGAAUUGCCUUUCUAGUUCACCAAAUCCUUUCUAACCUAGGCCUUCAUAUCUUUCGUAUUCGAGCGCAAGAAUCUCGUCUAAGAUAAUUCACAUCUCGAGCUGACCGGUCCCAAGAGUAAACCAUCCUUAUUAAAGAUUCCUACCCGACAUACAUGCCUAUCUUCCUCGAGUCCCAUAAUAAUGAUUCGUACACUUAUCACAUGCCCGGUUCAUAACUUACGCUCAAACGAGCACUUAGACAUAUUCAUGAAAUUAGGACCACAACACCACUUGGCCCAGUCUCACUUCGCGCAGAGACCACGCGAAGUGGCUCUGAUACCACUUGUAACAGCCCCACCUUCCCCUAAGGCGAACCAAAGGGGUUAGCGGACUGCCUGCCCAGCUCUCGCCAGGACUAACGGUUCGGUUUACGUCGAUCUAUUACGUUCCGGAACAUCCCAUUGCGCGUAAACAAGUGAAAAUCACGAAAAUAAAAAAAACGAAGAUCGAAGCCGAAGAUGAAUAGUGCAUGACCCGUCGGAAUCCGGCCGGAAUCUGGCCGGAUGUCCGGCCAUAUUCCUGGCCGGAUACCAGGCAGAGAGUUGCCAAUUUUUUUUCAAAUUCUCCAAGCAAUCCGGCCGGCAAUCCGGCCAGUUUCUGGUCGGAUUCUGUCCAGUGCCUUUCGUUCAAAAUUUUCCUUUGGCCGUUUGAAACGUGAAUCAGUCCGAAGUUCAACCAAACAUCAAUUUAACAUACACAUAUUGAAAUUCAACAUUUACAACCACAUUGGCAUGCCAAAUACCAUUCAUCAUGAAUGUACAAUAUCGAUUCGCCAAUCAAAAGAAAACGAACCCAUGACACAUUAGGGUUUCAUUAGAGGGCUAUACAAAAGACAUGUACAUGAGCUCAACUUGUCAUUCAAUUAUCACAACCUUUUCCAAAAGUGUUCAUUUGCCUGUAAGGAAAACAAAUGGAACGGAAUGAGCUAAAGCUCAGUGAGCAACUAUCACGUAAGCAUCUAAAAUCACAUAAGUGUAACCUUUCAGUUCAAGUAUACAAUUAAGAGUAAAUCACACCAGUAAAAGGAUACGGAUGGCUCUCAGGAGCCUGUUUCCUCGCUUGUAGUCUUGUUCCAACCUCAUAGACCCUCCGUCAAUGUUAAAGAAUAACCAACCGUAGACAACUCUUUACUUCCAUUCCUUCCACCCAACAUCCCCCAACCGGGCCCGCACUCCAUUCAGUCAUUUUGGUAAUACUCGAGUAUACCGGAACCAAGAGUCUCAUUACUACAAGGUUCCCCAGUACAGUCCCCAUGGCAAGUCAAUUUUUCACGACCAAGCCCUCGCCGGCUCGAUCCAAUCGAUUACCAAACGGGGUUGAGCUUAGUGAUACAGUAAAGCCGUUGGAUAUUCGCCCAUACGACACCAAAUCAGUUUUCAUGUAAGAAAUUCAAUAUCUAAUAUCUCAAUUGCAGUAUUUCAGUAAACAGUACACCGUCAUGAAUAUUAUCACAAGGGGUGAGGGCGGUCAAGUACACCCUCACCUCUAUCAAUUCCAAUAGCCAAGUAAGCCUUUAAGGCAUCAAAUUCACAUAUAGCAAAGCCACAUUGUAACAAUUAAGUGAGUAGUAUACUCACAAAGCAAUUAAGUGCUAUGUCAUGCACUUCCGUCAGGGGAAUGUCGUGAACCGCCGUCACGCCCUAGAACACAUAAGCAAGUACAAUGAGACACGAUAACGAGUCGCAAAACAAUGCUAAACACAACCCCAAUAGGGUUUUCAUAAACAUAUACAAGCAUGGUAGCAAACCAGAAAUUAAGAAAGGGCUUUAACUUAGGCCUUAAUAAGAAAACCGGAUUUGACCUCAUAAUGCGGUAAUGGCACAACUCUCACUACAAUUAUCGGAUGGGGGUGUAAGACCCACCGUUUCGAACCCAAUAAGCAGGGCUACAACAAUGUAGAAGGCCCCUCAAUCCAGUUCCUAGCUUAACUAGGUCAAAAAUGCCAAAUCCUAUACCAGAAUUACCAAAACAGGUUUGCAAAUCGCACAAAACUGUAAUUACUAUAACUCAGUCUAUAUAGGUCCAAAUGCCGAAAUUCCAAAGGCAUAUGGUAGCUAAGACAUCCAGCUACAUUUCAUCAGAAGACACCAACUUCAAAAUCCAAACCAAUUCUAGCCAAAAUAGCCAAAUACAAGUACAGUUUUCGCAUUCUGUCCAAAGCAGAACAGCUACAGUAAUUACGCCAUAACUCACUCUACACUAAUCCAAUUGCCCUGAAAUUUUGGAGGCACCUCAAACACAUCAAUACCUACAACUUUCAUGUUUUGAGCAAAGUCAAAUUCGACUUCUAAACCUAUGAUCCAAAACCGGACAGAAUUAGGGAUUUUCAAACCCUAACUUUUCACAAUGCACUCCAAAUCCAAAAUUAGUUGUAUUUAUCCACAUUUCACACCCACUAGAGUCAUUAUAGGCCAUUUCCAAUCAUCAUAAACAACCACACCAUCAUAAUCCAAUUAAACCAGAAAAAUCAUCAAUAAAAUAAAAACUUCACCAAAUCACUUCAAACCAAGAUAAAAACCAGAAAUUUCAGCACUCUAAUCACUAAUAAGCAUAACAUAAGCAUCAUUAGGCGUAGUAGGGUGUUUCAAGCCUCACUUACCAAGAAACAAGAGAGAGGAAGAUGUUGGACACCUUAGCUCUUCAAACAAACUUCACCAAACAACUCACUAGCACUAGCACUAGAAGGAAAGAUUUUAUGGAGUGGAAUCUAGUGUAGGCUUUUGUUCUUGGAAGAUUGAGUGAAAUGGAAGCUUGAAAGUUGGAGAAAUUCCUUUCUUCUUUGCAAGGAGAGGGCCGGCCAUAAGAGGUAAGAAAAUGGUGAUUUUUGUGCAUUUUUUUUUUAUAUUUAAUCCUUUGGUCAAAAAAGUCAAGAAAAUGAAUAGUGUUUCUUAAAGUCCAACAAAUGAGAAGGUGACACUUGUCACCUCCAUAAAUGCAUUCUUAUCUUUCUUUUCUCUCUCACAUCAAUCAUUUCACACACUCUACUUAUCUCUUAACACCCGAUAAAUUUUACACAGUAUCCGAAACUUAAUCUUAUUGGCCGAAUUUUUCCGAACUUUUCGCACUAGUGGGUCCCACGUCCAAUAUAUAUUCUUAAUUUUCUAAAAUUUCUCCAAUACUAGAAAAAUCAUCUAAAAACUAUAAUUACUCAUAAAAUCCACCAAGAAAAUAUUUCUAAGCCAGAAAACGCAGAAAACAUGCAAUUAAGGGAACUAAAACCCUAGGGAAAAUGAUUAGGGUUUUUUUUUUUUUUUUUUUUUACGGGUUCUCACAGGGGACGCCCCAACCCAUUGGUUAGCCUUGUAACUCGAGUCGGCAAGGGCUUGGUCGAGAAACUUGGUGAACCUUGGGAAGUGUUAUAGCUUGAUCCAAAUAAGGGGUCUUGCUAGGUAUACUUGUUAAGUGAUACCACCUACAUGCUUGUUUGGUUACUGAUCCUAGAGGGUGUCAUGGUGGCUGGAGGUAGUAAGUGGAGUUCUACAUGGAUAACUAUGAAAGUUGACGGAGGGUCAACUACUUGAGCUUGGAUCGCGCGUGGAUUAGCUCCUGAGAGCUCCCGUAUCCUUUUAUUGUGAUUAAAUUCCCUAGUUGCUUAAUGUUUCGUAAUUACUUGUUACUCGAGUUAUUGCUUUAUAUUGUGUCUUUGCUAGCAUGCUUGCAUGUUUUUCCCUUGGCCUCUGUUAUUCUUGGUUUUGAUGAUCACAAAAGUUUGUUUAUACAGACCAAGAAAGUGAACACUUUGAUCAGGUCUGUUGGAACAAAGAAAGCAUAUGUUCGUUUAUCUCCUGACUACGUUGCUUUGGAUGUGGCAAACAAGAUUGGAAUAAUAUGAAUGAAUUUAGUCAUUGUUUUGUUUUCGAUCAAAGAUAUUGUCUUUUAAGUAUGUCUAGUUUGUCAUUCUUGGUACUUUGAAAUAUUUGUCUAACCUUUCUCAAAUACAAGUGUUUUUUGUCUAUCCAAGAAUCAGGUUCAAAUAUGUCAUGAAAUGUAAAACAACCAAAAUGAGAAGCAAAAACAGGACAAUCAGGUCGGACGGCCGAAAGGAAACUGUCGGACGUCCGAAAAGAUAAAGAACAUCAGGAAGGAAGCACCGUCGGACGCUCACAUGGAAGCAUCGGACGUCCGGAAGGAUCGGACGCUUUCCAUCGGACGCUAAUCAACCGCAUCGGACGUCCGAAAAAUUCCAAGAUAACUUGCUAGCUCUCGGCCCAAGGUCGGACGCUGUGCUGUCGGACGACAAAGAACUUAUCGGACGUCCGAACCUCAACUUGGCUAUCAUCGGACGAUUGGUUCGGACGAUGAUUCGAUCGUCGGACGUCCGACAGCCCCAACGGCUAGUUGACUUUUCAGCUGCCUUCUAUCCGUUGGAAGCAUUGAUGAAACCCAUUUCUGGAUCCCUUUAAAAUCAAACUGGUCUGAACGAAGUAGGGAAUUUUGCUCACUUUGUUUACAAGUUCUCAAGAGAUAUUUUAGCUAGAAAAUAGUCUCCAAAGCAGAUUUGUAUUAAAGUGGUGUGAAUUUCUGUUGAGCAUUUCUUUUGUGGUUGAAAGGAUCUUUAGUGUAGCUUUGUUGAGGGUUUUCUGAGUGAUUGUAAAACUUCCUAGCUUGACUAAGUGAGGCUUAGGGCAAGGAGGAAGAGCUCCCUCCAUUGUACAUCUAGUUGAUCUUCGUUCAUCAAAGAGAAGUUGCUCUUCCUAGUGUUUGGUCUUCAAGUUUGGGUAAAGCUUGGUAGACACUUGGUUUGUUUCUCUAUUUUAUAUUUCUGUUUAAUAAAAUCUUCAUUGCUUAUCUAUACUUGCUUCUCUGAUUAAUAUUGCUAUUGUCUUCUAAUCUACUUGGCUGAUCAUUACUAAAAAGGAAGGUAAAUUUUCAUUAAAGAAAAAGUGCAUAAACUUGGUUAAGAUUUUAAUCAACCAAUUCACCCCCCCUCUUGGUUGUCUGUGGGACUUACAAUUGGUAUCAGAGCUUGGUCUCCUUGAGAUUAAGCUCUAACGGCUUGGAGUAAAGAUGACAACCAGUCAUGCUAUGUUUGUUGAGGGGCAAUCUGUUACUAGGCCUCCCAUGUUCAGUGGCUCUAACUAUGUUAGCUGGAAAGAACGAAUGAUUAUCUUUUUGCAAUCUAUCGAUAUUGAACUAUGGUUUAUUGUGAGUGAAGGACCGCAUGAAGCUAACUUUCUUGAUGCAGAUACAGGGUUGCUUCGGCCAAAAAUAAGAGUUGAAAUGAAUGCUCAAGAUAGGACUAACCUCACAUUGAAUGCCAAGGCCAUGAAUGUUAUUUAUAGUGCCCUAGAUUCAAAUGAAUCAAUCAGAGUAAAAGGCUGCAAAUCGGCUAAAGAAAUGUGGGAUAAACUAAGAGAAAUCCAUGAGGGUGGUGACAAUGUGAAAGAACAGAAAAAAGCCAUCUUGGUCACGAAAUAUGAAUCAUUUAAAAUUGAACCUCUUGAGGAUAUUGACAAAAUGUAUUGCAGGUUCACUGACUUGAUCAAAGAUCUCGAGGCGUUGGGCAAAGAGUACACCUUGGGAGAGAAGAACAGGAAAAUUCUCAAUGCCUUGGGCAAAGAAUGGGAAAAUAAAGUGACAGCAAUAGAGGAGGCCAAGGAUUUAAGUUCUGUGCCUAUUGAAUCUAUCAUUAACUCACUAACCACUUAUGAGUUGAAACUGAAAUCUAAAGUGCAGGAGGAAGAGGAUGCUAGAGCAAAGAGAAACAUUGCUCUAAAGACUACUCAAGGUGAAGAUGAUUCUGCUCAUCUGGAUGAUGAAGACUCGGAUGGUGAUGAUAAUGAUCUUGCUCUCAUCACCAGAGGCUUCAAAAGAAUCCUAAAUAAAAGAAAGUUUAGAAGGGGAGGACCUAGCAAUCAAUUCCAGAAUCAGCCAUCUAUCGCAAAGUAUAAAGGUAAACAAGAUUUCAACAAGAAACAGUUGGACAAAUGCUUCGAAUGUGGACAGAUUGGACAUUAUGCAAACGAAUGCCCCAUGAAGAAGAUGAAAGAUGGAAAAGCUGAUCGAAAGCCAAGAUUCAACAAUUUUCAGAUUACUUGGAAUGAAUGCAACUCCGAAGGAGAAGUUGAAGAAGAAGAAGAAUCUGCUCAAAUGGCCUUCAUGGCUAUUGGAAAUAAUGAGGUAACCUCCACACACUCUCAAUCUGAAAGUGAUAAUGAUGAAGAUGAUGAUCUUGAAUCUUUUGUUGAAAAACUGCAUAAUGCCUUGAAGGAAUCCUAUGAUAAAAACAAGCAGUUAAAACAGAAAAUGGCUUUUCUCAUUCAAGAAAAUGCAAGUCUUUUUCAACAAAAUAAAAAACUAAAGACCGACAAUGAAAGUCUAGUAAGAGCUGGAUGUAAUGUUCAAGAUGAGCUUGAUAGAAAGACAAAUAUUUGUGAAAUGCUGAAGGAAAGACAUGGUGAUUUGAAAAAAAGGAUGGACAGCUUGGAUGAGAAUUUGAAAGCAAGAAAGCAGGAGUUUAACAAAAGGAACAUGUUAUCUACACAUCCUACUACUUUUCAAAGAACAUUUGCACACAACAAAAUUGCACAUGGUUUCACAACAUAUAGAAGAGGUGAAUUAAGAUAUGUCAAACCAGUACAUGUUAAGGACUCUUCCAUUAUGUGUGUUUUUUGUUGUCAAAGAGGGCAUUUGAAAAGUAAUUGCUAUGUGAAAAGAAAUCUGAACAAAGGGAUGAAGUGCAUGUGGUUAGUUAGAUACAAUGCUAACUAUUAUGGACCCAAAAAUUAAAAAGGGUACCAAACACGUUAUCUUUUCAGGAUAAAGGAUCAAACAAGUCAAAAUGGUUUAUUGAUAGCAGCUGCUCAAGGCACAUGACCGGUGAUCCUUCCUUGUUCAUAAAGCUGAAAUCAAAAUCAAGUGGAAAGGUAACAUUUGGUGAUGAUGUGAAAGCUAAGACAAUUGGAAUAGGUGAUGUUGGUAAGGAUGGUGAAACUUUUGUUCAUAAUGUGCUCUUGGUUGAUAACUUAGGUUAUAACUUGCUCAGUGUUAGUCAACUGUGUGAUAAAAACUUGUAUGUGUUAUUUAAAAAGCAUGAAUGCAUUGUACUUGAUUCCAAAUAUAAUGUUGUGUUCAAAGGUAAGAGGUUUAAUGACAUAUAUAUUGUGAUUCUUGAUAAAGUUGAUUCUUCUAACUUAAAAUGUCUUAAAGCUUCAAAUGAAGAUUCUUGGUUGUGGCAUAGAAGACUUUGUCAUUUUAACAUGGAUUUACUAAAGGAAAUUUCGAAAAAGGAGUUGGUUAGAGGCUUGCCAAAAAUUAGUUUUGAUAAGGACAAAAUAUGUGAUGCAUGUCAAUUUGGGAAGCAAACUAAAAUUUCUUUUAAACCAAAAAUGUGUGUAUCUACUUCAAAACCUUUCGAACUCUUGCAUCUUGAUUUAUUUGGUCCCACUCAAAUCACUAGCUUGGGAGGUAAAAAAUAUUGUUUUGUAAUUGUUGAUGAUUAUUCCAGAUACACUUGGGUGAUAUUUCUUGCUCAUAAAGAUGAUGCCUUCAAGAAUUUUACUUCAAUGUUUGCUAAAGUGCAAAAUCUGCUUGGGUUAAAAAUUGUUAGGAUUAGAAGUGAUAAUGGGACGGAAUUCAAGUAUUGUGGUUUUCCAGAAUUUUGUGAUCAUAAUGGUAUAACACAUGAGUUUUCUAUUGCAAGAAUUCCACAACAAAAUGGUGUUGUAGAAAGGAAAAACAGGACUCUCCAAGAGGCUGCUAGAACUAUGUUGAAUGAAUGUAGGUUGCCUAAAUAUCUUUGGGCGGAAGCGGUAAACACUGCAUGUUAUGUGAUGAAUAGAAUACUCUUGAGACCUAUUUUAAAGAAAACUCCUUAUGAGCUGAUUUUUGAUAAGAAACCUACGGUUGGUUAUUUCAAAGUAUUUGGUUGUAAAUGUUUUAUUUUGAAUCUAAAGGAACAUCUUGGUAAGUUUGACAAAAAAUCUGAUGAAGGAAUAUUUUUGGGGUAUUGUGAGAAUAAAAGAGGAUAUAGAGUUUUUAAUAGAAGGACACUUGUGAUUGAAGAAGCUAUACAUAUAACAUUUGAUGAAGCCAAUGAUGAUAAUUCCAAAAGUUUGUGUGAGGAUGAUGAUGUAGGUGUUCGAGAAGGAAUGGAAAAGCUAUCAAUUGGAAAUGAAGGAAGUUCUGAACCAGCAGCAACUGAAAUGGAAAAUGAAGUUCAUAAUGAUCAAGAAGAGGAAGAUGAAGACAAAAAUGAUGAUCCACUCAAAGAUCUUCCCAAGGCUUGGAAAUUCAACCAAAAUCAUCCAAAAGAGCUUAUAAUUGGUGAUCCAUCCGAGAAGGUAAACACUCGUUCCUCAUCUAGAAAAUUGAUUGAUAAUUUUGCUUUAGUUUCUCUUUUUGAACCCAAAAAUAUCAAUGAUGCUUUAAAGGAUGAAAAUUGGAUUUUGGCUAUGCAAGAGGAACUUAAUCAAUUUGAGAGAAAUGAAGUUUGGACACUUGUUGAUAGACCUCAAAAUCAACCUAUCAUUGGCACAAAGUGGAUUUUUAGAAAUAAGUUGGAUGAUAAAGGUGAUGUUGUAAGAAAUAAAGCCAGAUUAGUUGCUAAAGGAUAUGCACAAGAAGAAGGAAUAGAUUUUGAUGAAACAUUUGCUCCCGUAGCAAGAUUAGAAUCUAUUAGAAUGCUUCUUGCUUUUGCUUGCUUCAAAGGUUUCAAAUUGUUUCAAAUGGAUGUUAAAAGUGCCUUUUUAAAUGAUUUUAUUGAUCAAGAAGUGUAUGUGGAUCAACCCCCUGGUUUUGAAAAUACAAAAUUUCCAAGUCAUGUGUUUAAACUUUCUAAAGCUUUAUAUGGUUUAAAACAGGCUCCAAGAGCUUGGUAUGAAAGAUUAAGUGGGUUCUUGAUUGAAAAAGGUUUCAAAAGAGGUAUUGUGGACACCACACUUUUUACUAAGCAUGUGUUGAAUGACCUUCUCAUUGUGCAAAUAUAUGUUGAUGAUAUUAUCUUUGGUGCUACUAAUGAGUAUCUAUGUAAGGAGUUUUCCACCACUAUGCAAAAUGAAUUUGAAAUGAGUAUGAUGGGAGAAUUAAAUUUCUUCCUUGGACUUCAAAUACAUCAAACUCUUGAGGGAAUCUUUAUCAAUCAAGCAAAGUAUACCAAGGAAUUACUGAAAAGGUUUGGCAUGGAGGACUCAAAGCAAGUUGGAACUCCAAUGUGCACUUCUACAAAGCUUGACAAAGAUGAAGAAGGUAAUCAUGUGGAUGAAAAGCAUUAUAGAGGUAUGAUCGGAAGCUUACUCUAUUUAACUGCAAGUAGACCUGAUAUUAUGUUUGCAGUUUGCUUGUGUGCUAGAUUUCAAUCGUGUCCAAAAGAAUCACAUUUGAAUGCUGUAAAAAGAAUUUUUAGGUAUUUGAAAGGUACAUUAGACUAUGGUCUUUGGUAUGCUAAAUCCAGUGAGUUUGCACUAUAUGGUUAUUCGGAUGCUGAUUUUGGAGGGUGUCGUGUAGAUAGAAAGAGUACUAGUGGAUCUUGUCACUUUCUUGGAAAUUCUUUAGUCUCUUGGUUUAGCAAGAAACAAAAUGCAAUCUCAUUGUCUACAACCGAAGCAGAAUAUAUUGCCGCUAGUGCAUGUUGUGCUCAACUUUUAUGGAUGAAACAUACCCUGAAUGACUAUGGAUUGUUGUAUGACUGCAUGCCUGUAUUCUGUGAUAAUACUAGUGCUAUAAAUUUGACCAAAAAUCCUAUUCAGCAUUCUAGGACAAAGCAUAUUGAAAUAAAGCACCACUUUAUUCGUGAUCUUGUUCAAAAAGGUGAAAUUUGUGUAAAUUAUGUUAGUUCUAAAGAUCAAUUUGCUGAUAUUUUUACAAAAACUUUGCCAUUAGAUCAAUUCAUUCAUCUAAGAUCAAAAUUAGGAAUGUUCGAAAAAUCAUCAUAAAUUUUUCAUUGCCUUCGGACGUCCGAAAGAGGAUGAACGGACGUCCGAUGAUGUUCUUCAGCCAUUUUCCAGAUUGCACCUGUUCGGACGCAGCUGUCGGACGCACAACUUCGUUCGGCCGUCCGACAGUGCAACGGCUCAUUUUUUAAAAUAACUUUCUUCCUUAUUUGCUUCAGUCUCUUCCUAUUCUAUCUCCUCUCGGACGAAAACCCUCUCUUCUCUCACUCUCAAAUUCGUACCAUUCUGUAGCUACCAUUCCCAAAUUGACUCAACCAAAACAUUUCCCCAUCGUUUGCGUUUCAUUUCUCCUGAUCAUUUCACCAAACUGAGUAACACUUCGCAAAUCCCCAAAUUUUCCUCACAACCCUACUCUUGCAUAACCGCUCUGUCAAAUCUCGUUCAAGGUGUUUUUGUCCCAAAAUUUCUGUGCGAUUCACUUCCCUACUGUUGUGUGCAUCAUUUGCAUCCUCCAUUCCACACAUUUAGAACAAUGGUGAAUCUAAGGGGAGGAAAAGUUACUGCCGGACGCAAGCAUCCACUCAGGGAUGAGGAUGAGAAUCUUCCUACUGUCAAACGGACAUCCAAACGCUUCAAAAGGGGAGCUAUCAAGGGUCAAAUGUCACGACCUACUCCACAACCCACUUCUCAACCAGAAUCUGGACAGGGGACCUCUUCUCAACCGCCUCCUAAAUCAGUCCCUCUCCCUCCAUUCUUUGAUGAUGCUGCGAAAGACAAAUACGCCUGGAUAUCUCAGAAGGGUGUCAUCCCUCAAAGAACUGUAAACCCCUCUGAAUUUCGUUCCAUAGGUUUAGAAUCCAUUCUAAGUCUAUUUGAUUUCCAGAAAUGGUCGCAUCUCAUUUCCAUGCCCAAUGUCUACUAUCCUGAUAUGCUGCAUCAAUUUUUUGCUAACCUUAGGAAAGGAACUGACCAAACUGAGAUCAUGUCUAGGGUAAAUGGGGUAGACCUAAUCUUUGAUUCUGAUACUGUGAAUUCCAUUUUAAAGACUACCAUUGAACGUUUGUGCAAAGAUAAGGUUGCUAAUUUCUUUUCUUAUGAAGAGCUUCCUACUGCUGCAAAUCAUUUUGAUGGGACAAAAAUGUUAACUUAUUUCAAAAGAAGUUUUUCUUCACCUGCUGAUGCUAAGUUGAAUGAUUUGGCUCCUGUGAAUUUGAUUGCCUUUUCUAUCAUUUCAAACUUGCUUGUGCCCACUGAUGGCCAUAGAACUGAUGCAAACAAAAUGGAGCUGUAUCUUUUUUACUGUUUUCGAGAAAAAAUUCGGAUUGAUUUUGGCUUUGUCAUGUGCAAGUUUUUACUUCGCUAUGCUACUGACUCUCGAAGAAAACUAUCCUAUGGGAAGUUUCUUCAAAAGAUUUUUGAAUUUUACAAAGUUCCAAUUCUAGGUGUUUGUCCCAAAGAAGCAUCUUCUUAUGCUUUUACCAGAGCAUAUUUUGAAAGGAAAAAUCUUAUUUUUAAAGAUAAUCUGUGGGCAUAUAAGGGGGCAUCAUCUAGUGAACAAAGAUCUAAGACUGUACAUGAUUCUUCACCCAUUUCACUCACUCCCAUUCACCCUAGGAAGUCUACCACUAAAGCAUCUUCCUCUUCCAGUAAUGAGGUAAUUGAGCUUCUUCAUGAACUCAAACAGCAUGUUCUUCUUCUAGAACAUGGCCUAAUGCUCACCAUGUCUUCUGAGCAACAAGCUGCCUUUCUUGAUAAAAAGAACCUUCUUUUUCCUCCACCUGUGGUUGAGGAAGUCUCACAUGACAAAGAACCUCGAACCACUGAUCCAGGUUCAUCAGUUCCAGAUCCGAAUCCAUCAACUCCUGUGACUCCUCAUGGCCCUUCCACAUCAGACAAAGGCAAGGCACCAAUUGAAGAAGCUACUGAAGAUGAUGAAGAAACUGAUGAGGAAGACCUCUCUCAAUAUCAGCUCUCUCGGAGGACUCCUGGAUCCACUUAGUUCAUCAUUUAGGACAUUUGCAUUCUGUUUGUCUCUUUUAUGUGUUUGUGGUAUUCAACAAUGAAUAUGUAUUGUAAUGGAUAUUUUAAGUUUCUUUUGGUAUGAUCUGGUGGAUGUUUAAGUACUGUUUUGAUGAAUGUCUAAAUAUUUUGAUGAAUGAUUGUCUAUUCUGCUUGUGUGAAUGUAAUGAAUUUAUGGAUUGUAUGAUUGUCUAUUGAAUAUGAUUGUUUAUUUUAAGUACUGUUUUGAUGGAUGUGUUGGAUGGUGUCACCAGGAUGUUGAUUUGUGAACUUGUGUAAAUUUGUGACUGUGUGGAUGACAAAAAGGGAUGUUGAUGUUGAUGUGAUUGGUUGCCCUUUUGUGAUGACAAAAAGGGGGAGAUGGUAUAAUGAUUGGAUUGAGUGAUGAUUGGUGAUUGAUGAAUGAUUGGAUUGAGUGAUGAUUGGUGAUUGAUGAUUAGUGAUGUUAGGAUAUGUUGGAUUGAUUGUUUAAAUUUGGAUUGGCUGAUAUGCUUAAUUGUUUGUUGAUGUUGAUGUGAUUGGUUGCCCUUUUGUGAUGACAAAAAGGGGGAGAUGGUAUAAUGAUUGGAUUGAGUGAUGAUUGGUGAUUGAUGAAUGAUUGGAUUGAGUGAUGAUUGGUGAUUGAUGAUUAGUGAUGUUAGGAUAUGUUGGAUUGAUUGUUUAAAUUUGGAUUGGCUGAUAUGCUUAAUUGUUUAAUGUUUAAUUGUUUAACUCGGAUGGGCAGCCAAGUGAGGGGGAGGUUUUCAAAAUUUUUAAAUUUUAGGAUUCACUAAGACAGGGGGAGUUUUCAUUUCAAUCAUCAAUUUCAUUUCAAACUUUUGUUUUGUCAUCAUCAAAAAGGGGGAGAAUGUUAUUCUUGGUUUUGAUGAUCACAAAAGUUUGUUUAUACAGACCAAGAAAGUGAACACUUUGAUCAGGUCUGUUGGAACAAAGAAAGCAUAUGUUCGUUUAUCUCCUGACUACGUUGCUUUGGAUGUGGCAAACAAGAUUGGAAUAAUAUGAAUGAAUUUAGUCAUUGUUUUGUUUUCGAUCAAAGAUAUUGUCUUUUAAGUAUGUCUAGUUUGUCAUUCUUGGUACUUUGAAAUAUUUGUCUAACCUUCCUCAAAUACAAGUGUUUUUUUGUCUAUCCAAGAAUCAGGUUCAAAUAUGUCAUGAAAUGUAAAACAACCAAAAUGAGAAGCAAAAACAGGACAAUCAGGUCGGACGGCCGAAAGGAAACUGUCGGACGUCCGAAAAGAUAAAGAACAUCAGGAAGGAAGCACCGUCGGACGCUCACAUGGAAGCAUCGGACGUCCGGAAGGAUCGGACGCUUGCCAUCGGACGCUAAUCAACCGCAUCGGACGUCCGAAAAAUUCCAAGAUAACUUGCUAGCUCUCGGCCCAAGGUCGGACGCUGUGCUGUCGGACGACAAAGAACUUAUCGGACGUCCGAACCUCAACUUGGCUAUCAUCGGACGAUUGGUUCGGACGAUGAUUCGAUCGUCGGACGUCCGACAGCCCCAACGGCUAGUUGACUCUUCAGCUGCCUUCUAUCCGUUGGAAGCAUUGAUGAAGCCCAUUUCUGGAUCCCUUUAAAAUCAAACUGGUCUGAACGAAGUAGGAACUUUUGCUCACUUUGUUUACAAGUUCUCAAGAGAUAUUUUAGCUAGAAAAUAGUCUCCAAAGCAGAUUUGUAUUAAAGUGGUGUGAAUUUCUGUUGAGCAUUUCUUUUGUGGUUGAAAGGAUCUUUAGUGUAGCUUUGUUGAGGGUUUUCUGAGUGAUUGUAAAACUUCCUAGCUUGACUAAGUGAGGCUUAGGGCAAGGAGGAAGAGCUCCCUCCAUUGUACAUCUAGUUGAUCUUCGUUCUUCAAAGAGAAGUUGCUCUUCCUAGUGUUUGGUCUUCAAGUUUGGGUAAAGCUUGGUAGACACUUGGUUUGUUUCUCUAUUUUAUAUUUCUGUUUAAUAAAAUCUUCAUUGCUUAUCUAUACUUGCUUCUCUGAUUAAUAUUGCUAUUGUCUUCUAAUCUACUUGGUUGAUCAUUACUAAAAAGGAAGGUAAAUUUUCAUUAAAGAAAAAAAGUGCAUAAACUUGGUUAAGAUUUUAAUCAACCAAUUCACCCCCCCUCUUGGUUGUCUAUGGGACUUACAGCCUCACUGAGCGUUAGCUCACCCCAAUUUGUUUUCCUUUACAGGUUUGGAAGUGGAAGUUUUGAGGCUUAAUUAGUGACCCCAAAAAUAAUUUUUCCCCACAGGGCUCGAGGCCAAAGAAAGCGCUUGUAUUGAGUUAUUAGUGCCUGAAGGGAUAUCUCAUAUAUAAUUUGAAUUCGAUUCACUUGAUAAGUAUUUGAGUACUGAGGACUUUUGUCUUAUUCGGGGAAUGAUACCCUUACUUGAGAUUUGUAAUGUAUCUUAUCUCGUUCUAAGUUUGAAAAGUGUUAUUUCGUUUAUUCUUGAGGUUGUACCCUAUAUUAUUGGAUGUGAGUGAUGUAUUUUAAUUGAGGACUGUAGUGAAUCCCGGCGAGAGCUGGGCAAGCGGUCCGCCGAGCCCUUUGGUUUGCCUUAGGGGGAGGUAGGGCUGUCACAGUUGGUAUCAGAGGUUAGGCUCUAGAUCUUGUAGUGUAUCCUCGGCUUAAAGUUUAGGAUGCUUAACUGUGGGAUUAAUUUGAAUAUUAUGUGAAUGGGGACCUAUUGUAUCCUAGGGUUUAAAGAAAUUGAUUAUUUGAGAGUUUCUUACUUGGGACUUGUAGAAAUAAAAAAAAUUGAGGAAUUAGGUGAUGUUAUAUUGAAGGAAAAUAUGGGAUGAGGAUUAGUAGUGAAAGAUUGGAUGAAUUUGAAUUAUUAUUAUACUUGUAAGUGUGGGAAGAAUUGAGGCAAUUAUUAGUACUGGCUAUAGAGGAUAAGAGACCAGGAUUUGAUGGCCAAACUCCAUGUUUGGUGGUUUUGAACCAAGAUAAAAGAGUUUCAAAGGAAUAAAAUGUAUUUUCCCGCCCAUUUACCUCCUACAGAAUUUCUGCUUUGAAAUUCUAAAGAAAAACGAUGAUGUACUAGUUUUAUUUUCAAACGAUGAUUGAAAAUGAUAUAUAUGCUUAAGUAUGUAUAAUUUUCGAUUUUGGUAAAUAUGUGAAUUUUACUUGAAUUUCAAUCUGAAAAUUUGUGAAUAACUGAUGAGUUUGUUGAAUUUUGUAUAUGAUGGGCUGAUACAAGGUUAAAAUUUUCUAAACUAAGUUUUCCCCCUUGAUUGUAUACUGGUGUAUUCUCACACUUGAAUUUGUCUAUGCUUUACAAAAAAAAAAAAAAUCUUGAGUUUUCGGAAGAAUGGCGAACUUAUGUUUUUAUAAUGUAAAUCUUGAACUUGAUAAGAUUUUUGGUUACUUUAAAUACUCUUCUUAUGUUUUAAAAAUCUUGGUUUUCAAGAAUAGUGAGCCUAUCUUUAGGUGUACGAACUGAGGAAACUUUGAGAUAUAGAGUAACCGCAUUCAAGAGCCCAAAGUUAGUGUGAAUUGACUUGGUUUCCAUUUGACACGUAAGUUAGCAGGUUGUACCUAUUUCUUGGGUUUGAACUUGGAGCUUGAGGCUUUAACUAUAAAACCCUAAGACUGGUUAUUCUUGGAGAUGAUGGUGCUUUGGCUGGUGGCUUGCUUAUUAAAGAUUUUGAAUUUCGAAUGGAUAACCUUUGGUUUUAGCUUGUGUUAUGGUUUGAUUGGAUCUAAUUUCGUAAAAGCAUGUGAUCUGAUUGAAAUUAGUGAUAUUUGGACCCUUUGGUUUAACUAUGGACUUAGGAAGGGUGGUGCACGCCGUGAGGCCUUUUGUAUCCUGCUUGCAUAUACUUCUAUAUGUGGCAUUUAAUUGCCUUUAUGCAGUAUUUGACAUAUUGGGUUUGUUUUGUGACUUCUAACUCGUGCUAUAACUUUUGAUACAAGUAAAGAAGCAUGUUUUGAUUCUAAAUAUUUUUGCAACUUGUAUAUGCAUUAAGUUCUUUUAUGGUUAAUUAUUCUUUUUCUUGUGCUUAUAGACUUCUAUUAAGUAUGGCAGCAGGAAUGGGAAAAAGGGGUCGUGGCCUAGGGCUUAGACAACCCCGUACUCAUGAGAGAAAUUGAUGGGUAGUCCUAUAUAAUAUAAUGGGGGCGACGCCCUAACCCAUUGGCUAGCCUUGUAACUCGAGCCGGCAAGGGCUUGGUCAAGAAACUUGGUGAACCUUGGGAAGUGUUAUAGCUUGAUCCAAAUAAGGGGUCUUGCUAGGUAUACUUGUUAAGUGAUACCACCUACAUGCUUGUUUGGUUACGGAUCCAAGAGGGUGUCAUGGUGGCUGGAGGUAGUAAGUGGAGUUCUACAUGGAUAACUGUGAAAGUUGACGGAGGGUCAACUACUUGAGCUUGGAUCGCGCGUGGAUUAGCUCCUGAGAGCUUCCGUAUCCUUUUAUUGUGAUUAAAUUCCCUAGUUGCUUAACGUUUCGUAGUUACUUGUUACUCGAGUUAUUGCUUUAUAUUGUGUCUUUGCUAGCAUGCUUGCAUGUUUUUCCCUUGGCCUCACUGAGCGUUAGCUCACCUCAAUUUGUUUUCCUUAACAGGUUUGGAAGUGGAAGUUUUGAGGCUUAAUUAGUGACCCCAAAAAUAAUUUUUCCCCACAGGGCUCGAGGCCAAAGAAAGCGCUUGUAUUGAGUUAUUAGUGCCUGAAGGGAUAUCUCAUAUAUAAUUUGAAUUCGAUUCACUUGAUAAGUAUUUGAGUACUGAGGACUUUUGUCUUAUUUGGGGAAUGAUACCCUUACUUGAGAUUUAUAAUGUAUCUUAUCUCGUUCUAAGUUUGAAAAAUGUUAUUUCGUUUAUUCUUGAGGUUGUACCCUAUGUUAUUGGAUGUGAUUGAUGUAUUUUAAUUGAGGACUGUAGUGAGUCCCGGCGAGAGCUGGGCAGGCAGUUCGCCGAGCCCUUUGGUUUGCCUUAGGGGGAGGUGGGGCUGUCAUAACUCAUCCCACGUUUUGGGUUUCUUUAACAGGGUUCGAGACCAAGAGUGCUCGUGAAUAGUACUAGAUUGCUAUCUUUUGAAGACUUUAAGUUGUAUUACAGCAGAUGGCUGUAGUAAAUAUUCUUUUGGGUUGUAUUAAGUUUGAGAACUGAUUAAUUGUAAGUGUGAGAUAUUUUGGAGUACUUUAAUUAUGUAUUGAAGUUAUUUGAAGUAUUCCGAACUUUUGAAUUAAGGAUUGUAGUGAGUCCUGGCGAGAGCUAGGCAGGUGUUCCGCGAAUACCCUUUGGUUCGUCUUAAGGAGAAGUGGGGGCGUCACAGGUUGCCAUAGGCACCCUGACCAGCACAGUGAGUGCCACCGCCAGGAACACGAGAGAUACGAGAAACAGCACGACCAGUACCCCAAGACUCAGCCGAGGUCUGGUGGCCGGCAGACCUAGAGACGGCGUACGGUUGGCGAGAGUUCUUGGAGAUGUGAUACCCUAACUUUUAGGAUACUAUUGUUGUUUAGUUUCAAAGAGGAUAUUAUGAUUUCUUUAUUUAAGACAUUGUUUUGCUUUAAACAUGACAAACGCUAAAUUCUAGAAACCAUAAAGUCUAAUAAAAAAACCCUAGUUUACUUGUGACUAACCGAUUUUCUUAAAUCUCUCAUUUUGAAUCAAAACCCUAAUUGUAAUCACUGGAAUUGUAAAAUCCCUCAUAUUUUCUUAAAAUUCCUUUUUAUUUGGCAUUUAUUCCCUUAUAAUAGCUAUACUACUCAUUUUACAUCCCCAAUGUUUAGAAUAAAGAAUAGAAUUAAGAGUUUUCCCUUUUGCAUUCAUCGUUAGGGUAAACUAAGAUUUUUACGCCUAUCCGUAAUGUGACUGUGACGACCCCACUUCUCCCAAGGGCGGAUCCAAGGGUAUCGGCGGGCCGCCUGCCUAGCUCACGCCAGGACUCAAAACUUAAAGUUCGAAAGAGCACUAAAUACAAUAUAUACAAUCCAAAAGUUAUAUUUACAUCUUCAUAAGUCUCGAGUCAAACCACUCUAAUAUACUACAACCACAACCAGCAGAAGAUAGACCCUAAGAAGGGUCCUUAUACAAAUCACCAAAACAAAAACAAACAUCCUAACUGUCCAACUAUUACAAACAAACUUAACUACACUAGUGUAAGUGCCAAAAUCCCCGCGUCGGCCCCUGCUAAGGAAAACAAAAGGAAUGGGGUAAGCUAAAUGCUUAGUAAGUAAACAGGGGCGAAAGCAUAAAUUCACGUAGCAACAAUUACACAAUAAGAGUAAAGCAAAAGCAGAAAAGUAACAUCACAUAAUAAGGAUACAGGUGGUUCCAAAGCCAAUUCAUAUGCCAUGCGUGAUCUCCUACCGACACUCCGUCGACCACACUUAAUAGUCCGUAGAACUUCACUUGUACACCCACCGACACCUUAUCACCCUCACUGGCCAAUCACCUCACAAACUUGCCCGGGCGAACGAAAUCACAAACUUGAGCUUGAGUCACAAGUUCGGGUCACAAACUUGGUCACCUUCUCGGUGAACCGGAUUCACAAAAUUGGUUCAUAACAUGAACCUACAAACUUGGUGACCUCAGACUAAGUUGGACUGACUUCGACCAAGCCCUAACCGGCUCGAAUAGUCCAAAUAGGUCUUAGAUCGGGCCCACGAACUCACAAACUUUACAAACUUCACAAACUUUACUCGAAAGUCGCCCCGAGCCACAAGCUCAAGGGUUUUGGUUCCAAAAGGUUCAUAUACAUAUGCCAAGUACAAUUAUACAUUCAAAUUAGGGUUUAGGUCGAGUGCGAUAAAGUACACCCUCGCCUAAGUACCCUUUUCACAUAUCUCAAACACAUAGCAAAGAAAACACAUCAAACUGGCCUGAAUACUUACUCAGAAACUGAAAUAGCAAAAGUACGAAGUCGGAUCGAAAUGAACAGCUAGUAGUGGGCCCCACCAGUUCCGCCCAGCUCACCACCGUCUGAAAUAGAAGAUUGUGUCACAUAAUAUCGCAAACGGCUACUAUCGUGCCUAAAACAAGCAAAACGGCAAACGACACGCGCGCACGUAAAUAUGACGAACGGAAACGGAAACGGCCGUUAGCGGAAACGGCAGAUUUGACACUCGUUUCUAGUUUACUCAUAAGUUGAGCUACGAAUAUCGGAUUAAGGCGUAUGAGAUGCCAUAUCGAAGCUUAAAGGAUGAACAACAACUGUUAUGAAGACAUCCAGAACUGAAACUGGAGGCUUCAGUCCCAAAUGAACCAAACACAAUCACUUACGAAAUCUGGCCAAUGCACAAAUGGUCAGUUUUGAGUGCAAACUGUUUUCUAUGCUACACAUGGUCAAAAGAGCUGAAAAUUGGCAGUUAGAUAGUUCAUUCCAAAUGGAACAACUUUCAUGAAGGUCGGCAAUCCAAAUUCGGAACGGAAAUUGGUCAUCAGGACCAAAACAGAUCUGACCAGAAAAUGGUCAUCUUCACGGCCAGGCCUUAUUUGCUCGGCUAUAUCUCAGGUUUUAUAAAUCCGAUUCAUGAAAUUCCAAGGGCGUUAGAAAGCUCUGAUAUAAGGCUAUAAGUUUGGUGUUUUGGUCGCAAGCCCAAACAGCUUGUAACCCAGUCAAAUGUGAAGCCAAAGUUCCAGUCGUAAACUUUCCAAAAACGUAACAGAAUUUGACGGUCAAAACAGGUCUGAGUAUUUCGUUUAUAGCUCAGGAUAUACUAAUCCGUUUAACCUGAAAAUUUACAGGAAUAUCCAGGACUUAAGGGGCUACAAUGUUGAAGAAGGAAACUUUGUCCAAUUUUGAAUGUAACAAGGUCAAAAAUGCAAGACACUAUACCAGAAUCGCAAAACAGGAUCACAAACCGUAUUUGACCUCAAUAUGCGGUAAUGGCACCAAAUUCACUACGGUUAUCGGAUGGGGGUGUAAGACCCACCGUUUCGAAGCUAAGAAACAGGGCUACAACAAUGUAGAAGGCCACUCAGUCCAAAUCCUAGCACAACUAGGUCAAAUAUGCAAAAUACGAAACCAGAAUUACCAAAACAGGUUUGCAAAUCACAUAAUGCUGUAAUGAGUCCAACUCAGUCUAUACAAGUCCAAAUGCAUUGAUUCCAAAGGCAUAUGGUAGCUAAGACAUUCCUCUAUAUUUCAUCAGAAGACACCAACAUCUAAAACCAAAGCAAUUCCAGUCAAAAUGGCCAAUUACAAGUGCAGUUUUCGCAUUCUGAUCAACCCAGAACAGCAACAGUAAAAUCGACAUAUCUCACUCUACACUAAUCCAAAUGACCUGAAAUUUUACAGGCACCUCAAACACAUCAAUACCUACAAGUUUCAUGUUUUAAUCAAAGUCCAAUUCGGCCUCUAACCCUAUGAUCCAAAACCGGACAGAAUUAGGGGUUUUGAAACCCUAACAUUUCACAUUUCAAUCCAAAUCCAAAAUUGGUUGCAAUUAUCAACAAUUCACAUCCACUAGAGUCAUAACCCCUCAUUAUCAACCAUCAUAAAUGACCACAACAUCACACUCAUAUUAAACCAGAAAAUUCCUCAAAAAUAUAAAAACUUCACCAAGUCACUUCAAAUCAAGAAAUAAAUCACAAAUAUCAUCACUUUAUCCACUACUAAGCAUAACUUAAGCAUCAUUAGGUGUAGGAGUAUGUUCAAUCAUCACUUACCUAGUAUACAAGAGAAGAGGAGUUGUAGACCACCUUAGCUCUUCCAAACAAAUCCACAAAACAACUCACAACCACCACUUGAAGGUGUUUUAUGGAGCAAAAUCAAGGUUGGAUGGUUGGUUUUGAUGAUUUGGAACAAGAUUGAAGUGUUUCUUCCUUGUACUUGGAGUAAGAGAGAGAGAAAGAGAGGAAGAGAGGGCCAGCCACAAGGUGAAAGAAAAUGGUGAUUUUUGGUUAAUUUUUUAGAUAUUUAACCAAUUUGGUCAAAAGUCAAAAAAUGAAAUAGUAAUUCAUAAGUCUUCUCCAAUGAAAUGGUGACACUUGUCACCACCAUUAAUGCAUUCCUAUCCUUUCUUUUCUCUCUCACAUCAAUCAUUUCACACACUCUACUUAUCUCUUAACACCCGAUAAAUUUUACACAGUAUCCGAAACUUAACCUAAUUGGCCGAAUUUUCCGAACUUUUCGCACUAGUGGGCCCCACGUCCAAUAUAUAUUCUUAAUUUUCUAAAAAAUUCUCCAAUACUAGAAAAUCAUCUAAAAACUAUAAUUACUCAUAAAAUUCACCAGGAAAAUAUUCCUAAGCCCGAAAAUGCAGAAAACCUGCCAUUAAAGGGUUUAACCCUAGGAAAAUUUAUUAGGGUUUUACGGGUUCUCACAGUGACUCUCCGGUAUGGAGAGUGGAUCAAAUUUGGUGAUUAAGAGUGAGUUUUAGAUAAUAUUAAGUGUAUGAUGAGAAGUGAUAAUAAUAAGUUAGUGAAUUAUAAGUUAAAACCCUAGUAUACGCGAUUUAAAGAAAAUCGGCUCGAACCGAUGGGUACCGUUCACUACCAAUUGAACACACCAUUUGACCACCAUUUUUAUCAAGUUAAUCUUCUUGAUAUUAGAGCUUAAAUAUCAGCUCAAAAUCUGAUCUUGAGGGCCGAAAUUUUUUACUUGGAAAACAAGAGAAAAGAAAAAAUUUUGGAUUAACCAAAGUGUGACACUUGUUGGUUACUUAGAGACCUUUGACCAAGCCAAUUUUCUUUACUUCUUAUCUUCACUUUGGCUCCAUUUCUUCACCAUUUUUCCUUGGAUUGGCUGAGAGCAAGAGAGGGAGAAAGAGUGAAGAGAGCUUUCCAUUUCAACCUUGAAUCAAGCCUUGUGAGUGAAAACAAGAACAAAUAAACCGAUUAACUUGUAAUUGGAAGCUUGGGAAGCUUAGGGAACUAAAAAUUUCAAGGGGAAGUGAAGAAGAACACUAGAAAGCUCUGGUUUUGAGGUAAAAUAGCUGACUACUCUUUUCUUUUCCCUUAAUCAUGUUGGAGUUGUUUAGUAACUUGUAUUUGUGAUUGUGAUGCUUAAAUGAAGGGAAUUUGGAUGAUUGGGGUGAUGCAUUUGAGUUAGGAUUUGAAUGAUUCCCUUAUCAUACUUGUUGUAUGGAUAGUAUAUGAUGUAUAUAAGCUUGUAUAUGAGGUGGUAGUGAUGGUUUUAUGUGACGCCCCGAAAAGUAGGGUUUUCAUUUUAUGGAUAUUUUCGUUGGACGAGCGAAGGAGCACAACUUUUAAAUUUGGAAAAAAAGAAAAAAUUUUGGAAAAGUGAAAGGGGCCAAAUCCGGCCGGGAAUCCGGCCAGUUUCUGGCCGGAUAGUUGGCCGGAUAGCUGGCCGGAUUGCCUUGCCAUUUUGAAAAAAAAAUUGGUUUCGUCUCUGCCUCGAAUCCGGCCAAGAAUCCGGCCAGAUUCCGGCCGGAAUCUGGAGUGGCAUGUCGGCCAACAGCUUUGACCAGCUGAUUUCUCUGUCUUUUUAUACUGUUUUGCACCCCAAAAAUAUCUCAUUUUUGCUUCAGCUCAACCGAGCUCUUGAGAAAAGAAAAACUCUUCCAUUUUCUAGUUUUAAUUUCUACCAAAAUCUUGAGUUUUCACCAAUGAUUUUGGACAAUACUUCAUACAAGGGCUCACUAUGGUGGACUAAGGCUCUUGAUGGAUUGGAUUUGGAUGGGGUGCUCCAUGUUGAUAGCUUCUUGAAUUUGUGAGGUAAGAUGUUUAAGAAAGGUCUUUCUUGUUUGGAUAAUGCUAUAUUAGUAACUUGUAGAGGUUGAAUGUGUUAUAUUGUGGAGUAUUUCAUGGGUUUAAGGAAACUAUGGUGAAUUUCUAAUUUAUUGGGUAUUUUUCUGAUUUUAUAUGAAAGGCAUGAUUAGUGUUGGAUUGAUGGUUUGAAAUGGUGUUAAAUGGAACCGUUAUAUGUUAAUUACGGUUGUUUACGGAAAAUUUCCGCUUGUGAUGUGAUUUCCGGUUUCUAGGGUUUAAAUUGGGGAUUUUCUUAGGAUUGGUUUAUAUGGCUUUAAUUGAAGGGGCAUUGUGGCUCUAAUUGAGUGUAUUUGCUGGUCUAUAAUUGUAUGUAAAAUUGGGGAUUGAAUUGAGGUACACUUGGUAUUGAAUGGUAGGUUGGAAAUGUGUAUAUUUUAGGGGUUAUGCCGUCCAAGUUUUGAGAGUAUGUGUUUGUUUUGAAUUUGAAUUGAUCUUGAUUCGUUUUAUGGAAAUUCUUGUGAUUUGGAAAUUGGGAGGAUUAAGUUCCAUAUUAGUGACAUUUCUACAUUUUGUUUAAGGUAGUUCAUCAUUGUUUUGCCCUGUACAUGAUUGGUAUAGGCUAGUCUCAUGAUUACGUGGGAAUUUCUAGCCCUUAAUUGUGAUUAGUGAUAGUUAUAUGCAAAGGUCGGUUCAAGAAGAGUAAUUUCAGUUUUUUCCCUGUUUUGGACUGAACUUGGACUGCCAUUUUCUCUAUACUGUGGAUCGAAUCAACUUUUACUCAAAACAUGAAACUUGUAGAUAUAUGAGUUGACUACUUGCCUACAAAAUUUCAGAUUGAUUGGAGUACUGUAGCUUGUGAAUUGACCGAAACACCCAUCACUGCCCUAUAACCCCUGUUUCAUGACAGUUUUCAUUCUUUCUCUAAAAUUUGACUUUUGACCCUGAAAAUGUAUUAUUUGUGUCGCGCCCCAUUUUUUGAUAAAUAAAUAAAUGGUUUAAAAAUGUAUUUUGAUUUAAUUUAUGAUUGGAAAAUGAAUUGUGAUUUAAAAGAAAAAUGGGUCUAAAUGGGGGUUUGAAAAUGCGACGAUUUGACCCAAAAUUAUAGUUUAAAAAGGGUUUUUGAAAAAAAUGGGAGUCGCCACUUGGUAAUGAGUUAAGGUGUACCAAGUCACCUAAAAAUGGAUUUUUUAGGAAAAAGUUGUAAGAAACCCCUUUUAAACGACUCCUAAUCCACGUAAACCAAAAAAAAAGGUUCGGGAGUCCAUUUGACGAAGGGGAAGACAAGGAUAAAAAUCCAAGGCAUCCCUUCGACCUAGCCAAGGCUAGUUGCGUGAUUUAAUCAAAGUCUUUCUUAUUUUAACCAAAGAAUUUAUUACAUUUGGAUGCACUACAUGAAUGCAAAAGGAAAGAAAAAAUGCAAACCUAAAUUCUAAAAUGUCUCUUGUAAGGUUUUUGGUCCCAACCACAUGAAUUGUGGCGGCCAAUAAAGGAAAACCUUAUAGAGGUCGAUUAAUGCAAAUGAUGGCUAAAGUGCAAGUGUGCAAGUGUAUAAAAAGGCGCACGUGUGAAAUUGUAUGAAAAGUCCAAGUGUUUGUGUGCAAGUGUAUGGAAAGGUGCAUGUGUGAAUUUGUAUGAAAAAUCCAAGUGUUUGUGUGCAAGUGUAUAAAAUAUAGUGAUAAGUGCAUAUAGGUGUAAUUAAGUGCAAUUUUGUGAAGUAGAAAUCAAAAUGAACAAUAAGGAAAGGAAAAGUGAUGAGGAAAUGUGAAUUGAAAAAAAUGAGUAAGUGAUAAAUGAGAAUGAAUGAACCUAAAGGAAUGCAUCAGGUCGGGUGUGGAAAUGACUCCUAACUUUUUCGACUUCGAUUUUCCCUUUGAUUAGAAGGCAAAACUAGCGUGCUAAGGCUAUCGAGUAGCCACACUCGCUCGUUUCCCUUAUCGGAAGGGACUCUCACGCAAGUGUACCCUAUAACUAGUAUGAAAUGCAAAAUCCUAAAAUGAGGGGAAAAGGGGUUCGAGGAGCAUGCAAAAAUGAUAAAACUAAAAAGAAUGCAUGACAUGUAAUGAACAUGCAAACAUGUACUAACGAGGGGAAAUCCCUAAGGGUCUAGCGUUGGACUAGCCCAUUCUAUGAAUUCCGACUAGCGUUGGACUAGCGGAAACGUACAUUCAUCCAUCAUAUUCAUUCAUGGCUAUGGAAAGCGAGUAGACAUGCCAAACACUCAUAAACACAUAGCACAUAACAUUUAGCAUGCUCGACUAGAUGCAAGGCCCUAACAAAGCAAAUUAACACUUAACACGUAGGCAUGCAACCAAGCUAAUGAACCUAUUACAUUCACUAACUAAAACAAAAAGGGGAAAGGGAAAAUGGACCAAAUUGCUCGCCACAGCCCUAUCUAUUACAAGCCAAGAGGUGUACACAUACCCCAUUAAAAGAAUAACUUAAUGAAAACAAAAAGUAAAUGACAUAAGUAAAAGGAAUUAAAGAAAAGCUAGGAAAGCAAAGUAGACAUGCAAUUCACUUAGCACGUUGAGUCACAUAGGAGAGAUACAAAGAGGGAUAAAAGAAAUUAUACCGCCCCCUUGAAUUGAUGCUCUAAAUGGAGUGAAAUCACUUAUUUAUCCUCCAAAAUAAAAGAAAUGGUCAAGGUACCAAUUUAUUUGGGGAAAAUUAAAGAAAAUUGGCAAACACAAGCUCACUUGGUCAUAAAGCCCUUAAACUCUUGCAUUAAGUAUCACCUUAGCAAAACAUGAUAACCAAUGAAGGCAAACAAGCAAUUGAAUUGAAACAUUAAUGCUACCAAAGACUCAAAUGUGAACACUAGCCAAGCAUUCAAGCUUAAUCAAACAUUUUUAAAAGCUUCAAGGGUCCAAAGGCAAAGAAAAAGUCAAGUAAUGGCUUAAAAUGCAGUAUUCUAAAACCCAUUUGCAAGAAGUUGGAACAUGCUUGGGCUUUUGUGGAACAUGGAGAAACUUGAGGGAUCGAAUUGAUUAAGUGUUCCAAUUACUUGGGCCAUAGUGAGUCAAGAGGGGACUUGGUGGUCAAAGUGCAAUUAUUCUAGGACUUAAUUGCAAGAAAUUAAAACAUAAUUGGGCCACAGUGCAACAAAGGGGAACUUGGGGAUCAAAAGGCAAAAUUCAGAAAACAUUUUCAUGCAGCUCAUGCAACAUACGCAGAAUCUUUUCUUCUGCAACAACCUUGCUGCAUUUUUCUAACGCAAAUUUUGGACUUCAGCAAACCAUCUUUAACCAAACUUUUCACCCAAACAAAAUCAUUACUUCAACACAUAUUAAUACCAUAAUCCAAUGAGCAAUGAACUUGGAAAGAAACCACGCAACUUAUUAAACUUUUCAUGCAGAUUUGCGGAUGAAGCUACUAAGACAGAAAGGGAGAGUUUGCUGCAAUUUUCAUCUUCAAUCAGAUUUCAGAAGAAACUAACACAAACUUUGGACAAAUUCUCUCAAACCCAUGUCCAAACUUUGAGUCAAGCCACACAACACACAACUUCAGCAUUCAAACAAACCAAAGCAUAGAAGGAAAAACAUGCAAAUGCUGGAAAAUUUUAUGCAAAAAGGUUCAGCAAUCCUGAUCUCGUUCAAAUUCCAGCAAGGUUUUUGAUUAUGGUUCAAAUGCUUCAAGGACUCAAACAUACAAACUUCAGCAAUUUUUCAGCAGCAAAUACACCCAUUUCAUCAUACAAACAAAUUCAUCAAACCAGAAAUUAUUGACCCAAAUUAAAACAUGAAAUUUUGUUUGCAGGAUUAAGAUGGCAAAUCUGGUUUUGAUCGACAACAAAAGAAAUAAAGAAAACUGCAGCAAGGUUUUCCUUUCAGCAACUACAAAUCAAGCGAACUACAAGCCUCCACUACUAAGCUCCCAACCAUUCUCAUGACAUCUCAGGCAAAUGGCAAGCAGAUCAGACAUGUUAAGCAAAGCUAAAGCUUCAGGAAACCAAGAAAAAAGAAAGGGUCUGUCCAUGCUGCUGCAACAAGCCGAGAGCUUCGAGCUUGUUGCAGCAGAAAAUUAUGCAUCGAAUCUCAGCUGGACAAAAAUUCAAGAAAGCGACAACAGCAACAUCAAGCAAUCUGCAUUCUUUUCAACAUGAGAUUAAACAGCAAAUUGAAUGACAAAACCCUGUUUAGCUCUUCCUAAUGGUAAUCAAGAUGACGGGCUAACAAGGCCUUCCCAGCUCUAAAUUUACUCCCAACCAAAAAGCAAAGAACCGACAUACAGGAAGCAUUGACAGCAAGCUUUCCUCGCAACAAAAAAAAAAACUUUUCAACCCCUGAUGCCUUGAGUUUUUUUAGCAACCUUACGUGACAGGUAUGUACUAAGUCAUAAUCCGACACAAAAGACAGCAAAAAGAUGAAAGGAAACAAGCAUGUAAAGAUCAAAGCUGCAAACUUUCUACUGGGAAUCUCGAGGCUCCUCUCAUGCGUAUGUUUUCAUAAAAAACCCGAAUGGAACCUUCAUUUCAUUAGCCCCCAAACUUCAGAUUCUUCAUUACCCAAAUAAGAACUAUCAAUCAUAUUGCAUCCGAAACUGAACCAGUAAACGGCAAAGAGAUGCCAACGACCAAUUAAAACAAGCAACUUUCAACUAUAAAAGGGUGAACACAAUACCUUGAUCAAGGAAGGGAACGUGGGAUGACCAGAAAAGGGCUCAAGUGAUUCUUUUAGACGCUCAAAGGAACGUGAGACUUUGAUGAAUGAAAACCCAGUCGCCGUCUUCCUGCAACCUCCAACCGCAGCUACCCUUUCCCUCUCUGGAGCUUUUCUUUUACCGUUUGUUCCAGCAGCCGCCGACCUCUCUCAAGCCUGUCGGUUUUUCUUUUCUCGUUUCUGAUGUUUCCUUUUUUUUUGAAGAUCCUCCCUUUUUGCUCUCUCUCUAUCAUUCUCUCGUUCGCCCUCUCCUUCACAUCCAAGAACCUCCUGUCGUUACUCCCUCACUCUUGCUCCCAGUUUUCUGUUUUGCUCCCCUCUCUUAUUUUUCUCUUCCGGCUGCUGCUCUAUCCUUUUUCCCCCUCCACUCUCUCAAAGCUGACCUUUUUCUUCACUGCUCAACCCCAGCCGUUGUUUCCUCCUUCUCUCGCCCUCUCUCACGAAGCUCUCAAACUCUCAGCCGCCCACUCUGUCCGGUUCCUCUAGUUUUCCAGAAUUUUUUUUUCAGCCGUCAAACCUCUCGUAUCUUUUCUUCCUCUUGCGGCUGCCUUUUCUUUUUGCUAUUUAUACCAGGAACCCCCCUCCUAAACCCUCAGCUAUACUCUCCAAAAUUUGCAGCUAAGGGGCUGCUAAGAGCCCCUCCUUGCAAACUGCUGAAAUACGCAGCUUCAUGCCACGUUUUCUCUCUUCUUUUUUUUUUUUUUAAAUAAACCAAACAAAAAUAAAAGAUAAAUUAAGUAGAAAUGACAAAAAUAGAUAAAUAAAACAAAAUUGCUAUUUUCUUUUUCUUUUUCUCUAUUUUUUCAUUUUUUCAUGAUUUUCCUUUUUCUCUUUUUUUUAUUCAUUUUUCCUUUUUCUCUUUUUUUUUUCAAGAAAUUCUAUGCUAAAAACUUAAAAAUAAAAAUAAAACUAUAAACUAAAAACUAAAAAUUGAAUAAAACUAACACGACAAAUAAAAAACUAAAAAUAAACAGUAAAUGAAAUUACACCAAAAAUUUGGUGUCUACAGUUUGUCUCUCUUUGUCUGAGUUUUGGAAAAACUUGAGACAAAGAAGUAGACACCAAAUACUUACCUGCGUUAUUCGGCUGCGAAUUACUCAAACGAUGGGGACUGACCCCUGACAGGAAAUUUUAAAAUCGGGACUGACCCGAGACAGGAUUUAAACGGGACUGACCCAAACAGAAAUAUAAAAUUGGGAUAGACCCACGGGAUAGACCCGAACAGAAAUUUAAAUUUGGGAUAGACCCCCGGGAUAGAUGGGAUAGACCCGGACAGAAAUGAAAUGCUUACUGGCGGGACAAAUCCAGCUCCAAUAGCAAUGAAAAUGAAAUGUCUUGACCAUCGGACAGUGGGAUCAAACCCGAGCCUGCCGUGAUGAACUUGAUUUGAUUUUUGACUUUUUUGAUUUUUUGAUUUUUCUUUUUUUUUUUUUAAAUAAACCAAACAAAAAUAAAAGAUAAAUUAAGUAGAAAUGACUAAAAUAGAUAAAUAAAACAAAAUUGCUAUUUUCUUUUUCUUUUUCUCUAUUUUUCAUUUUUUCAUGAUUUUCCUUUUUCUCUUUUUUUUUAUUCAUUUUUCCUUUUUCUCUUUUUUUUUUCAAGAAAUUCUAUGCUAAAAACUUAAAAAUAAAAAUAAAACUAUAAACUAAAAACUAAAAAUCGAAUAAAACUAACACGACAAAUAAAAAACUAAAAAUAAACAGUAAAUGAAAUUACACCAAAAAUUUGGUGUCUACAGUUUGCCCCUCUUUGUCUGAGUUUUGGAAAAACUUGAGACAAAGAAGUAGACACCAAAUACUUACCUGCGUUAUUCGGCUGCGAAUUACUCAAACGAUGGGGACUGACCCCUGACAGGAAAUUUUAAAAUCGGGACUGACCCGAGACAGGAUUUAAACGGGACUGACCCAAACAGAAAUAUAAAAUUGGGAUAGACCCACGGGAUAGACCCGAACAGAAAUUUAAAUUUGGGAUAGACCCCCGGGAUAGAUGGGAUAGACCCGGACAGAAAUGAAAUGCUUACUGGCGGGACAAAUCCAGCUCCAAUAGCAAUGAAAAUGAAAUGUCUUGACCAUCGGACAGUGGGAUCAAACCCGAGCCUGCCGUGAUGAACUUGAUUUGAUUUUUGACUUUUUUGAUUUUUUGGAUUUUUUGAUUUUUUGAUUUUUUUUUUUUUUGAGAAACUUUCCAAGGAUAAUUUGCCCCAGUAUAAUGAAAUGGUCAGUGGGAUUAAACCCAAGCCUGCCCAAUGGGAUGUUGGCGGCACGAAAUCCAGGCCCAACGUGAUCUUGUGAAGUUGGCGGCAUAAAGUCCAGGCCCAACGUGAUGUUCGAAUGUUGGCGGCACGAAAUCCAGGCCCAACUUGAUCUUUGGAAUGUUGGCGGCACAAAGUCCAGGCCCAACGUGAUUUUUGUGAGGUUGGCGGCACGAAAUCCAGGCCCAACAUGAUGGUGUGGCGGCACAAAGUCCAGGCCCAACGGGAUCCUUGUGAGGUUGGCGGCACGAAAUCCAGGCCCAACUUGAUCUUUGGAACGUUGGCGGCACGAAACUCAGGCCCAACGGGAUGUUUGAGAUGUUGGCGGCACCAAGUCCAGGCCCAACGUGAUUUUUGGAAUGUUUGUGAAUGGUCAGUGGGAUAAGACCCAGUCCUGCCAUCCAAUUGGUCAAGAAACUGAAUUUGAUUUUCCAAGAAACAAGAAUUUGAACUUGAUUUUUGACUUUUGAAUUUUUCUGAUUUUUUUUGUAAGAAUCUUUUUCAAAAUAAUUUGCCCCAGUGUAGGGCCCUUUUCCCUUCUUUUUCUCUUUCUUCGGCAUCGGCCUUCCACAUCACCAGAUGCUCUUUCGUCGAUUUCAACAAUGAAUAUCUGCACAGGGGCUUACCAAAAUAUGACAUGCAUUCACAUUUACAUGAAAAGAGCAGCGUGAUUGAUUCGAAAAUGUAUCAUUUUCACUUUUGGACGAAAUCCUCAAAUGUAUUGAGGAAAAUUUUGCCCCAGUGUGGGCUUAUUUUAUGAAAUCUCAUGAACAAAAUUUUGCCCCAGUGUGGGCUCCCUUGAUUGCAACAAUUUGUUCAGAUGAUUUCCCAUUUAUUUGAACAAAGAGAAACAGCACUUCUAAAAUUUAGAAAAUAGUCAUAUAUACAAUGUGAAAACACUUAACGUCGAGUUUGAACUCAUGCAAAAAUUUCAUGGUGAAUCCCUUAGAAUAACACCAAAUUCAAGAAGAUUUCUUCUUCACUUUUAGCAUCGAUGCUUAGGAUAACAGGUCACCACUUUCUGGUUGGCUCAUCUGUCAGGACCAAUCAAGUGACUUUAUUUUUGAUUUGGAAAUGGCUGAAGGAAAUGGGAGGUCAAGAUUUGUCUCUUUUUUUUUUUUGUGCUCAAAAUUGUAAUCGAUUCAACAUCACAUCUUAGUGAAAGCAGAGAGUUUGUCACCCUUAUUCCUUAAGAAAAUUGAGUCAACAUAUAAGCUUUAAACUUGCAACCAAUGGGUAGGAACGAUAGCUAAACAUGCGAAAACUGGUUAUACCCUUAUGAUCAUAAAUAAUUGAUGGAUUCCUUACGAGCAUAAUCCUCACUUUGGAUUGUCAUGAAGGAAUAAGUCAACGAUGGACUUUAUUAGCUUGUAAUGUGGCUUGAAAACGAUAGCUAAAGAAUAAAACUUUCAAGGACAUAGCACCGAAGAUCGCAUUUUUCUCAAAAUUGCCCCUAUUUUGAACCCGAAGAUUCUAAACUUUGUUUGAUCAUUCAAAAGGGACUUCACCAUCGAAUCUUUUGUAUUUCAUUUUUCCUUUUUGCUUUUCCGUUUUCUUUUCUUUGAUCUGGUGGGUUUUCACAUGGUGAGUAGCGUCAACCCCAUACCCAAGCAAUUCAGAAAUACAGCUAAAAUUUUCCGGCAUCAGAAAUUUUCUUGACAGGGCCAUUGCAAAGAACAGGAGUCAGGACUUUCAGCUUUUGUAAUGGGGUCUGGUGGGGUGUUUAGAAAAGUUAAGGCUUGAAGGCAGAUUUCAAGAAUGGUUUAAAGAAUCUGAGAUCGCAUUGUUGUGCCAACCCUAUUUUAGGGUUAAAUCAGAACUUGCCCCAGUUUAUGCUCAAUUGAGGCUUUUUCUUUUUCAUUUUCUUUCUUCUUUUGAUUUUUCGGCUUUCUGCCAUUUUUUGAAAUUUUCACAAAACUUGCCCCAGUUUAUUUGUGAACUGAGGUUCUCAUUUCUUCUUUUGUCUUUUGAUUUUGUGGCUUUUCACUUUUCACUUCUUGAAAUUUUCAUUUUCAACUCAAACUUGCCCCAGUGUGGGGUUUGCAAUUCUCAGGGGUUGCCAAACGAAAUAAUUCAUUCUGAAGGCUCAAAAGGGAUAACUAAGGAUAGAAUGUUCGCUUGGAAAAGAAGAGGGCCUGACCUUUAUCCCGUUCUUUACAUUAACUCUGAAAGGAAACUUUCAUUAAUGACGAAAUUUCUCGCAUGUAUUUGAAUUAAUUGACUGAGGAAGACGCCUGUGAAGCAUAGAUGAUCCGCCAGAUGAAAUUCUUCCUUUUCUUUUUUCAACAUUGGAACCCAAGUGGAAUCAAAUUUCCAAUUUGCGGUUCUCUCCCUUUUAGCCUUAGCAUUUUGGCUUUUCUCUCUCUUUUGGAAAAUUCUCCAAUCUUCUUCCCCAGUGUGGGGGCAAUCAUAAGUGCUUUGAAAAGAACCAGCAAUUUUGGCUCAAAUGAGGAUGCAAGGGAUAAAGCAGUGUUUAAAUGGUAGAAACGAUGGCCAAAGCAUCAUUCUUACGCUUCAUGACAAACCAAAGUAAAGAAAUGCUCAUUGAGAAUCCAUUCCCCCUUUUGAUAUUCGAAAAUUUUCCCAUGUAGGGUUGUGAUCAUCAAGGCGCUUAUUUGAAACGAAGUUAUUCUUUUAAAGGCUCAAACGGGAGAGCAAAUGAUAAAAUCUGUAUGGGUAGAGAAACGAAUGCUCAAAGUAUCAUUCCAAAUUUUCAAAACAAAUAAGAAUAAUGCACCCUUUCGCUUUCACUUAGAUAUGAUUUGAGUCUAAUUAGACACUAUGGACAUUUUUCCAAGUAAAGGUUGCCCCAAUGGGGUCAAUAGAAGUGGCAAAACAUGAAUUGUUCAGCGAAGGAGAAAAGGUAUCUCAUUGGGCCUUUUGAAGGACCUCUCUUAUUUUUGAGCACUUUUAUUGUACAGCUCGGAUCACCAACCUGGUAUGCAUGAAGAUUUUAGAGAGUAUACACUUGUGAAUCCUGAGACUGAGGUUGGAAAAAAUCUCAAUUUGGUUUUAUUUCUCAAAAUUCAUCAUGAACUCUCCAAUGAGUAAGAAUAAAGAAUGAAAUGUACAUGAAUAUAAAAAAAACAAUAAUUGUCCAAAAAUUUCUAUUGCUGAAAAAAUUUGAAACAAAAUUUCUCGUUCAAUUAUGAUACAAAUGAGAAGAAAAAAAAACUUCUAAAGAGCUCCACAUAUAUACUCUUUUUGUCUCCCUUUCUUUUCGAGCAAAAAUGUAUUAACACAUCAAAUAAACAGAAUUUUCCUUUGAAAAACAAUUAUAAAGCCUCUCAGAGAUUUUGGCCCAGAGCCUUCAGAUGGAUCUUUCAUGUCUCCGUGGCAAGAUCUACCCAAGAAUCAAAUAAUACUUGUAACCUUCAAACUUUAUUGGACCAAAAUUAUCAUCAGAUAUAGAAGAAUGUUUUCGCCUUAUUGAAACAUUUUAUGAAUGCAGGGGAGGGGAAAACAAAAGAAAAAUACCCCGAGUUAGUAGGCAAAACUGCAAAAUCGGUAUGCAUGUCCUAUGGGGAAGCCCUUUUAUGCCAAGGGUAGGCCUAGCAUGAAAAUGCAAUCCUCUAGGGUAGGCACUAUACCAUACCUGAUGGAUCCGAUCAACUUGUUGAGUGAAAAAUAAUUUGAAAAAUUUGGCCCAUUGGAAUGAGAAGAGACGUUGGUCAAAAUGAGGACCUCGUCCGAAGGGAUUGAUCACUUUUGAUCGAUACAAGAAUUUGCAAAAAACGUACGGGUUUGUCCUUGACGAACUUCCUAUCGAAGAGAUUGGAAUUCGUUUUGACAAAUUUUCUCAGUGAAGCACGGGUCAAAGCUCCAACUGAUCAAAUGGCUGGAUGCAAUGGACGGUUUUCUCAAAAUGGACUAGGUUUUCCAAUUUGAAUUUCUUCAUUGAAACCCUAAUUGGUCAAAUUGAUGGAAUGAAAUUGACCAUUUAUUUAAAAUCGACCAGAUUACCCUAAAAAGGGAAACUAGUCAAAUGAAUUGAGUGAAAUUUAAUUUAUCCAAAAUUAAUCAGAUCACCCUAAAAAGGGUAAAUUGAUCAAAUAGAUUGAACGAAACUUGAUUUAUUCAAAAUCGGCUCGGUUGCCCCAAAAAUGGGUAAAUUGGUCAAAUGAAUGAAAUUGAAUUAGUGAUUUAUUCAAAAAUCGGCCGAAUGACCCUAAAAAGGGUAAAUUUGUCAAAUGAAUUGACGAUUUAUUCAAAAUCGACCAGGUGACCCUAAAAAGGGUAAAUUGGUCAAAUGACCCUAAAAAGGGUAGAUUGGUCAAAUGAAUUGACGAUUUAUUCAAAAUCGACCGGAUGACCCUAAAAAGGAUAAAUUGGUCAAAUGACCCUAAAAAGGGUAAAUUGGUCAAAUGAAUUGAUGAUUUAUUGAAAAACGACCGGAUGACCCUAAAAAGGGUAAAUUGGUCAAAUGACCCUAAAAAGGGUAAAUUGGUCAAAUGAAUUGAUGAUUUAUUGAAUAAAUCGGCAAAAUGGAUUGAUUGAAUUGUCCGGCCAUUGGUUAUUUCAAAAUUAUUGAAGUGCAUUAGUCUAUGACCUUCUAAAAAUCAAAUUUUGGCCUCAAUUUAUUUAUCGUCUCAAAAGGAGGAAUCAUUUGUGAAUUUCUUCAAAUUAAUGUCCUUCACGCAAGGGAUUUUUACCAAUUUUUGAUAAAAUGGCCAAAAAGUGAUUAUUAGAUGCUCAUAUUCCAAAGAUCACCCUAUGAAAAUGAUCAAAACCUACCUUACCUUGUGCACUACCCCUUUGGAUGGUACAAAAUGUAAACGUGCAAGUCUCACUGGAUUAAGUAUCCGAGACACAAGGUGGCUUAUUCCUAACACGGGAUCCCCUAAAUGGCAUUUCCUUUCUAGGGUUUAUGCAUGAUGCCAUUUAUUAAAGCGAUAAAAUGUGCAAUUCGAAAUGAAACGUGACCUAAGGAACCCUUUAUUUGCCAGGGUGGGCCUAAAAUGCUAUGCAAUUACCAAAAUCUAUGAAUGCAAUAUACCAAAAUCUUUAAACGUGCAAUAACCUAUCUACGAGGGUAGGUUCUAAAAGAAAGGUCAUGCCAGACCUCUUAUUUGAUAGGGUUUGUGAAUGCAAUGGGGACAUAAAACCAAGAAAAGUUAGUUCAGCCAGAGAAAUACACAUAACACAUUGUAGCAACAAAAUAAAACAAUCAACACAAAGUAAUAAAAGGGAAAAAGGGGGUUGGAUCCCUCCCCUCGUGAAUAGUGUCCCUAACUCAGGAUAAGGCCGACUCUACCCUAAGGCAAUUCUAAUAUGGAUGCAUGAGGCUGGGGUUCGCUAAUGCAUCUAGACUCGAUAAGCUCAGGUCCCCGAGCCUUCAGACUUAGAAACCAAGGGUCAUCAAUCCCAAGGUUCUUUGUCGGUGGCUCGAGCGAUUCCCCAAACACCGCUACGCACACAUCGUGUCACGGCUACGUGUUUGAGUGAAUCUAUCAAAAUCCUCAACCUUCGACUAAAAGCUAAAGGCUAUCAACCCAUAGCUUAAAGCGGAAGAUUGAGUGACCCAUCGAACCAUGCUACACACACAUCGUGUCAUGAUCACACGUCCAAGUGGGUCGCCUAAAAUCCUAAUAGGGUGGAGUGGCGUGACAAGCCACUAAAAGAAAAAUAAAUGGGGGUUAAAAAUAAUUAAAGCGUAUGCACGUAUGCUAGUGCUCGUUUGGAGGGGAGGGAUCAAGAACCAACGUGAGGCUCUAAGGUGAAGUCCCCCUCCCAAAAUGCAAUGCAAAGCGCGGAAUCACAUACAUAAACCAUUCAUCAAUCAAAACAAUCAUACGCCAAAUGAAUAAGUGAGGGAGUUGGUACACGUGAAAUGCAAAAAUCCUAAUAAAAGGAAAAAUGCAAUCCUAAACACCCAAAUGUGAUAUAUGAAAAGAUUAAAAGAAGAAAAAGGUUGAUUAAAUCAAAUUUGCUCGGACUCUCGAAUGUCCCCAGUGGAGUCGCCAACUGUCGCGCCCCAUUUUUUGAUAAAUAAAUAAAUGGUUUAAAAAAUGUAUUUUUGUGAUUGAAAAAAUGAAUUGUGAUUUAAAAGAAAAGUGGGUCUAAAUGGGGGUUUGAGAAUGCGACGAUUUGACCCAAAAUUGUAGUUUAAAAAGGGUUUUUGAAAAAAAUGGGAGUCGCCACUUGGUAAUGAGUUAAGGUGUACCAAGUCACCUAAAAAUGGAUUUUUUAGGAAAAAGUUGUAGGAAACCCCUUUUAAACAACUCCUAAUCCACGUAAACCAAAAAAAAAGGUUCGGGAGUCCAUUUGACGAAGGGGAAGACAAGGAUAAAAAUCCAAGGCACCCCUUCGACCUAGCCAAGGCUAGUUGCGUGAUUUAAUCAAAGUUUUUCUUAUUUUAACCAAAGAAUUUAUUACAUUUGGAUGCACUACAUGAAUGCAAAAGGAAAGAAAAAAUGCAAACCUAAAUUCUAAAAUGUCUCUUGUAAGGUUUUUGGUCCCAACCACAUGAAUUGUGGCGGCCAAUAAAGGAAAACCUUAUAGAGGUCGAUUAAUGCAAAUGAUGGCUAAAGUGCAAGUGUGCAAGUGUAUAAAAAGGUGCACGUGUGAAAUUGUAUGAAAAGUCCAAGUGUUUGUGUGCAAGUGUAUGGAAAGGUGCAUGUGUGAAUUUGUAUGAAAAAUCCAAGUGUUUGUGUGCAAGUGUAUAAAAUAUAGUGAUAAGUGCAUAUAGGUGUAAUUAAGUGCAAUUUUGUGAAGUAGAAAUCAAAAUGAACAAUAAGGAAAGGAAAAGUGAUGAGGAAAUGUGAAUUGAAAAAAAUGAGUAAGUGAUAAAUGAGAAUGAAUGAACCUAAAGGAAUGCAUCAGGUCGGGUGUGGGAAUGACUCCUAACUUUUUCGACUUCGAUUUUCCCUUUGAUUAGAAGGCAAAACUAGCGUGCUAAGGCUAUCGAGUAGCCACACUCGCUCGUUUCCCUUAUCGGAGGGGACUCUCACGCAAGUGUACCCUAUAACUAGUAUAAAAUGCAAAAUCCUAAAAUGAGGGGAAAAGGGGUUCGAGGAGCAUGCAAAAAUGAUAAAACUAAAAGGAAUGCAUGACAUGUAAUGAACAUGCAAACAUGUACUAACGAGGGGAAAUCCCUAAGGGUCUAGCGUUGGACUAGCCCAUUCUAUGAAUUUCGACUAGCGUUGGACUAGCGGAAACGUACAUUCAUCCAUCAUAUUCAUUCAUGGCUAUGGAAAGCGAGUAGACAUGCCAAACACUCAUAAACACAUAGCACAUAACAUUUAGCAUGCUCGACUAGAUGCAAGGCCCUAACAAAGCAAAUUAACACUUAACACGUAGGCAUGCAACCAAGCUAAUGAACCUAUUACAUUCACUAACUAAAACAAAAAGGGGAAAGGGAAAAUGGACCAAAUUGCUCGCCACAGCCCUAUCUAUUAGAAGCCAAGAGGUGUACACAUACCCCAUUAAAAGAAUAACUUAAUGAAAACAAAAAGUAAAUGACAUAAGUAAAAGGAAUUAAAGAAAAGCUAGGAAAGCAAAGUAGACAUGCAAUUCACUUAGCACGUUGAGUCACAUAGGAGAGAUACAAAGAGGGAUAAAAGAAAUUAUACCGCCCCCUUGAAUUGAUGCUCUAAAUGGAGUGAAAUCACUUAUUUAUCUUCCAAAAUAAAAGAAAUGGUCAAGGUACCAAUUUAUUUGGGGAAAAUUAAAGAAAAUUGGCAAACACAAGCUCACUUGGUCAUAAAGCCCUUAAACUCUUGCAUUAAGUAUCACCUUAGCAAAACAUGAUAACCAAUGAAGGCAAACAAGCAAUUGAAUUGAAACAUUAAUGCUACCAAAGACUCAAAUGUGAACACUAGCCAAGCAUUCAAGCUUAAUCAAACAUUUUUAAAAGCUUCAAGGGUCCAAAGGCAAAGAAAAAGUCAAGUAAUGGCUUAAAAUGCAUUAUUCUAAAACCCAUUUGCAAGAAGUUGGAACAUGCUUGGGCUUUUGUGGAACAUGGAGAAACUUGAGGGAUCGAAUUGAUUAAGUGUUCCAAUUACUUGGGCCAUAGUGAGUCAAGAGGGGACUUGGUGGUCAAAGUGCAAUUAUUCUAGGACUUAAUUGCAAGAAAUUAAAACAUAAUUGGGCCACAGUGCAACAAAGGGGAACUUGGGGAUCAAAAGGCAAAAUUCAGAAAACAUUUUCAUGCAGCUCAUGCAACAUACGCAGAAUCUUUUCUUCUGCAACAACCUUGCUGCAUUUUUCUAACGCAAAUUUUGGACUUCAGCAAACCAUCUUUAACCAAACUUUUCACCCAAACAAAAUCAUUACUUCAACACAUAUUAAUACCAUAAUCCAAUGAGCAAUGAACUUGGAAAGAAACCACGCAACUUAUUAAACUUUUCAUGCAGAUUUGCGGAUGAAGCUACUAAGACAGAAAGGGAGAGUUUGCUGCAAUUUUCAUCUUCAAUCAGAUUUCAGAAGAAACUAACACAAACUUUGGACAAAUUCUCUCAAACCCAUGUCCAAACUUUGAGUCAAGCCACACAACACACAACUUCAGCAUUCAAACAAACCAAAGCAUAGAAGGAAAAACAUGCAAAUGCUGGAAAAUUUUAUGCAAAAAGGUUCAGCAAUCCUGAUCUCGUUCAAAUUCCAGCAAGGUUUUUGAUUAUGGUUCAAAUGCUUUAAGGACUCAAACAUACAAACUUCAGCAAUUUUUCAGCAGCAAAUACACCCAUUUCAUCAUACAAACAAAUUCAUCAAACCAGAAAUUAUUGACCCAAAUUAAAACAUGAAAUUUUGUUUGCAGGAUUAAGAUGGCAAAUCUGGUUUUGAUCGACAACAAAAGAAAUAAAGAAAACUGCAGCAAGGUUUUCCUUUCAGCAACUACAAAUCAAGCGAACUACAAGCCUCCACUACUAAGCUCCCAACCAUUCUCAUGACAUCUCAGGCAAAUGGCAAGCAGAUCAGACAUGUUAAGCAAAGCUAAAGCUUCAGGAAACCAAGAAAAAAGAAAGGGUCUGUCCAUGCUGCUGCAACAAGCCGAGAGCUUCGAGCUUGUUGCAGCAGAAAAUUAUGCAUCGAAUCUCAGCUGGACAAAAAUUCAAGAAAGCGACAACAGCAACAUCAAGCAAUCUGCAUUCUUUUCAACAUGAGAUUAAACAGCAAAUUGAAUGACAAAACCCUGUUUAGCUCUUCCUAAUGGUAAUCAAGAUGACGGGCUAACAAGGCCUUCCCAGCUCUAAAUUUACACCCAACCAAAAAGCAAAGAACCGACAUACAGGAAGCAUUGACAGCAAGCUUUCCUCGCAACAAAAAAAAAACUUUUCAACCCCUGAUACCUUGAGUUUUUUUAGCAACCUUACGUGACAGGUAUGUACUAAGUCAUAAUCCGACACAAAAGACAGCAAAAAGAUGAAGGGAAACAAGCAUGUAAAGAUCAAAGCUGCAAACUUUCUACUGGGAAUCUCGAGGCUCCUCUCAUGCGUAUGUUUUCAUAAAAAACCCAAAUGGAACCUUCAUUUCAUUAGCCCCCAAACUUCAGAUUCUUGAUCAAGGAAGGGAACGUGGGAUGACCAGAAAAGGGCUCAAGUGAUUCUUUUAGACGCUCAAAGGAACGUGAGACUUUGAUGAAUGAAAACCCAGUCGCCGUCUUCCUGCAACCUCCAACCGCAGCUACCCUUUCCCUCUCUGGAGCUUUUCUUUUACCGUUUGUUCCAGCAGCCGCCGACCUCUCUCAAGCCUGUCGGUUUUUCUUUUCUCGUUUCUGAUGUUUCCUUUUUUUUUGAAGAUCCUCCCUUUUUGCUCUCUCUCUAUCGUUCUCUCGUUCGCCCUCUCCUUCACAUCCAAGAACCUCCUGUCGUUACUCCCUCACUCUUGCUCCCAGUUUUCUGUUUUGCUCCCCUCUCUUAUUUUUCUCUUCCGGCUGCUGCUCUAUCCUUUUUCCCCCUCCACUCUCUCAAAGCUGACCUUUUUCUUCACUGCUUAACCCCAGCCAUUGUUUCCUCCUUCUCUCGCCCUCUCUCACGAAGGUCUCAAACUCUCAGCCGCCCACUCUGUCCGGUUCCUCUAGUUUUCCAGAAUUUUUUUUUCAGCCGUCAAACCUCUCGUAUCUUUUCUUCCUCUUGCAGCUGCCUUUUCUUUUUGCUAUUUAUACCAGGAACCCCCCUCCUAAACCCUCAGCUAUACUCUCCAAAAUUUGCAGCUAAGGGGCUGCUAAGAGCCCCUCCUUGCAAACUGCUGAAAUACGCAGCUUCAUGCCACGUUUUCUCUCUUCUUUUUUUUUUUUUUAAAUAAACCAAACAAAAAUAAAAGAUAAAUUAAGUAGAAAUGACUAAAAUAGAUAAAUAAAACAAAAUUGCUAUUUUCUUUUUCUUUUUCUCUAUUUUUUCAUUUUUUCAUGAUUUUCCUUUUUCUCUUUUUUUUAUUCAUUUUUCCUUUUUCUCUUUUUUUUUCAAGAAAUUCUAUGCUAAAAACUUAAAAAUAAAAAUAAAACUAUAAACUAAAAACUAAAAAUCGAAUAAAACUAACACGACAAAUAAAAAACUAAAAAUAAACAGUAAAUGAAAUUACACCAAAAAUUUGGUGUCUACAAUUUGGCCUUGGAGGUCUUCAUAAGAAAUGUUGGUAUAUGUUUUAGCUUCGUAACGCCAUAAGAUUUGUUUCAAUUGGAUAAGCGUAUUUGCAAUUGUGAUUAAAAUACCAAAAGGUGGCAGGAACUUGUUAAGUUUAGAAUUCCUCUUAUUUGACUUAAUAUUUGUAAUCUAGGAUUCUAACUUGAGCAAGGUCAUGAUGUAUGCUGGAAAAGGUUCGUGUGCCGUGGUUGGUGAGUGAACUUUAACUAUUUCUCCAAAAGUUCCUCUUAAAAUAAUUCUUGCAUUGCUUACACGAUUGCAUCUCAUUGUGUAUGUGUGUGUGCCAUAACAUUUUGGCUUUAAUGAGUUCUUGGGAAAAUCUUGUGCUUAGAACCAACCUCUCCACUACUGUGUAUGCUUUCUUUGGAGCACGAUGGCUCCUUGUUUCUGUUUAUUUGAUUACUUGAUCUAAGGGAGUGUUGGAUUUUAAGUACAAGGAUUUUCACUGGCUCUAAAGAGCAUUAUUUGCACAUUGGACCGUUAAUCCAUGAUAGCAUUGAAAUACACUACUGAUAAGUUUAUUUAAUUACUGCUUUUACUGUUCACUCGCUGAGCUUCUAGCUCACCCCAAAUGUUUUUCUUCUCCCCACAGGAAUCGAGACAAAAGGAGAGCUUGUAUUACAUUAUCUGUGUGCCUGGAUGGCAUGUAUCUUGUAUAGCUUAGAUUGGGAUUUGUUUUGUAUAAUAGUUGAGCUAGGGGGAUUGUUUGAAUUGGGAUGGACGGAUAUCUCUUGUACACUUUGAGUUUUGAUGUAACUUGUUAUAAAGUUUGGGCUUGCCUUGGUAUUUGGGUUUGAAUUUGGAUGUAAAUUUGAGUUUUAUAUUGUAAUUGAUUUGAGGACUGUAGUGAUCGACUGAGUCCUGGCGAGAGCUGGGCAGGCGGCCCGUUGACCCCUCCGGUUCGCCUUAGGGGAAAAUGGGGACGUUACAUUUUAAGCUAGAAAUGUGAAUUGUACUUUGACUUCCUAAAUUUCCAUAAUUUAAUUUCUUGCAUACCCUGUUCUGCUCGGUUCUAGUUCACCAUGAUAGAGGCCGAAUCAGGCUUGGCACAAAACAUAAAAAUUGUAUAGAAUGAUGUUUUAUAGUUUCCUGCAAAAUUUCAGCUCAAUCGGAGCAAUGUACCCUAUGAAAAGAUAAAAAUACCCUUGACUGCCAUAGGUAGAGCUUCAUGGACAGUUUUGACAUUUCACAAAUCUGAUCGCAUCUGUUCACCUUGAUUCGUAUUGAAUUAGCAUUUGGCCAAAACACAUAAGUUGUAGUGCUAUGCCUUAGCUUUCCAACACCGCUAAAAUGCCUUAAUCGGACUUCGGUAGCCUGAGUUAUUGUCGUUUACGCAUAGUGUGAUUAACUAGCCCGAAUGUGAGAUUUUGGUUUUGUAAUUUGAAAUUUUGACCUAGAUACACUACGAAUUGGACUGAGUGGUCUUCACUAAAGUUGUAGGUAUUUGUCUUAGCUUCGAAAUAGUAUCUUGUACACCUUAAACUGAUGACCACAGCUUCUAUUAUAAUUAAAACCGUAAAAGGUGUCAAAACUAUGAAAUGUCCAUUUGCGCCUUUGGGUGCGGACGCGCGACCUUUUUCAUUUCCGCGCACGCAUACGUGCAUUUCUCAACCGUUUUUUCCAUUUUGGACCGUUUAUGACUAUUUUUGUUAUUUUGUUACCAUUCCAGCCAUUUCGUCCAAUUUCGACAAUCUUUUGGCCUUAACGUCGUUUUUGACCAUUUUUGAUUAUUUUUGACCGUUUUCAACCAUUUUCAAUCGUUUAAGUUAUAAACUGCUAUUGUAUGGCUGUUUUACUUAUGUGUGUAUAUAAUCUGUCAAUACAGACUAUGAGACUUUUGACGGUGACGGUCAAGCUCAGUGAAUUGUAUCAUUUUUCGUGUCAAGCUUUAUCAAGUGAGUAAUUUGAUUGUUUAUUGAUGUGAAAUUAUUAAAGUGCUUUGUAUAUGUUAAAUGGAUACUUAAGCGAGGGUGUAGUUUAUCUCACUCGACUUAAGCCCAUCAUUUGGUUUGAUUUCAUAUGUGAGAUUGCAUGUCUUAUGUUGUGUAUCACCCUUUUGCUGAGUGCUGAUGCGGGUGAUUACAUGACUUGAAUUGAACCCUAUUUGCUGUGUACUGUUUGGGGUAAGUACUUUGUUGUAUACUUUGUUGAGAGAUAUCAUCUAUUGAGAGAUUGAAUAUCUCAGGGAUUGGUUCCAACCCGGUUCCAAGGGUAGAUGAACUAUUCGAGUCAGCCAGGGCUUGGUCGAAGUUAGUUCCAUGCUAACCUUGGGAUUUCGUUCUUUGUUAAAGCUUUGAUGAAAGCUAAGUGAUUUUGUUUCACUUGAGCUGCUGUGUACUGUUGACUGGCCAGCGGGGGUUGAUAAGGUGAACGGGAAAAGUUAAAUGGAGUCUACGGACCAUGAGUACUUUGGUUGACGGAGUGUCAACAGGCGUUCAAGCUCGAGGAAUUGAACUGGCUUUGGAGCCGUAUCCUACUACUAUGAUGUUACAUUUCUGAAUUGAUGUGAAAUAUUUGGAUUUAUAUGUUUAUCUGGAUGUGCUUUACAUUUUUACCCCAAUUAUUCACUAAACAUAUAGCUUACCCCAUUCCAUUUGUUUUCCUUAGCUGGGGACCGACGAGGGGAUUGCUCGGGAAGGUGUAUAGAAUUUUUGUUAUAGAAUAGUUGACUUUGUACCUGUUAUAAGUUGACUAGCAAGAUGUAUAGAAUUGUUGUGGUGGUUGUAGUUAUUACCUUUCUAGGGUUUACUUUCUGGUACUCGUGAUAUGUAAUUCUUGGAGACUUGGAUGUAAUAUUUGAGUUUUGUCUUGCAAUUCAUUUGAGGACUGUAGUGAAUGAGUGAGUCCCGGCGAGAGUUGGGCAGGCAACUCGCUGAACCCUGGGGUACGCCCUUGGGAGAGUGUGAGAACCUGAAAAUUAUAUUUAUAUUGAUAUUCUAAAAAAAUUAUAUAUAUAUAUUUGUAUUCUAAUCUAAUUGCCUUGAACCUUUGGUUAAUCUAACGGUUGAAUCGUGAUUUUACUCCUAUUGCCUCAUUCAAUUUAUUGCAUGUUGGUUUUCUUGGGGUAAUAUACCAAUUCGUCCAACUAGCGAGGUAGGUGCGAUAAAUUUUGUGAACUAGAGAGAGAUUUGUACAAAAGGGGUUAUUGUGCUACAAGGUGUUUUCGAAACGUAUUUGUUUUGAAAUUUUCUACUUUGAAUGAAUUAUAUUUCUUAGUAAUUGGAAAAUGAUUUAUAUAUGAUUUUAUACCUUCUUGUUUCCGUCCAAUAAUUUUGAAAACAUUUGCAAGGGUUUAAUUGAAGUAGUCAAACUUAUUUGGUUGUACAAACUCUAUUUGAGUGGAAAUGAAGGGUUAAUCUUAGCUAAUUACUUUUAGAAUUAUUGAAUUUUUGACUUUGAGGAAGACUAGUUUUAGUCUUCACCUUGGAAGCAAAAUAGACCAAGACAUUUCAUUCCUUUUCUUACCUCUUGGCCGACAAUGGAGUGGAAAAAUCAGCCAUAAUCUUCUUAUCUUGACCAAGAGCUCCCUAGACCAGUCUUCAACCGAGAGAAAGUGAGGGAUAAUUUGCUCAUUGCAUGACUAGCCACAAUUUUUGACCAAGUCCAAGUACCAUGCACAAGUUGACCAAGUUCAAUUUAUUCCCUCUUGUUUCUUUUCUUUAGUUCAACCGAGAGGGAGAAGCUUUCAUUCUUUCUUCCUCACAAACAGCCGAGAGAGAGAGCUAGAAAGAAACCCAUUUACUUCUCCUCCUUUGCUUUCUAAAAAAAAAAACCGAUGGAAAACCACAAGAUUUAACCCUAGAGCUUUCUUCAUUUUUCAACCAUUAACAUCAGUCAUGAAACAAGAAAAAUUAGCCAUAGUCUUCCUCUUGUUUUGCUCCACUUCAGCCGAGAGAGAGAAGAGUGUUGAGAGCAAGAAAACUCCAUCUUCUUCUUCCUGUCAUCAACCGAGAACCAAGGCUGAUUCAGCCAUAGAUAUUUCACAAAAUUCCGCUAUUUCUUCAAGUUUAAACCGUAAGUGAGGGAGAGUCAAGAGAGUAGAAAGGAUCCAGCUAUGUUGGAGGGGAGAAAACAGAGGAAAGCUGGUGCAUAUCACCCUUGAGGUAUCGAAGGAGAAGCAAGUGGCUAUCUGCAUUUUUUUUCAGCUUUGAUUUGUGAGGAAAAAGGGAGGUAACAAUUGCUAUAAAACCCCUCAUUUUUCUAUUACUCUUGAGUACUCUAGUUGUAUGUUAAAUUUAAGCCAAAAGGUGGGAGUUUAGUGGAAGAAAAAUAUACUUUUCUAAGUUAUAGGUUGCUGGAAUUUAGUGACAUAUGCUGAUAGUUUUGAUUUGCAGCUUUGUAUUUGGAACUUUGAUGGGUUUCCUUGCUAAGAACUUAGGUCAUAUGAUUAAUCCUAUGUUAAAAAUGAUAUAUGGUGUAUUUGCCAUGAAAAUGAGUGAGAAAUUAGUGGCUUGGAUGAAAGAAAUUUUGAAGGAACCUGGUUGGAAAAAAAAAUCUGUGGGCUGACCAAUUGCAUAAAGUUGAAUAUAUCAGUUUUACUUUAAAUUUGGAGUGAAGUUUUGCUAAGAUUUCAUGUUUUAUAUCAUGACAACCGUGUAUAUAGAAGUUAGUAUGUGUAUAUGGUUGAAUCAUAGUUGUAUGUUCAUUGAUUUGGCUGAAAAUUUGUCUAAGAGAGCUUGAGAAAAAUUGGAGGAACUUUGUUCCAUCCUUGUCACAGCCUGCUAUCUCAUCCCUUUGAGGGGUUUGUACUAGGAAGUCAUGCUCUAAAUAUUAUAUUUUGUGUUUAGUAUGCUAUAGCAUGUUGUCUUUGAAUUUGGUAGCAAAUUGCUGGCUUAAAUGUGAGUUAUUAGCAGCAAUAAAGUUGGAAUAACUCAAGUGAAAGGUUGAAUUUCGAGUGACAGUCACCCUUGGGCAGUUUUAGUAAAAUGAUCAUAACGUAGUCUAAAAAAAAUCAAAAUUAAGUGCCGUCUAUUGCGUUUGAAACUAGACUCAUAGAUCUUUCUAACGGUAUAAAAUUGGAGCUGUGGCUCAUUUUACAUAUGCACCAGAAAAUCGCCCAAGUUGACUGAAAAAUGUGCCCUGCACAAAUAAAAACUGGGAUGUUGUAGUAAAUUGUGCCUCAAUUUGGACUAAUUUAUGAACCGAAUCUCCUUGAGGUGUUUCUUUAAGAUUGUUAGUAUUUCAAGUCUAGUUUUAAAUGAGCCAAGUUGUACAAGUUUUUGACAUUUAUAACUCAAGUUAUGAUUUUUCCAAAGAAAUAAUGCUUGCUGGAAUUUCAGCUUUGAUUGCUAAAUUUUGAAGAUGAUUUUAACCUCAAUUUGCUCAAAAUACCAUAUAAGACUUUAAACUACAAGUAUGUGUUGGAAAUGAACCAAAACCAUGGACCUUAAGUGGUUUAGACUCUAUUUAUCUCACUGUUUUCAUAGCUGGAAUUCUACUCAAGGCUGACCGAAAGAGAUAGUGAUUUUGUUUAGCUUUACAAUUGGCUUUGUUUGGUGAAAUCAUCUUGUUAAUGUCUUAAACAUAUGAUUAGACAUUAAUUUUGGUAUGAGUAGUGAAUUGAAGUAGAAAAUGAAGGUUGAGAGGUGAAAAAUUCACUUUCACAUGUUUCAUGUCCCAAGCGAUAAAUUUCCAGUUUUAGUUGAGGAAAAUGAGUGUUAAUAUGUUAAUAUCAUGUUUAAUAUAAAUGUUAGCCAUGUCAUGUGAUUUUUCUAGCUUGUGCAUGUUCUAUUAGUUUGCAUUUGGAAAUUUCAGCUUGUAGAUUUGAACUUUUGCUUGAUGGCCAGCCUUGGUAUGGAGACAUGUGAGUUGAAUACUUGUCUAUUUUUGGGGGCUUUAUGGUCUGAAACUAGUAGCUUGUAUAGCCUAUCAUUUGUGGUCUUGAUUUGGAUGGCUUGGCCAUGAAAUUUUGUAUUGAAUUUGGAGAGGAAAUAUAGGAUAAAACAGGGGUUAUGCUGUCCAAAUUUUGGGGCAGCUUACUACCUUGAUUUUGGACUGAUUUGGUGAUGUACUUGCCUAAUAUGCUUAGUGAACCUUUAAGCUUUGCUUAUGUAUUGCAUUCUGGUUGAAAUGGAAGGGUUUCAUUGCGAUUUUCUUCCAAAUUGCUGGCUAAAAUUGUGCUUGUUUGUCGAUGGAGAGUGCAGCCUAUUACAUUGUUGUUUUUCUAACCUUUUAGUAAUUGGUUUUGGCCAAAACUUGUUCCAAACUUUGGAGGAGCCUUUUGUGCGUGAAUUUGAAUGAAAACUAUGAAGAUUGGGAGGUGAAAACCUCAUGAUUGUACUUGUUUCAUGGCUGCGAAAAAUUCUGAUUUGGAGAACAGUUUUGCACCUUGCUACCUUUUAGCCUCAACGUCUUUAGUUUGAAAGUCUUUUGGACACAACCUCGCUGACUUGACUUGAGAAAACCUUGUUUCUUUCAUUGGUUCGCUGCUGGAAAAUUUCCCGCCAUGAAGCGAAUAAGGAACUUGUUGGUUAUUCAUGUUUCUUGAGUCCAAAAUGCUCUUAUACGCUUCAAAACCCUACUUGAGUUUUUGCCCUAGAAUAUACUUAAAUUUUUCCUUGAUUUGCAUUCUAAAUAUGGCUGUGUAUGUUGGGUUUUGAAAAAAUUCAACUUGGAGAGGUAUACGACUCAUAGCCGAGUCUAAAUUAUGAAUUCUAUUCACUUGGCUAUUCUUAGGGCUUGUCUGAUCAAGGGGGCAAUCCAGGAGGAAACUUUUGACGCUAUUUUUGCUUGAACUAGUGAGUGUUCCAACUGCAAGUUCCAUGCUACUUGUUGCGCAAAUAUGACCUGUAUAUGACUUGUUACUUGAAUUGACUUGUUAUUACAUAGGUGAGUGUGUACUUUAUCACACUCGACCUAACUUGACUGAAUUCCUGUUUUACUACUAUAAGUUAAUUGUUUACAAGUGAAUUGAGAUUCAUGCGCAUGAGUUGAAUGUAACGGCCUGCAUCCUAAACCCUAUAGGCUAGAUAAUCGAGUCGAGCCGGCAAGGGCCUGGUCGAUUAGAUAACGAACCCUGGGUCUACUGUUUUGUCGAAUGGAGUGUUAUCUCCUCGACUAAUUGGUAUACUCGACUAUUACCACCACUGUUUAUGUUUAGAGUUCGGGCCCGGUAGGGGGUUGAUUGGUGGAUGGAGGUUGGAGUUAAGUGGUGAUCUACUGGAUUUGUUAUGAUUCCAUGGUUGACGGAGUGUCAACAGAUUUUGAACAAGUUGUCACGGACUGUUCCCGAGAACAGACUGUAUCCUUUUAUAUGCAUGUGUUAUCGGCUGUACAUAGUUAAAUGAGUUGUCUGGAUGUUAUCUUCUUUAUGGAAAAUGUGAUCAUGCUAUCAUGUGAAUGCUAAAAUCCCUAAUUGCUUCUUGUUCUCUUGGAACCUCACUGAGCUUUUAACUCAUCCCUUCAUUUGUUUUCCUUAACAGGGUACUGGGAUGACAAGGACAAGAAUAGUGCUAGUUGUAAUAGGAAAUCUUAAUCUUGUAUUUGGACGGCACUAUAUUAUGAUAUUAGUUUACAAGUUCUUAUCUUUUAGUUUGUAUUUUGGUUUGUAUAUUCAGAUGAUUGGUAGCAUAUAGAUGUUAUAUUGAAGAGUUUUAGCGUUAUUGAUUUGCUAUCCAAAGUAUAAGGAAUUCAAAAGUUGUAGUCCUUAUAUUAAGUAAUUGCAAUCCUAUUUAUACUUGGAGAAGUGAUUGAACUACUUGCAUUUCAUUUCGCUUAGUUGUACACAUAAGUAUGGAGUUUUUUGUGAAGUUGGAUGGCUUGUAAUAUCUAUUAGGGAGUUUCGUUCUUACUUUGGAGUUAAUGUUAUCUCUGAAAUUAAUGUUAGUGAACGAGUCCUAGCGAGAGUUAGGCAGGCAGUCCGCUGAACCCUUUGGUUAGCCUUAGGGGUAGGUGGGACUGUCACAGAGAGGUGGGGCCGUCACAGGUGGUAUCAGAGCCACUUCGCGUGGUCUCUGCGCGGAGUGAGCUUGGGCCAAGUGGUGUUAUGGCCCUAAUUUUGUGAAUGGGUGUAAAGGAUUAAGGACUCUUUUGAGCACAAGUUAAGAAUCCUGAAACGUUCUAGGUUUAAACCUCUAUCAUGGUACUUUGGGGACAAUAGUAAGGUAUGUCAGGUAAGAAUCUCUAAUAUGGGUGAUUUACUCUUGGGACCGUCCGGCUCGAGUUGUGAAUUGUCUUAUUGUGGAUUCUUGUACUUGGGUACCAAAUAGUGGAGAGCGCUAGAAUAAGGGUCUGCAUCUUGAUUGCACUUGAGGUGAGUUUGAUGGCAAAGGUUAAGGUGUGGAUGAUUCUAACAUUUAACCUAGUCAUUGGACUGAUGAAAGGGAUUGGAACUACUUGAACUGCCUGAGACCGACUAGGCUGCGCUCAUUUGAGACUUGAACUUGUUUUGGUGAGUAUGCUCUUACGUACACAUAAUGGACCUGAUUUGACUUUACGCAUGAGUAAUGUAGACACCAAAUUUUUGACUUCAUUUUUUUUUGUUAUUAGUUUUAUUGAUAUUUAUUUUAGUUUGGUUUUACUAAUCUCUUUUUUAGACAUUUUAGCAUUUAAAAAAAAAAAGUCAAAAGUCAAUCAAAGGGACAAAAAAUGAGACACAUAAGCCUACUUUGGGGUUUAAGAUCUUGGCCCUUGAUAUUAGGUUUAGUCUUUGGAGGGGCCUUUAAGAGGCCAAACAGCUGCAAGAAAAAAAAAACCCGAGAGGAGAAAUAGCAAAAAGAGGCACAACGGAAAAAGGGGCUGAGGAGAUAAGGAGAGUGGGACAGCAGGGGAUGACGGCCAGGUCUUGAGAGGGAGGAAAAACAACUAAAAAAGUGGGAAAAUCUGAGGAAGAGAGGCGGGUGAGCUGUAAAACAAAAAGAAAAUUGGGAGGCAUCUGAUAAAAAAGAGGAAAGAGGGCUUCAGCGGAACAAAAACGGGGGGACGAAGCAAAACAGAGAAGGAACAAUUAGAGGAAGGGCUUCAUCUGGGGGGAGAGCUAAAAAAAAAAAAAAGAAAAGAAGAAGCUAGAACAGGGGCGGCGGACAAGGCUAUUGGGGGAAGUUUUCUGGGGAAGAAGAAAAACAAGCGAGGGAGAGUAAAAAUAAGGGAAAAGGAAGAAAGUGGCGGCGAAGAUCUUUUGGGGGAAAACAAAAAUCAGAGGAGAAAGACUAGGAGGAGCCGCUACCAUCCCGCUAGAAUCAACUAUCGUCGCCGCCAUUCACCACCUGCAGAGCUUUGCUGGAUUCAGCCGCGUAUUCUCUAUCACCAACAUGCUCAAGCAAAUUGAGCCACUCGGCACCUCCAUCAUCUCCAAAUGGGUAUCCGAUGCCGCCAAGAACUCGGAGAAGCGGACCAUUUCUACUAUGCUGGGACCUUCAAUCAGGAACCACCGCCGCUCAUUCCGCCACCACCUUGCCGAACCCCCCUAUUGUCACCGGCAAAGUUUCACCUUGCGAACACGGUAAGCCAUCCUCCCUCUUUGAACUUCAGUUUGGAUAUUUUAGUUUAAACAUCGGGAAAGCAUGUCUGCCGUGCAUUUGGUCAGUGCCAAUUUCAUGUUGAUUGUUUACAAUUUUUAGUUUGUAUGCGUUUAUGUUCUAAGUUGAACUGAAACUUCUUGUUGUUUGACCAAUUUUGGGCUGAUUAUAAUCUCAAUUGAGCAACGUUCUGCUGGAAUUUUUAUGCCUAUUCAAUGUUUGAUAAAAUGCCCACCCGAGAGUUGGUUUGAGUUUGGUGUUUUUUGAGCCUGGCACGUUGUCUUAUAAACCUCUCCUUCAUCGUUUUUUUAUUUGGUUGUAUAGAGUGCUCAGCUUUGUUUCAAAAUUUCCUUUGGUUAUUCGUUGUGAGUUUGCCGGUUUGUUAUAGUAUUAAACAUUACUAGGUAAUGCUGGAACGUUAGCCGCGCCAAAUUUGGGUCAUUUUGUUGUUUUUAUGUUCAGUUUCAUUAUUGGAUUUAUUGUGAAUAAACUGUUGCAUUUGGAGGACGAUUAAUAAUACGGGUAGAACGCCGUAACAUUGAGCUUUUGGGGCAUCUUUAUGGCUUUGAUCUUGCCCAUACAAUGUUUUAUCAUUGGUUUCUUAUCAAAAAAUGGAAAUCUGGAGUCUUUGUGUGAAGUGACAAAAGCUGCAUUUUAUGCUCACGUUUGUUGUUUUCCUCUUUCCGCAAUAGCCACAAAGUUGGGUUUCAUCAUCUUGUCUGUACACUCAAACUUUGGCUUCAAUAAUGAUUAUAGAAGAUUUCAGAGCAUGUUUGCUGAUGAAUGUCCAUGUCUGCCGUCGGCAUGUUGUUUCAAACUUAGCGUCGAGUGUUUGUGGCUUUUUCUGUAUGUUAAUUAAACUGUAUUCUUUUGGGUUUGCUGUAAAUUGCAGGGCUGAAUGUAGCUUUAAUUAAGUAGAAGAUUAGUGAAAUUUUUGAUGCUCCUAACCUGUUCGACAAAAUGCCUGACUGAAAAUCCUUAUUGACAGAAGUUUCGUUUGCAUUUUUUUCUUUAUGUGAAAGAACCGGCUAAGUCAGCAGAAUCAUUUCCUUGCAUAUGAGAAAUUUCGAUGUGUUGCAGUUUUGCAUUUUUUUUCUGGAAACCAAUUUUGGAAAUCAGUCCCUGCAUUUCUCUUUAAUUGUACUAUGGCCCUGGACAUUUUCAACUUCUUUCAAUUCGGUCCUUACUUUAAUUGCAAAUGAGUCCCUGAACUUUAUUUUUCUUUAAUUUUGACCCCAAGACUUUAUUAAUUUUUGCAAUCAAGUCCUUUCUUCUUUUAACUUCUUAAAUGUGGGUUGUUGACAUGAUUUAAUUGAUUCAAAUUCAUGUUUAUUUUUUAUCCUUUGUGAUUAUUUGCCAAAUAAAUUGGUACCUUGACCAUUUCUUUUAUUUUGGAGGAUAAAUAAGUUGAUUUCACUCCAUUAGAGCUUCAUUUCAAGGGAGGUAUAAUUUCUUUUAUCUUUUUGUGUCUCUCCUAUGUGAACCAACGUGCUACGUGAGAAAUACAUGUCUACUUUGCUUUCCUAGCCUUUCUUUAAUUUCUUUUAUUUAUGUCAUUUACUUUUGCUUUUUAUUUAAGUUAUUCUUUAUGGGGUAUGUGUACACCUCUUGACUUGUAAUAGUUAGGGAUUUAAUUAUUUUAUUCCUCUUCCCCCUUUUAGAUUGUAGUAGGGUUUCCCUAAUGUAAUAGAUAGGGCAAGGAGGAGCAUUCAAUGAAGACCUAUCGAAGUCAUGUGCCUAGCUAGCAAAUGUAAUAGUUAGGGCUUUAAUUGUCUUAUGUGUCUUGCAUGCUUAGUUGCUACGUGUUAAUUUGCUUUGUUAGGGCCUUGCAUCUAGUCGAGCAUGCUAAAUGUUAUGUGCUAUGUGUUUAUAAGUGUUUGGCAUGUCUACUCGCUUUCCAUAACUUGAAUGAAUGUGAUGGAUGAAUGUACGUUUCCACUAGUCCAACGCUAGUCGGAAUUCAUUGAAUGGGCUAGUCCAACGCUAGACCCUUAGGGAUUUCCCCUCGUUAGUACAUGUUUGCAUGUUCAUUACAUGUCAUGCAUUCUUUUAGUUUUUCUAUCAUUUGGCAUGUCCCUCUAAUCCCCUUUCCCCUCACUUUAGGUCUUGCAUCUCAUGCUAGUUAGGGUACAUUUGCCUGAAGAGUCCCCUUCCGAUAAGGAAAACGAGCGAGUGUGGCUACUCGAUAGCCUUAGCACGCUAGUUUCGCCUUCUAAUCAAAGGGAAAAUCAAAGUCGAAAAGUUAGGAGUCCUUCCCGUACCCGAUUUGUUGCAUUCCUCUAGGGUCAUACUUUCAUUUUAUCACAUCCAUACACUUUUAACCACAAUUCUGCACAUUUUUCAAACCAUACUUUUCUACUACAUUUUACCUAUCGCUUGCUUAUUUUCACUUCACAAAUGAAAUUCCACUUUACCUUAUAUAUCUAUUACUCUAUUUUCAUACAUUUGCACACACAAACACUUGGAUUUUUCAUACAAUUUCACACAUGCACCUUUUCAUACACUUGCACACAAACACUUGGAUUUUUCAUACAAUUUCACAUGUGCACCUUUUUAUACACUUGCACACUUGCACUUUAGCCAUCAUUUGCAUUAAUCGACCUCUAUAAGGUUUUCCUUUAUUGGCCGCCACAAUUCAUGUGGUUGGGACCAAAAACCUUACAAGAGACAUUUUAGAAUUUAGGUUUGCAUUUUUUCCUUCUUUUUGCAUUCAUGUAGUGCAUCCAAAUGUAAUAAAUUCUUUGGUUAAAAUAAGAAAAACUUUGAUUAAAUCACGCAACUAGCCUUGGCUAGGUCGAAGGGGUGCCUUGGAUUUUUAUCCUUGCCUUCCCCUUCGUCAAAUGUGACUCCCGAACCUUUUUCGUUGGUUUACGUGGACUAGGAGUCGUUUAAAAGGGGUUUGUUACUACUCUUUCCCAUUUUUUCUUUAAAAAAUUCAUUUUAAGGUGAUUUGGUACACCUUAACUCAUUACCAAGUGGCGACUCCAUUUUUUAUUUCAAAAACCCUUUUUAAACCAUACUUUUUGGGUCAAAUCGUCGCACUCUCAAAACCCCCAUUUAGACCCAUUUUCCUUUUAAAUCACAAUUUAUUUUCCAAAUCACAAAUUGAAUAAAAAAAAAAUAUACAUUUUUUAAACCAUUUAUUUAUUUAUUUAUUAAAAAAUGGGGCGCGACAGUUGGCGACUGCACUAGGGAAUUCCUAAGUGGGUCCGAGCAUUUGAUUUAGUCAUUCUUUUCCUUUUUCUACCCUUUUUAUGCAUGGCAUGUGGAUAUUAGGGUUGCAUCUUCCAUUUUUGGGACCUUUUGUCUCACAUACGCAUCAAACUACCUCCUCGCUCACGAAUGUAUGAUUGGUUGUUUGGAUGUAUGUUUUACUUAAUUAUCUCGCGCUUGCAUUGCAUAUUGGGGGGUGUGUAUCACCUUUAGAGUCUCGCGUUGGUUCUCAAUCAUUUCCCUCAAAAUAGGGAGCACUUCAUACGUGCACGUUUAUUUAUUGUUAUCCCAUUUUAUUUUUAUUUUCGUGGGCGUUUCCCACACCGCCUUGUAGGAUUAGGAUCGAUCGCCUUGGGUAGGCGGAUGGUGUGCACUGCGCCUAUAGCGCUACCUAAGGGAUCACUCGAGCCACCGAUCGAAGGCCUUGGAAGUGAUGACCCUUUGCCUUUAGGUCUGAAGGUUUGGGGACCUUUUAAGCCUUAUCGAGUCUAGUCGCAUUAGUGAACCCCAGCCUCAUGCAUCCAUGUUAGAAUUUUCCUAGGUUAGAGUCAGCCUCACCCUUUUUAAGCAGAAUUAAGCACGAGGGAAGGGGUUCCACCCCUUUUAUUGGCUUUUAUUGUAUUUCCUUUCUUAAUUGCUCCCAAUAUGUUAUGUGUACUAUCAAUUGCACUAACCAUUCUUUUGUUUUCUUGGAUUGCAUUCAUGGGCCUUAGCAAUAAGAGGCCUUUUGGCACUCUUUUAGUGACUUACCCACUAGAUGACUCACAUGUUUAAAUUUCAGUUAUUACACUUGAUUUUCAAUAAAUACAUUUCAUUUUUAGACCUUUUCCCCCCGAUGUAUUAUUUAUGUCCUUUAGGCCAUAUUUGUCACAUAUUUACAUCGCUUUAAUAAAUGGCAUCACGCAUAAACCAUAGAAAGGGAAUGCCACAUAGGGAAUCCCGUGUUUAGGAAUAAGCCACCUUGUGUCUCGGAUAUUUAAUCCAGUGAGACUUGCACGUUUACAUUUUGUACCAUCCAAAAGGGUAGUGCACAAGGUAAGGUAGGAUCCGAUCAUUUUCAUAGUGUGAUCUUUGAAAUAUGAGCGUCUAAUAAUCACUUUUUGGCCAUUUUAUCAAAAAUUGGUAAAAAUUCCUUGCGUGAAGGACAUUAAUUUGAAGAAAUUCACAAAUGAUUCCUCCUAUUGAGACGAUAAAUAAAUUGAGGCCAAAAUUUGAUUUUUAGAAGGUCAUAGACUAAUGCACCUCAAUAAUUUUGAAAUAACUAAUGGCUGAACAAUUCAACCAAUCCAUUUUGCCAAUUCAUUCAUUCAUUUGACCAAUUUACCCUUUUUAGGGUCACCUGGUCGAUUUUUGAAUAAAUCGUCAAUUCAUUUGACCAAUUUACCCUUUUUAGGGUCAUUUGACCAAUUUACCCUUUUUUAGGGUCAUCUGGUCAAUUUUGAAUAAAUCGUCAAUUCAUUUGACCAAUUUACCCUUUUUAGGGUCAUGUGACCAAUUUACCCUUUUUAGGGUCAUUUGACCAAUUUACCCUUUUUAGGGUCAUCUGGUCGAUUUUGAAUAAAUCGUCAAUUCAUUUGACCUGUUUCCCUUUUUAGGGUAAUCCGAUUGAUUUUUAAUAAAUCGUCAAUCCCGUUUGAUCAAUUAGGGUUUCAAUGUCAAUUUCAAAUUGGGAAAUUUAGUCGAUUUUUGAGAAAACCAUCCAUUGCAUCCAGCCAUUUGAUCAGUUGGAGUUUUGACCCGUGUUUCACUGAGAAAAGUUGUCAAAACAAAUUCCAAUUUCCUCGAUAGGAAGUUCGUCAAGGUCAAACCCAUGCAUUUGUGAUCAAUUCAUUCGGACAUUGUCUUUAUUUUGACAAAUGUCUUUCGUCUCUUCAAUUGACCAAAUUUUUCAAAAUUAUUUUUCACUCAAUUAGUUGAUCGGAUCCAUCAGGUAUUGUAUAGUGCCUGCUCUGGAGGAUUGCAUUUUCAUGCUAGGCCUACCCUUGGCAUAAAAGGGUUCCCCCAUAGGACAUGCAUACCGAUUUUACAAUUUUUGCUUACUAACUCUGGGUAUUUUUCUUUUGUUUUCCCCCUCCCCUGCAUUCAUAAAAAGAAAAAAAAUGCUUCAAUAAGGUGAAAAUAUUUUUCUAUAUCUGAUGAUAAUUUGGAUCUAAUAAAGUGUCAAAAUUGCAAGUAUUGUGUGAUUUUUUGGGCAGAUCCUACAAUGAAAAAUAAAUGACCUAUCUGGAAGCUCUAUGCUAAAGCCUCUGAGAGAUUUUGUAAUUAUUUCCGAAGGAGAAAUUCUGUUUAUUUGAUUUGUUAAUACAUUUUGUUCCAAAAGAAAAUGAGAUGAAAAGUGCAUAUGUGGAGCUCUUUACAAGUUUCUCUUUUCUCAUUGUAUUAUAAUUGAACGACAAAUUUUGUUUUAAUCUUGCUAGUAAUAAAGUUUUGGACAAUUAUUGUUUUAUGUAUAUUCAUGUACAUUUCAUUCUUUUGCUCAUUGGAGAUUUCACGAUGAAUUUUAAGAAAUAAGACCAAAUUGAGAUUUUUUUGACCUCUGGCCUGAAAAUUCACAAGUGUCUGCUUUCAAAAAUCCUUACGUACACCAGAUUGUUGAUCCGAGUCAUCCAAUAAGAGUGCUAAAAAAAACAACAACAAACAACAAAAAAAAAAAAAAGGGGUCACUCAAAAGGCCCAAUGAGAUACCUUUUCUCCUUCAUUUGACCCCAAAAUAAAAUCAGUCACAUUGAUUGAUAAAUCAUAAAUUGGGGCAAUCUUUGCUUGAAAAUAUCCAUUGUGUUUAACCGAUUCAAUUCACAUAUAAGUGAAAGCAAAAAUGUGCAUUAUUCUUGUUUGUUUUGAAAAGUUGGAAUGAUACUUUGAGCAGUCUUUUCUCUAUCUAUUCAGAGUUUAUCAUUUGCUCUCCCGUUUGAGCCUUUAAAAGAAUAAUUUCGUUUCAAAUAAGCGCCUUGAUGAUCACUACCCUACAUGGAAAAUUUUCAAAUAUCAAAAGGGAGUGGAUUUUCAAUGAGCAUUGCGUUACUCUGAUUGUCAUGAGGUGUAAGAAUGAUACUUUGGUCAUCGUUUCUACGACCUAAGCACCAUUUAUCCCUUGCAACCUCAUUUGAGCAAAAAGAAAUUGGUGGUUCUUUUCGAGUGCACAUAUGAUCGCACCCCACAUUGGGGAAGGAGAUUGGGGAAUUUUGAAAUAGGGAAAAGAAAAAGGGGAAAGGGAGCCACAAAUUGGGAAAUUUUGAUUCUACUUGGGUUUCAAUUUUGAAAAGAAAAGAAAAGGGGAAAAAGUACAAGUUCUGUCCGGUGGAUCACUUAUGUUUCAUAGAUAUGAAUGAGCAAGAGUUCUCCUCAGUCAAUUAAUUCAGACACAUGCCAGAAAUUUCCCAUUAAUGAAAGUUUCCUUUCAGAGUUAUUGUAAGGAACGGAAUAAAAGUCAGGCCUUCUUCUUUUUCAAUCAAACAUUCUAUCCCUAGUUGUCCCUUUUGAGCCAUCAGAAUAAAUUAUUUCGUUUGGCAACCCUUGAGAAUCGCAAACCCCACACUGGGGCAAGUUUGAGUUGAAAAAGAAAUUUCAAGAAGUGAAAAGUGAAAGGCAAUAAAAUCAAAAACAAAAGAAGAAAAGAGAACCUCAGUUCAAAAAUAAACUGGGGCAAAUUUUGUCAAAUUUCAAAAAAAUGGCAGAAGGCCGAAAAAUCAAAAGAAGAAAGAAAAUGAAAGAGAAAAAGCCUCAAUUAAGCAUAAACUCUGGGGAAAGUCUUGAUUUAACCCUAAAAUAGGGUUGGCGCAACAAUGCGAUCUCAGAUUCUUUAAACCACUCUUGAAAUCUGCCUUCAAGUCUUAACUUUUCUAAAACACCACACCUGACCCCAUUACAAAAACCGAAAGUCCUGACUUCUGUUCUUUGCAAUGGCCCUGUCAAGAAAAUUUCUGAUGCCGAAAAUUUUAGCUGUAUUUCUGAAUUGCUUGAGUAUGGGGGCUGACGCUACUCACCAUGGAAAACCCACCAGAUCAAAGAAAAGAAAACGGCAAAGCAAAAAGGAAAAAUGAAAUACAAAAGAUUCGAUGGUGAAGUCCCUAUUGAGUGAUCAAACAAAGUUCAGAAUCUUCGAGUGCAAAAUAGGGGCAAUUUUGGAAAAAUGCGAUCUGUGGUGCAAUGUCCUUGACUUAUCCUUCAACUAUCGUUUCAAGCCACAUUACAAGCUAAUAAAGUCCAUCGUUGACUUAUUCCUUCAUGACAAUCCAAAGUGAGUAUUAUGCUCAUAAGAAAUCCAUCAAUCAUUUGUGAUCUUAAGGCUAUAGCCUGUUCCCACAUGAUUAGCUAUCGUUAUCCAUAUUGUUGCAAGCCUAUAAAGCUCAUAUGUGGACUACGUUUUCUUAAGAAAUAAGGGUGACAAACUCUUUGCUUUCACUAAGAUGUGACAUUGAAUGGAUUACAUACAACUGGGGCACAAAAAUGAGACAAAUUCUGACCUCCCAUUUCCUUAGCCAAAUCAGAAAUAAAGUCACUUGAUUGGUCCUGAAAGAUGAGCCAACCAAAAGUGGUGACCCGUUACCCUAACACCAAUGCUAAAAGUGAGGAAGAAAUCUUCUUGAAUUUGGUGUUACUUCGAGGAAUUCAUCAUGAAAUUUCUGCAUGAGUUCAAACUUGACGUUUAAAGUUUCUUCACAUUGUUGUAUAUGUGCAUUCUUUUCUAAAUUUUAGAAAGUGCGGUUUUUCUUUGUUCAAAUAAAUGGGAAAUCAUCUGAACGAAUUUUUGCAAUCAAGGGAGCCCACACUGGGGCAAAAUUUUAUUUGUAAGAUUUCAUGAAAUAAGUCCAUACUGGGGCAAAUUUUUUGUAAUACAUUUGAGGUUUUUGUCCAAAAAUCAAAUAAUAACAUUUUUCGGAUCAAUCCCGCUGCUCUUUUCCUGGAAUUUAAGUGCAUGUCAUACUUUGAUGAACCCCUUGUACAGGUAUUCAUGGUUCAAAAUGACGAAAGGCAUCCAGUGAGGCGGAAGGCCGAUACUGCAAAGAGAAGCAAGAAGAAGGAGGGAAAAAUGGACUCGACACUGGGGCAAAUUAUUUUGAAAAAAGAUUCUCUCGAAAAAUCAGAAAAAUUCAAAAAAAAUUCAAAAGUCAAAAAUCAAGUUCAAAUUCUUGUUUCUUGAAAAAUCAAAUUUAAUUGCUUCUUUCUUGACAAAUCAAAUUCAAUUUCUUGUUCACAAUAUCACGUUGGGCCUGGAUUUCGUACCGCCAACAUUCCAAAUAUCCCGUUGGGCCUGGAUUUCAUGCCGCCAACAUCACAAAUAUCAAGUUGGGCCUGGACUUCAUGCCGCCAAUUUCACAAGAUCACGUUGGGCCUGGACUUCGUGCCGCCAACUUCCCAUUGGGCAGGCUUGGGUUUAAUCCCACUGACCAAUUCAUCACACUGAGGCAAAUUAUUUCGACAAAUUGCUCACAGUCAGGAAAAAUCAAAAAAUCAAAAAAAAUCAGAAGAAAAAAAAAGAAAAAAAAAUCAAAAAAGAGAAAAAAAUCAAAAAUCAAAUCAAGUUCAUCACGGCAGGCUCGGAUUUGAUCCCACUGUCCGAUUGUCAAAGCAUUUAUUUUCAUUGCUACUGGAGUUGGGUUUGUCCCGCCAGUGAGCAUUUCAUGAUCAUAGCCACUGGAGCUGAGGUUUGUCCCGCCAGUGAGCCUUUCAAUUUCAUCGCCACUAGCCGUUGGGUUUGUCCCACUAGUGAGCCCCUCAUUUGCCUUCACCACUAGCCGUGGGUUAGUCCCACUAGUGAGCAUUUUCCUUUUCGUUAGCCACUAGCCGUGGGUCAGUCCCACUAGUGAGCAUUUUCAUUUUCUCAGCCACUAGCCGUGGGUUAGUCCCACUAGUGAGCAUUUUCCCUUUCGUCAGCCACUAGCCGUGGGUGGGUUAGUCCCACUAGUGAGCAUUUUCCUUUUCGUCAGCCACUAGCCGUGGGUCAGUCCCACUAGUGAGCAUUUUCACUUUCUCAGCCACUAGCCGUGGGUCAGUCCCACUAGUGAGCAUUUCAUUUUCUCAGCCACUAGCCGUGGGUCAGUCCCACUAGUGAGCAUUUUCAUUUUCGUCAGCCACUAGCCGUGGGUCAAUCCCACUAGUGAGCAUUUUCACUUUCUCAGCCACUGGCCGUGGGUCAGUCCCACUAGUGAGCAUUUUCAUUUUCUCAGCCACUAGCCGUGGGUUAGUCCCACUAGUGAGCAUUUUCCUUUUCGUCAGCCACUAGCCGUGGGUUAGUCCCACUAGUGAGCAUUUUCAUUUUCGUCAGCCACUAGCCGUGGGUUAGUCCCACUAGUGAGCAUUUUCAUUUUCGUCAGCCACUAGCCAUGGGUCAGUCCCACUAGUGAGCAUUUUCACUUUCUCAGCCACUAGCCGUGGGUCAGUCCCACUAAUGAGCAUUUCAUUUUCUCAGCCACUAGCCGUGGGUCAGUCCCACUAGUGAGCAUUUUCAUUUUCGUCAGCCACUAGCCGUGGGUCAGUCCCACUGGUGAGCAUUUUCACUUUCUCAGCCACUAGCCGUGGGUUAGUCCCACUAGUGAGCAAUUUCAUUUUCGUUGGCCACUAGCCGUGGGUUAGUCCCACUAGUGAGCAAUUUCAUUUUCGUUGGCCACUAGCCGUGGGUCAGUCCCACUGGUGAGCAUUUUCAUUUUCUCAGCCACUAGCCGUGGGUUAGUCCCACUAGUGAGCAUUUUCAUUUUCGUCAGCCACUAGCCGUGGGUCAGUCCCACUAGUGAGCAUUUUCACUUUCUCAGCCCACUAGCCGUGGGUUAGUCCCACUAGUGAGCAUUUUCCGUUAGCCACUAGUGAGUCAGUUUCAUUUUCUAGCCGUGGGUCAGUCCCACUAGUGAGCAUUUUCAUUUUCGUCAGCCACUAGCCGUGGGUCAGUCCCACUAGUGAGCAUUUUCAUUUUCGUCAGCCACUAGCCGUGGGUUAGUCCCACUAGUGAGCAUUUUCAUUUCUCAGCCACUAGCCGUGGGUUAGUCCCACUAGUGAGCAUUUUCAUUUUCGUUAGCCACUAGCCGUGGGUCAGUCCCACUAGUGAGCAUUUCAUUUUCUCAGCCACUAGCCGUGGGUCAGUCCUAGCCGUGGGUCAGUCCCACUAGUGAGCAUUUUCAUUUUCGUCAGCCACUAGCCGUGGGUCAGUCCCACUAGUGAGCAUUUUCACUUUCUCAGCCACUAGCCGUGGGUUAGUCCCUCUAGUGAGCAUUUCAUUUACCCCGCCGCUAGCCGUGGAUCAGUCCCACUAGCGUGCGUCCCAUGAUUUACAUUUCUGUCUGGGUCUAUCCCAUUUAAAUUUCUGUCUGGGUCUAUCCCGUGGGUCUAUCCCAUUUAAAUUUCUGUCUGGGUCUAUCCCAUUUAAAUUUCUGUCCGGGUCUAUCCCGUGGGUCUAUCCCAUUUAAAUUUCUGUUCGCGUCUAUCCCGUGGGUCUAUCCCAUUUACAUUUUUAUCCGGGUCUAUCCCAUUUAAAUUUCUGUUCGGGUCAGUCCCGUUUAAAUUCCUGUUCGGGUCAGUCCCGUUUAAAAACUCCCUUUAAAUUCUGUUCGGGUCCCGUUUAAAUUUCUGUUCGCGGGUCAGUCCCGUUUAAAUUCCUGUUCGGGUCAUCCCGUUAGUCCCGUUUUAAAUUUCCUGUCUCGGGUCAGUCCCGAUUAAAUUUCCUGUUUAAUUUUCUUGUCUAAGUCAAGUCCCAUUUCACAGUUCGAUAAAAGGGGUCACUCCCCGUUUCUAAAGCCGUCCAUUUGUUUGAGACAUUUUCACAGCCAAAUAACACAGGUAAGUAUUUGGUGUCUACUUCUUUGUCUCAAGUUUUUCAAAACUCAGACAAAGAGGGGCAAACAGUAGACACCAAAUUUUUGACUUCAUUUUUUUUUGUUAUUAGUUUUAUUGAUAUUUAUUUUAGUUUGGUUUUACUAAUCUCUUUUUUAGACAUUUUAGCAUUUAAAAAAAAAAAGUCAAAAGUCAAUCAAAGGGACAAAAAAUGAGACACAUAAGCCUACUUUGGGGUUUAAGAUCUUGGCCCUUGAUAUUAGGUUUAGUCUUUGGAGGGGCCUUUAAGAGGCCAAACAGCUGCAAGAAAAAAAAAACCCGAGAGGAGAAAUAGCAAAAAGAGGCACAACGGAAAAAGGGGCUGAGGAGAUAAGGAGAGUGGGACAGCAGGGGAUGACGGCCAGGUCUUGAGAGGGAGGAAAAACAACUAAAAAAGUGGGAAAAUCUGAGGAAGAGAGGCGGGUGAGCUGUAAAACAAAAAGAAAAUUGGGAGGCAUCUGAUAAAAAAGAGGAAAGAGGGCUUCAGCGGAACAAAAACGGGGGGACGAAGCAAAACAGAGAAGGAACAAUUAGAGGAAGGGCUUCAUCUGGGGGGAGAGCUAAAAAAAAAAAAAAGAAAAGAAGAAGCUAGAACAGGGGCGGCGGACAAGGCUAUUGGGGGAAGUUUUCUGGGGAAGAAGAAAAACAAGCGAGGGAGAGUAAAAAUAAGGGAAAAGGAAGAAAGUGGCGGCGAAGAUCUUUUGGGGGAAAACAAAAAUCAGAGGAGAAAGACUAGGAGGAGCCGCUACCAUCCCGCUAGAAUCAACUAUCGUCGCCGCCAUUCACCACCUGCAGAGCUUUGCUGGAUUCAGCCGCGUAUUCUCUAUCACCAACAUGCUCAAGCAAAUUGAGCCACUCGGCACCUCCAUCAUCUCCAAAUGGGUAUCCGAUGCCGCCAAGAACUCGGAGAAGCGGACCAUUUCUACUAUGCUGGGACCUUCAAUCAGGAACCACCGCCGCUCAUUCCGCCACCACCUUGCCGAACCCCCCUAUUGUCACCGGCAAAGUUUCACCUUGCGAACACGGUAAGCCAUCCUCCCUCUUUGAACUUCAGUUUGGAUAUUUUAGUUUAAACAUCGGGAAAGCAUGUCUGCCGUGCAUUUGGUCAGUGCCAAUUUCAUGUUGAUUGUUUACAAUUUUUAGUUUGUAUGCGUUUAUGUUCUAAGUUGAACUGAAACUUCUUGUUGUUUGACCAAUUUUGGGCUGAUUAUAAUCUCAAUUGAGCAACGUUCUGCUGGAAUUUUUAUGCCUAUUCAAUGUUUGAUAAAAUGCCCACCCGAGAGUUGGUUUGAGUUUGGUGUUUUUUGAGCCUGGCACGUUGUCUUAUAAACCUCUCCUUCAUCGUUUUUUUAUUUGGUUGUAUAGAGUGCUCAGCUUUGUUUCAAAAUUUCCUUUGGUUAUUCGUUGUGAGUUUGCCGGUUUGUUAUAGUAUUAAACAUUACUAGGUAAUGCUGGAACGUUAGCCGCGCCAAAUUUGGGUCAUUUUGUUGUUUUUAUGUUCAGUUUCAUUAUUGGAUUUAUUGUGAAUAAACUGUUGCAUUUGGAGGACGAUUAAUAAUACGGGUAGAACGCCGUAACAUUGAGCUUUUGGGGCAUCUUUAUGGCUUUGAUCUUGCCCAUACAAUGUUUUAUCAUUGGUUUCUUAUCAAAAAAUGGAAAUCUGGAGUCUUUGUGUGAAGUGACAAAAGCUGCAUUUUAUGCUCACGUUUGUUGUUUUCCUCUUUCCGCAAUAGCCACAAAGUUGGGUUUCAUCAUCUUGUCUGUACACUCAAACUUUGGCUUCAAUAAUGAUUAUAGAAGAUUUCAGAGCAUGUUUGCUGAUGAAUGUCCAUGUCUGCCGUCGGCAUGUUGUUUCAAACUUAGCGUCGAGUGUUUGUGGCUUUUUCUGUAUGUUAAUUAAACUGUAUUCUUUUGGGUUUGCUGUAAAUUGCAGGGCUGAAUGUAGCUUUAAUUAAGUAGAAGAUUAGUGAAAUUUUUGAUGCUCCUAACCUGUUCGACAAAAUGCCUGACUGAAAAUCCUUAUUGACAGAAGUUUCGUUUGCAUUUUUUUCUUUAUGUGAAAGAACCGGCUAAGUCAGCAGAAUCAUUUCCUUGCAUAUGAGAAAUUUCGAUGUGUUGCAGUUUUGCAUUUUUUUUCUGGAAACCAAUUUUGGAAAUCAGUCCCUGCAUUUCUCUUUAAUUGUACUAUGGCCCUGGACAUUUUCAACUUCUUUCAAUUCGGUCCUUACUUUAAUUGCAAAUGAGUCCCUGAACUUUAUUUUUCUUUAAUUUUGACCCCAAGACUUUAUUAAUUUUUGCAAUCAAGUCCUUUCUUCUUUUAACUUCUUAAAUGUGGGUUGUUGACAUGAUUUAAUUGAUUCAAAUUCAUGUUUAUUUUUUAUCCUUUGUGAUUAUUUGCCAAAUAAAUUGGUACCUUGACCAUUUCUUUUAUUUUGGAGGAUAAAUAAGUUGAUUUCACUCCAUUAGAGCUUCAUUUCAAGGGAGGUAUAAUUUCUUUUAUCUUUUUGUGUCUCUCCUAUGUGAACCAACGUGCUACGUGAGAAAUACAUGUCUACUUUGCUUUCCUAGCCUUUCUUUAAUUUCUUUUAUUUAUGUCAUUUACUUUUGCUUUUUAUUUAAGUUAUUCUUUAUGGGGUAUGUGUACACCUCUUGACUUGUAAUAGUUAGGGAUUUAAUUAUUUUAUUCCUCUUCCCCCUUUUAGAUUGUAGUAGGGUUUCCCUAAUGUAAUAGAUAGGGCAAGGAGGAGCAUUCAAUGAAGACCUAUCGAAGUCAUGUGCCUAGCUAGCAAAUGUAAUAGUUAGGGCUUUAAUUGUCUUAUGUGUCUUGCAUGCUUAGUUGCUACGUGUUAAUUUGCUUUGUUAGGGCCUUGCAUCUAGUCGAGCAUGCUAAAUGUUAUGUGCUAUGUGUUUAUAAGUGUUUGGCAUGUCUACUCGCUUUCCAUAACUUGAAUGAAUGUGAUGGAUGAAUGUACGUUUCCACUAGUCCAACGCUAGUCGGAAUUCAUUGAAUGGGCUAGUCCAACGCUAGACCCUUAGGGAUUUCCCCUCGUUAGUACAUGUUUGCAUGUUCAUUACAUGUCAUGCAUUCUUUUAGUUUUUCUAUCAUUUGGCAUGUCCCUCUAAUCCCCUUUCCCCUCACUUUAGGUCUUGCAUCUCAUGCUAGUUAGGGUACAUUUGCCUGAAGAGUCCCCUUCCGAUAAGGAAAACGAGCGAGUGUGGCUACUCGAUAGCCUUAGCACGCUAGUUUCGCCUUCUAAUCAAAGGGAAAAUCAAAGUCGAAAAGUUAGGAGUCCUUCCCGUACCCGAUUUGUUGCAUUCCUCUAGGGUCAUACUUUCAUUUUAUCACAUCCAUACACUUUUAACCACAAUUCUGCACAUUUCUCAAACCAUACUUUUCUACUACAUUUUACCUAUCGCUUGCUUAUUUUCACUUCACAAAUGAAAUUCCACUUUACCUUAUAUAUCUAUUACUCUAUUUUCAUACAUUUGCACACACAAACACUUGGAUUUUUCAUACAAUUUCACACAUGCACCUUUUCAUACACUUGCACACAAACACUUGGAUUUUCAUACAAUUUCACACGUGCACCUUUUUAUACACUUGCACACUUGCACUUUAGCCAUCAUUUGCAUUAAUCGACCUCUAUAAGGUUUUCCUUUAUUGGCCGCCACAAUUCAUGUGGUUGGGACCAAAAACCUUACAAGAGACAUUUUAGAAUUUAGGUUUACAUUUUUUCCUUCUUUUUGCAUUCAUGUAGUGCAUCCAAAUGUAAUAAAUUCUUUGGUUAAAAUAAGAAAAACUUUGAUUAAAUCACGCAACUAGCCUUGGCUAGGUCGAAGGGGUGCCUUGGAUUUUUAUCCUUGCCUUCCCCUUCGUCAAAUGUGACUCCCGAACCUUUUUCGUUGGUUUACGUGGAUUAAGAGUCGUUUAAAAGGGGUUUCUUACUACUCUUUCCCAUUUUUUCUUUAAAAUGGAUAGUUUUCCAAAAGACGCAUGGAUAGUUUUCCAAAAGACGCAUGGAUACAAAUUUAUUGGAGAUUUGAGGAGUUAAUACUCGACUCAUGUGAGGACUCGUAAAACUCCUAUUAAAACCCUAAUUUGAGCUUAUUUAAUUAUUUACUUGUUCAUUUAUUCCGAAUAUUAUUUUCUAGACCUAUUGAACCUAAUUACGUGGAAAUAUAGCUUCGUUAUAUUUUUAAAGUGACUUGUUUCAAGAAUUAAUUUCCUGGAGUACGUUUAGUAAAAAUAGUGAAUAGUGCUUGGAGAUUUUAUCCGCGUAGUAGCACAAUAAGCUUGGAAUAUUGGAGACUUAUACAAUGGUCCUAAAAUAGGUAAUCUUAUGAAUAAAUACUCAAGUGAUAGUUAGUAGUGCAAUUGUUAUAAGAAUUUCUCGGAAGUUUCGCGUUAUAACGUUAAAUUUGACGGUACGCGUUUUCACAUGCGCGACUUUAUUUGAGGGACUUUAGACCCUUAUUUCGGGACAAUUAAGAGUGGAUAAUACUUACAUGAAUAUUAAUGCAUUGGAGGUUUAGUGCACUAGUGAACCAAACACGCGAGAAAAUCGAGCCGUAAUCGCACCAAACGGCCCCUAAUGAGAGUUGACUUUGGAGUGAAUUUACACCACUCAUUUAAUCUUCUCUUGGAAGCUAACUUGGAUCAAAAUUCACUCUCUCUUCUUUCACCAAGAGUGCCGACCAGCCUUCUCUCUCUCUCUCACUCUCUUGCUUCACAAUUUCCUUCAUCAAAUCAACCCAAAACCUCAACCAAUCUUCACCAAACUUGAAGAUCAUCUAGCAAACUACUUGGAGGUUGGAUUUAGCUAACUAAAGGGCUGCGUUUUCACGGUUUCUUGGAGCUCUUGAGGGCUGAAAAUUUCUGGGUUAAGGCACUAAGGAGGUAUAACUUCAGCCUACACCUUAAACUUGGAUUAUGAUGGUAGAAAUGCAUCUUUAAGCUAGUGCAUGCAUUUGGUUAGCUUGUGUAUGGUGUAAAAAUGUGAUUGUGGGCUCUUUGAAUUCGCACACUUGGGUUGUUGUUGCUGAUUUGAUGAUUGAUGGUGGUUAUAUUGUUGGUUUAGUGGUUAAAAUGAUGCAUUAGUGGUGGGUAAUUAGUAGAGACUUCAUUGGGUGUAAGAAGCAAAAACUUCCGAUUUUGCCCCUGCCAUGUUCGGCCAUUUUGAGGCCAAUUUUUAAUGGUCUAACGGCUUGAAUUGGAUGUUUAUAGGAUGUAUUAGAUGUGUGAAAAUUUUCAUUGGAAAAUAUUGAGGUUUGAUUGAGCAAAUGAAUUUUUCUUGAGAAACUAGCAAAUCUGGAAAACUGUUCGCGUAUGAUUCUGACCAGUGGUAGUAUUUUGGCUAUAACUCUGUCCUCGGAUGUCGAAAUCAUGUGCUGUUGGUGGCGUUUGAAACUAGACAUUCCUGGCUUUAAUUUGGUAUAUAAUGCACGUUCUGAUUCUUUGUGAGUAAGCCAAACCAAAUGUUUUAAGUUCACUGUCCUGUUGCUCUGUUCAUCUGGAAUGAAGUGUUCAGGCAGCAACUUGAUGCCCGAUUUUGAACCAGAUGGGUGCCGAAUUUGGAAACGAUUUCUUUUGUGAUAUUUUAGUCCUAUGAAUGUACUUUCCAACGGUGUAAGCCAUACUCGAUUUCAAGUUAUAUUGACUGAGUUGUGACUGAAACAAGUGGACUGCUCUGUUUUGGAAAAACCCUAAUGUUGGACUGGUUUGGAACAAGAUCUUGGAGUGAACUUGUUAAUUGAUGUUCUUGAUACUAAACACUUACCAAAGGCAUUAUGGAUGUUUCUUAGGCCUUUAUUUCACAAAUGAACCAUGAUUGGAUCGUUUGCUUGAUUAAACGUUCUGAAAUGGGUAAUGAAAGUCUCAAGGCAGAUUGCCUUAUAAUUUUCCUGAACUUUGGUUGACUAAUUAACUAUCUUACCGAAGGUAUUUUUCCCUGAAAUUUGAUAGAGCGGUACCAUUCAUAUGGGAGUAAAAUACUGCCAAUUUUGGUACCAAUCCAAGUUCGUUUCGAUACCCAAUUAAAUUACUAAAGUUAGAGGUUCAAAUCUGGAAAUUCUUCUCCAGUCUUGAAUUUCCCCAACUUUGAGCUACCGUAUCUCGGUACUCGAAACUCCGAUUCUUGAUCCGCUUGUUUUGUUAUAAACCUCGCUUGCAACUCUAAUUGAGUGAUAAAUUUCAGAGGCUGGUUUACAACGUGUGAAUCGUGCCGAAUUUUCAAAGUUGGCCGAAAUCCAACUUAAUUCUGCCUUGUAAACCAAUCCUGCAUCUUCAAGCUCAUUUUUGAACACUUUCCACUUUGAUUCAUGGAAAAUUGUCUUCUAGGAACUUAUAGUACUUUCUAGGAGGUUUCCAACGGUAUAAAGUUUUCCAAUUCUCAACUUAUGCCGAGCGAGUUACGAUUUUUCAAAGAUUUAGGAUAAAACUGAAAUUUCUCAAUUUUCAAGGCAAAGGAGUUUUUCCAAAAUUCUUAAUUCUCUUAGUAUUAUUCAAACGUUUUGCCCUCGCUUUUCGUGAUAAAAACUCAAAUAAUAUUGUACAUAAUAAAAGGCUAGUUGAACCUCGAUUUGCGUGUAAUUGAGGUUCCUUUUGUGAAAUAAUCUUUAGAUUGUACUAGAGUACAAUCUUCCUUGAUAAGUGGGUUAUUUGUGUGAUUAUCCGCUAUUAAUUGCCAGGCGCACAAGGAGACCUUCAAGAGGAUCUCACUGUGGACACUUGAAUCUCUAAAGAAUAAUCCCUAUUGAAUUGCUCGGUGAGUGUCAAGUGUGUGAAUUAUUGAUACUUGCUUAAUUAUGGUAAUUGUUGGGAAUUUUAAAAAAAAUAAGGGCGGGUGCGUACUUUAUCGCACUCGUUCUAAUUUCAAAUGAAUGAUUGAAGUGUAUUGAAUGAAUGAAAUGUAUUGAAUGAAUGAAUGAAAUGAAAUGUUAUGUCAUGAAUGCAUGUGUCGUUGGAGUGAACCUCCUCGACUUUCAAAUGAAUGGGGGACGCCCAAACUCAUAGGCCGACCUUGGACUCGAGCUGGCAAUGGGCUUGGUCGGGAACCUAGGCGAGCCAUGAGAUAUAUAAGCUCGACCUAAUAAGAGGUCUUGCUUGGCAUACUCGUAGAGUAUCGCCUUAUAAUAGACUUGUGGGCCCUUGGGGUGUACGGUGGACGGAGGGAAGUAAGUGGUGAUCUACGGAAAUGGAAAUACUGACCCGGUUGACAGGAGGGUCAACGCGGGAAAGUAUACGAAUGACAUCAGCAGAGUGAGUGGAACUUAGCUCCUGAGAGCUACUAUAUCCUUGAAUUGUUUCUGAUUACUUUUCCUGUUCGAAUGGUUGAUUAUUGAAACAUCACGGUUUUAUGCAAUAAAUUUGGGAUUGCUAUUUGAACAAUGUGCUUGCAUAUGUGUUCUUGGCCUCACGAGCGUUUUGCUCACCCUGUAGAUUUGUUUUCCUUAACAGGAUUGGACUUGGAGAAAUAUUGGAGAAACCCCUCUUGGCGUACUCUUGUUUUUAGGGUUUCCGUUGCACUUUGGGGCUAGACUUGUGAUUGAUAUAUAUAUAUUUUGAAUAUUGAUGUAUUUCGAGAUUCCGAUGUAAUGAUUGGGCAGAUGUUGAAUAUUGAUAAGCUUGAAUGCUUACGCACUGAUUGUAUUUAUGAUAUUUAAUCGUAACGUCUAGUAUUGUGUUAAGCUUGAACGGAAAUUGCUUGAGUCCUGGCGAGAGCUGGGCAGGCGUCCCGCGGAUACCCUUUGGUUCGCCUUAGGGAGAAGUGGGGGCGUCACAAAUUUUCCUAAUUUUAUAUUAUUCAUUUUAUUUUCUCGCCUGCAUUUUGUUUUCUUCAUUAUACCCCACUAUUUCGAUUUCUCCAGAGAUUUUAUAAGUAAAUAUAGUUUUUAAAUCAUUUUCCUAGUAUUACGAGAAAUAAAAAGGGUACAUUGGACGUGGGACCCGUUGGUGGCGUUAAGUGCGAUAAAUUCGACCAAUUAGAUUACUCUUUGUAUACCGGGAUUAAUUUAUUAGGUGUUAAGAGAUAAUUAGAGGUUACUUAGAUGGUUAAUCUUGAAGAGACAAAGGCAUAAGAAUAAACUUAAAAAGGGCCAAGUGUCGCGAUCCGAUUGGAAGUAGUCUUGCCUAAGUUUUGCCUAACUUUCCUUAACUUUACUAAAGGACCAAUUUUGACCCAAAUCACCUUCAUUUCAUAAGCUCCUUGGCCAAAUUCAUCUAGAGAGAAAAGACAAGAAAGCUUCAACCUUUCAUCUUCUAUUCUUGCACAAAUCUUGAAAAUCAACCGAUUAAUUCUUGAAUUAGUCUACAAAAUCAACUUGCUUAGGAAGAUUGAAGGUAGUGGUGGGGUGAUUAGAAAAGGGAAAGGACUAAUGUGACGGCCCCACCUCACCCUAGGGCGUACCAAAGAGUUCGGCGGGUCGCCUGCCCAGCUCUCGCCAGGACUCACUCACUCGUAUCAUGUAUAUACAUCCAUAAACAAUAGAUGCUCAAGUAAAAGAUAAGAAACUUCUACACACCAGAAGUCUUCAAAGUGUUUACCAUUCAAGUACAAACAUCGAAUAUACGAGGGUUCUCAUUCCUCAUACCACGUAAAUUGUUUUCCUUAGCAGGGGAAGGCGAGCAAGGACGAGAGUUCUGUAUAGUCUAGUUGAUCUAGUUCUUUGGCCUUGCAAUGGUUCUCGCCCUAGUGCUUGGCACGGGCACAGUUGGUGGUAUCAGAGCCAUAUGCCGACAGUUGGGACUUUAAGUCCUUCGUCUGGAAAAGCCCCGAGCCUCUCGUUCGUGAAGAGUCACGAAGCGAAACUCUCCGUAGGGGAUGCCCGCGUGCGGGUGGCAAGCUGAUAGGUACCCCGUGAUGUGACCCUGAGAACUGUCACAACUAAGCCAUCACCUUUCUUGAUAUUUCAAGGUAUCAUGUCAAGCCAUCCUUUCUUUGUUCUUGAUUAUGUUAAAUUAAUGACUUGUGAUGGCUAAAGAGAUGUUUUAGUGGAAGAUUUUGUGAUUUUUGGUGGAGAUUGAUGGAUUUUUUAUUUUAUGCAUGAUUUUUCUGAUUUCAUAUGUCAAGUGUUGGUUAACCAUGGAUUAAUGGUUUGUUAUAGUGUAAGAAGGAGUUGGUAUGUGUUGGAAAUGAUUGGUUGUGAAAAUUUCUGGUUUGGUGUGAAAAUUCCAGAUUAGGGUUUCAAGUAACCCUGUUCUGCCCGGUUCUGUUCGGCCAGUUUAGAGGCUGAAUCAGCCUUAGAUCAAAACAUGAAAGUUUUAGAGAAUGAUGUUUUAUAGUUUGCUGUAAAUUUUCAGCCCAAUCUGAGCUUGGUAGCUUGUGAAAAGUUGGAAAUACCCAGACUGGCCUAGGUAGGAGUUCAGCGAACAGGGUUGUCAUUUCACCAAAUCUGACCGUGACUUUUCACCCUGAUCCUUACCGAAUUAGAUUUUUACCAAAACAUAAAAGUUGUAGCCAAUGGUAUAAACUAGUUUCCUACAAAAUUUCAGCUCGAUCCUGGCACUGUAGCUUGUGAAAUGAUCGAAAUACCCUUGUCUGUCCAUGAACCUUGUUUCGCGCCCAGAUUUCUGUUUUGGUGGAAACUUCGUUUUUCUUUUGACCCUGAAAAUGCAUGAUUUGGCUUUGGAGGUCUUCAUAAGAAAUGUAGGUAUAUGUCUUAGCUUUCCAAAGGCUCUAGAAUCACCUCGUUUCGACUUCGAUAGCCUGAGUUAAUUCGUUUACGUAUAAGGUAGUUAACCAGCCCGAAUGUGAGAUUCUGGUCUGUAAAUGGCAAUUUUGACUUAGAUACACUACAAAUUGGACUGAGUGUUCUUCAUCAAAGUUUUAGCUCUUUGUCUUAGCUUUGAAAUGGUAUAAAUUGUACCCCAAUCUGAUAAGCGUAGCUUCAGUUGUGUCUGUUCCGCUAAGAGACAUCAAACCUGCUAUUUAGCUUUUGUCUUUAAAAACUCGAUUUCUAGUUGCAUUCCUAGGCUUGCUUUGUGCUUGGAUGAACUUGAGCCUAGUUGAAGGGCUAUUGUAUUGAGAUUUCUUAUGUGUUGAAUUGGACUGACUUGAGGAAAGACAAUGAAGCCAUGAUGGCUAGAAAAGUAAGCAAAUUUAGGGGGAAUGCUGUCCAAUUUUCUAGGCCGUUUGGUUCCUUUAAGUUUGAGUUGAUCUUAGUAAAAAAUGAAGGGUUUUGAGGGUUGUUUGUAACCCUAGGACCAACUGUUAUCUUUUGCUCAAAAGUCAUAUUUUAUUCUUUUAUGCUAGUAUGUGACGACCCCACUUCUCCCAAGGGCGAACCCAAGGGUAUCGGCGGGCCGCCUGCCUAGCUCGCGCCAGGACUCAAAACUUAAAGUUCGAAAGAGCACUAAAUACAAUAUAUACAAUCCAAAAGUUAUAUUUACAUCUUCAAAAGUAACGAGUCAAACCACUCUAAUAUACUACAACCACAACCAGCAGAAGAUAGACCCUAAGAAGGGUCCUUAUACAAACCACCAAAACAAAACAAACAUCCUAACUGUCCAACUAUUACAAACUAGACCUAACUUUACUAGCGGCAGAGUCCCAAAGUUCCCCGCGUCGUCCCCUGCUAAGGAAAACAAAGGAAACGAGGUAAGCUGGAAGCUUAGUAAGUAAACAGGGGUAAAAGCGUAAAUUUCACGUAACCACAUUUACACAGUAGGAGUAAAGCAAAAGCAGAAAAGUAACAUCACAUAAUAAGGAUACAGGUGGCUCCAAAGCCAAUUCAUAUGCCAUGCGUGAUCUCCUGCCGACACUCCGUCGACCACACUUAAUAGUCCGUAGAACUUCACUUGUACACCCACCGACACCUUAUCACCCUCACUGGCCAGUCACCUCACAAACUUGCCCGGGCGAACGAAAUCACAAACUUGAGCUUGAGUCACAAGCUCGGGUCACAAACUUGGUCACCUUCUCGGUGAACCGGAUUCACAAAAUUGGUUUAUAACAUGAACCUACAAACUUGGUGACCUCAGACCAAGUUGGACUGACUUCGACCAAGCCCUAACCGGCUCGAAUAGUCCAAACAGGUCUUAGAUCGGGCCCACGAACUCACAAACUUCACAAAAUUCACAAACUUUACUCGAAAGUCGCCCCGAGCCACAAGCUCAAGGGUUUUGGUUCCAAAAGGUUCAUAUACAUAUGCCAAGUACAAUUAUACAUUCAAAUUAGGGUUUAGGUCGAGUGCGAUAAAGUACACCCUCGCCUAAGUACCCUUUUCACGUAUCUCAAACACAUAGCAAAGAAAACACAUCAAACUGGCCUGAAUACUUACUCAAAAUACCAAAAGUAGUACUAAAGCAAAAUCGCUUCGCGCGUUCGCUAGUAGUGGGCCCCACCGGCUCCGCCUAGCUCACCGCUGUCUGAAAUGGAAGAUUUUAUCACAUUAUGUCAUAAACGGCCACUAACGUGCCCAAAACAAAUAAAACAGCAACAUCGGCACACGCAAGUACGGAAACGGCGGAAAGGGCACACGCACGCGUGCGGAAAUGGCAAACGGGACGGCCAAAUCUGCCAUCUCAAACCGUUUUGGUCAAAAAUUAGGCUAGGAGUGUCGGAUCAAGGUGGGUUAGACACCGUUUCGAAGCUAAGAGGAAGAGCUACAACUUUAAUUUAGACAUCUCAACCCAGAUCUCAAUAGGUAUAGGUCAAAAAUGCACGAAAUAGUGCCAGCUGUUUCAUUACGGUUUACCAAACAGGCCCUGUUGGCAAGGCCGUAACUCACAGCUCAGAAAUUGAAAUCAAGAAAUUCCAGAGGCGUUAGAAAGCUGAGACAUAAGGAUAAAACUUUGAUGUUUUGGCCAAGAUCUGAAUUCACUCAGAAUAGAACGAAAAUCGAGUGCCAAAAUACCCGUCAGAACUGUCCAGAUACAAGGCAGUUCUGACGAUUGAUAUUGUUUGGGUCAUAACGGAAGCUACGGAACUCAGAUUUCGACGUACUUUAUACCAUUUCGAAGCUGAGACCACGAUCUAAAUUUCUUAUGAAGGGAUCAACACCCAAUUCGCAAAGUAUCAAAACGGAAAAACCCACGGUCAGAAGCUGAAAUUCCAAACGUACACCAAGUAAUGUCUAAAACAGGCCUGAGGUUUUUGUCCAUAACUCAGAGUACACUAAUCCAUUUGACCUGAGAUUUUACAGGUAUAUUCAGGACUCAAGGUGCUACAAUGUUGAAGAAGACCACUCAAUCUAGUUUCGAGUAUAACUCGGUCAAAAUGCAGUACAAUAUCCCAGAACCGCAAAACAGGUUCACAAAACGUAGUCUAGCGUAAACAUCAUAACUUAGCCUACACAAGUCUAAAUCCAGAAAUUCCAAAGCCAUAUGAAAGCUUAGAAACAGGGCUACAUUUCAUCAGAAGACCACAACAAUCAAUUCGGAAGCAUUCCUAGCCAAAACAACCCAUUACAAUCACAGUUUUCCAAUUCUGGGUAAACCAGAACAGCAAUAGUAAUUUCGACUUAUCUCACUCUACACUACUCCGAUUGACCUGAAAUUUUGUCAGCACCUCUAAAAUGUCAUUCCCUACAACCUUUAUGUUUUAAUCCAAGGCCAAUUCGCCCUCUAAAUAGGUGCUAAAAAUUCGGACAGAAAUGUUGAACUUUGAAACCUAAUUUUUCCAAUUUCUUCCAAAACAGAAAUUGAUUGUAAUUACUCACUUUUUCCACCUCCUAGAGUCAUUAAACAUCAUUUCCAAUCAUCAUAGAUAACCACAUAAUCAUGCUCAUAUUAAAACAGAAAAAUCUCCAAAAAUAAAUAAGCUUCAUCAUGUCAACCACAAAUCAAGAAAUAACCAUAAUAUUGCAUCUCAUAUCACCACUAAUCAUGAUUAAAGCAUCAAUUAAGGGAGGAGGGUGGUUCUUCAUAACUCACCUUAGAACAAGAGAGAGAGAGUAAUAGGUCUUCUUGGCUUUCCAAACAAAUCCACACAACACCUUACAAGCACUAAACUAAGAGGUUUUAUGGAAGGAAUUCAAGAGAUUAAACGGUUAAGUUGUUGAUUUGGGCAAGAUUAGAGCAAGGAAUUGAGAGAGGUUUUUCUUCUUUUGCUUGGAGAGAGAGUCAGCCAAGAGGGAGAAAAGAAUGAGGAAUUUUUUUGUUAUUUUUGGUGAUUUAUUUGGUCAAAAUAGAAAAAGGUGAAUAGUGGUCUUAUGGUAAGAUUAAAUCUUAUGGUGACACUUGUCACCUUUUAUUAAAUAUCUACCUAACUUUUCUCUCUCAUAUCAAUCCAAAUUACAACCUCUACUUAUCUCUUAACACCCGGUAAAUUAAACCCAGUAUCCGAAACUUAACCUAAUCGGCCGAAUUUUUCCGAACUUUUCGCACUAGUGGGUCCCACGUCCGAUAUACGUUCUUAAUUUCUCAAAAACUAACUAAUACUAGAAAAAUCAUCUAAAAACUCUAUUUAUUCAAUAAAAAUUAUCAGGGGCAUUUUCUAAUAAAGAAAAUGUAGAAAAACGGGUUUUCAAUCUUAACCGGAACUUAGGGUUUAAAUCUUAAUCCCUACUUAGGGUUUUCGAAAUACUCCCAAAACCAAACGUUACCGCCCAAUUAAUGAAUAUAUCAACGUAGAACGAACUGGGGCCUCACAUAGUACCUAACCUGGAAAGACGUACGACGUGUAGUCGAGCCUCACUUGUACAUUCCGUUCACUCGAUUUUGGAUGUGAAACCUUCAAUUGUUUUACUUUGAUGAUUUUAGGGUUUCUUGGUGAUUAAAGCCAUUUUGAAGUGAAAACUUUUGAAGUAUCCGUACUUGGACCGGUGAGUGUACCACUCCCCUCACUUGUUGUUUAACUCGAUUUCUGUACAUGCAAUCUGUGAUAUGAACGACCGAACUAUCUGUUUAUUUUGUUUGAGACGAGGGUGUACUUUAUCACACUCGUUCUCUUGUCUGUUCAUAUGCCAAUUUUUUGUGCGAAUAUGAAUCUGUUAUCUGUAUCUGUAUCUGUAUCUGUUCUGACGUCGUUUGGAGACUUGUAUCUAACGACCUUUCUGUGACCUCUGAGCUCAAUACCUGUGGCUAAUUACUUGAGUCGGGCCGGCAAGGGCCUGGUCGAUUAGAUAACGAACCACGGUAGUCUAUUUUGGGAUCUUUGGGUAUUGAGACCCUUGAUUCCGGUGUACUUGAGUAUUACCAUUUCUGAACUGAUUGGAGUUCGGGCCCGGUACGGGUAUGUGAGGUGGAAGGAAUCGGAAAAAGUGGAGUCUACGGUAUUGGUUACUCUUUUAGCGUUGACGGAGUGUCAACUAUUAUUUCGAUCAAGCUUCGGUGAAGCAAAUGGAAUUUGGCUCCUGAGAGCAACCCGUAUCCUUUCUAUCUAUGGUGUUUGUUCAUUUCUUUAUUUGAUUCGCAUAUGUGACUAAUUGAAUAUGAAGUUCCACGUUUCUUACUUGCUAUUAUUUUGGUACCUCAUUGAGCGUAAGCUCACCCCCUUCCCGUUAUCUUUGUUUUCCUUACAGGAGAUAAACUUUGAAACCACGAUUUUGGAAGAAAAGGGUUCCAUGUUUUGAAACCAAGAUUUUUGUAAGAAAAGAGUUGAGCUAGUUGUAGGACUUCUCUUGUUUAUGCUCAUUUGUAAUCGAAACCCUAAUUGUAUUUUGUGUAGCAUGAAUACUUUGGCUUGUAUUUUGGUUCACUUGUUCAAGACUCCGACAUAAAAAUAUGUAUAAGUGUUUAACCGACGUUCCGUACUUCCGUAUGGUUUGGUAAGCUCUGUUGUAACUGUUGGUGGUCUGAAAUUGUUCAUUUUCCUUAGAUCCUUCCGCGCGUACUAUAUUGGGUUUGUGUGAAUCGACUCCGUAGUCCUGGCGAGAGUUGGGCAGGCGGUCCGCUGAACCCUUUGGUUCGCCUUAGGGUGAGGUGGGGCUGUCACACUAUUUGGUUACUUGUUUAGCUACCUAUUGGCUCUUUACUAAGUGAUAAGAUCAUAUAUAAGGGAUUGGAGUGAUUUUUAGUACUUGACUAAAUUUGAAGGACUAUUUUGACUGGAUUAGUACCCGUUGGAAUGUCGAGGACGACAUUCUUUUAAGGAGGAGAGAUUGUGAUACCCUAACUUUUAGGAUACUAUUGUUGUUUAGUCUCAAAGAGGAUAUUACGAUUUCUUUAUUUAAGACAUUAUUUUGUUUUAAAAAUGAGAAACCCUAAAUUCUAGAAACCCUAAAGUCUAAUAAAAAAACUCUAGUUUACUUGUGACUAACCGAUUUUCUUAAAUCUCUCAUUUUGAAUCGAAACCCUAAUUGUAAUCACUGAAAUUGUAAAAUCCCUCAUAUUUUCUUAAAAUUCCUUUUUAUUUGGCAUUUAUUCCCUUAUCAUAGCUAUACUACUCAUUUUACAUCCCCAAUGUUUAGAAUAACGAAUAAAAUUAAGAGUUUUCCCUUUUGCAUUCAUCGUUAGGGUAAACUAAGAUUUUUACGCCUAUCCAUAGUGUGACUAUCCGGUAUGGAGAGUGGAUCAAAUUUGGUGAUUAAGAGUGAGUUAUAGAUAAUUUUAAGUGUGUGAUGAGAAGUGAUAAUAAUAAGUUAGUGAAUUAUAAGUUAAAACCCUAGUAUACGCGAUUUAAAGAAAAUCGACUCGAACCGUUGGGUACCGUUCACUACCGAUUGAACACACCAUUUGACCACCAUUUUUAUCAAGUUAAUCUCCUUGUUAUUAGAGCUUAAAUAUCAGCUCAAAAUCUGAUCUUGAGGGCCGAAAUUUUUUAUUUGGAAAACAAGAGAAAAGAAAAAAUUUUGGAUUAACCAAAGUGUGACACUUGUUGGUUACUCAGAGACCUUUGACCAAGCCAAUUUUCUUUGCUUCUUAUCUUCACUUUGGCUCCAUUUCUUCACAAUUUUUCCUUGGUUUGGCCGAGAGCAAGAGAGGGAGGAAGAGUGAAGAGAGAUUUCCAUUUCAACCUUGAAUCAAGCCUUGUGAGUGAAAACAAGAACAAAUAAACCGAUUAACUUGUAAUUGGAAGCUUGGGAAGCUUGGGAAGCUUAGGGAACUAAAAAUUUCAAGGGGAAGUGAAGGAGAACACUAGCAAGCUCUGGUUUUGAGGUAAAAUGACUGACCACUCUUUUCUUUUCCCUUAAUCAUGUUGGAGUUGUUUAGUAACUUGUAUUUGUGAUUGUGAUGCUUAAAUCAAGGGAAUUUGGAUGAUUGGGGUGAUGCAUUUGAGUUAGGGUUUGAAUGAUUCCCUUCUCAUACUUGUUGUAUGGAUGGUAUAUGAUGUAUAUAAGCUUGUAUAUGAGGUGGUAGUGAUGGUUUUAAGCUAGAAAUAUGAAUUGUACUUUGACUUCCUAAAUUUCCAGAAUUUAAUUUCUUGCAUACCCUGUUUUGCCCGGUUCUAGUUCACCAUGAUAGAGGUCGAAUCAGGCUUGGCCCAAAACAUAAAAGUUGUAUAGAAUUAUGUUUUAUAGUUUUUUACAAAAUUUCAACUUAAUCGGAGCAACGUAGCCUACGAAAAGAGAAAAAUACCCCUGACUGCCAUAGGUAGAGCUUCAUGGACAGUUUUGACAUUUCACAAAUCUGAUCGCAUCUGUUCACCCUGAUCCGUACUGAAUUAGCAUUUGUCCAAAAUGCAAAAGUUGUAGUGCUAUGUCUUGGCUUUCCAACGCCCUGAAAACGCCUUAAUCGGACUGUGAGAACCCGUAUUUUUGCAUUUUCUAGGUUUUAUUAUUUUCAUGGCUUGUUUUCUGCAUUUUCGUGCUUAGGAAAAAUUCUAGAUAAUUUUAAGGAGCAGAUAUAAUUUUUAGAUGAUUUUUCUAGUAUCGAAUAGGUUUUGAGAAAUUAAGAGUGUAUACCGGAUGUGGGAUCCACUAGGGCGAAAAGUUCGAAAAAAUUCGGCCAACUAGGUUAAGUUUUGGAUACUGGAAUUAAUUUACCGGGUAUUAUGAGAUAUUUAGAGGUACCAAGUGGAUAGGUGUAUGAGAGACAAAAAAGUUAGGCAAGUCAUUAAAUAAGGUGACAAGUGUCACCAUGUGAUUGGAUUGAGUUGUCCACAACUAUUCACCUUUUUACUAUUUGACCAAAUAAAUCAAAAAAUACCAAAAAAUCACCAUUUUCUUCUCUUCCUUGGCCGACCUCUUCAAGCUCCAAAAGCAAGAAAACUCUUCAAGUUUUUAGCUUCCAUCUUGCUCAAAUUCAACUAAUCAACCACUUAACCUUGUUUUUGUUCCAUAGAAAUCAUUAAGUGAGUGUUGGUGAGUUGUUGUGUGAAGUUUUUUUGGAAAGUUAAGGUGACCAAUAGCUCUCUCUCUCUUGUUUUAAGGUAAGUUGUGAAGAACCACCCUCCUCCCUUAAUUGAUGCUUAAAUCAUGCUUAUUGGUAGUAAGAGAUGCAAGUUUAUGGAUUAUUUCUUGAUUUGUGGUUGAAAUGAUGAAGUUUUAUUAUUUUUGGGGAUUUUUAUGUUUUAAUAUCAGCAUGAUUGUGUGGCUAUCUAUGAUGAUUAAAAAUGGUAUAUAAUGACUCUAGGAGGUGGAAAAAGUGAUUAAUUGCAACCAAUUUCUGGUUUGGAAGAAAUUUCAGAAAACUAGGGUUCUUGAGGGAGCAUUCUGUCCGAAAUUUUAGGUCCUAGUUAGAGGCCGAAUUGGCCUUACCUUAAAACAUAAAAGUUGUAGGGAAUGAUAUUUUAGAGGUGCCUACAAAAUUUCAGGUCAAUCGGAGUAGUGUAGAAUGAGAAAAGUCGAAAUUACUAUUGCUAUUCUGGUUUUACCCGAAUGUAAGAAUUGCGCCUGUAAUUGGUUGUUUUGGCUUGAAUUGCUUCCGAAUUGGUUGUUGAGGUCUUCUGAUGAAAUUUAUCCCUAUUUCUUAGCUUUCAGCUGGUUUUGGAAUUUCUGGAUUUGGACUUGUAGAGCCUGAGUUAUGAUGUUUCCGCUAGAAUGCGUUUUAGUGAAUCUGUUUUACGUUUCUGAUGUAGUAUCUUGCAUUUUUGACCUGUUUACACUCAAAACUGGAUUGAGUGACCUUCUGUGAUAUUGUAGACCUGUCUUUUAGAUUCGAAAUGGUGGGUCUUGUACCCUCAUCCGAUAAUCGUAGUGAAAUUGGUGCCAUUACCGUAAAAUGAUGACAAAAACUGUUUUUUCAGGGCCAAAGCUAGUUACAUUUCUGAAAUUUCUGGUUUCCUUUAAUGUUUGUAUAUGCUUAUGGAACCCUAUUGGGGUCAUGUGUGGCCUUGGUUUAUGACUCGUUAUCGAGUCUCAUUGUAUUUGUUUGCAUGUUUUAGGACGUGACCGUGGUGCACAACGUUCUUUUGACGGAAGUGCAUGAAACCACAUUUGCGAGCUUGGUGAGUGUACUACUCACUUGUGUGCUAUUAUAUGGCUUUGAUAUUUGAACUUGAGAUGUUGAAUGUUAAUUGAUUGACGUGAGAGUGUACUUUAUCACUCUCACUUAUUGUUUCGCAUGUUAUUGGAAAGUUAUUGGAAUGUUAUAUGAAAUGUUAUAUGAAAUGAAAUACAUGACUUGGUGUCGUUUGGAAGAGUCUCCAACGACUACAAUUGUUAUCCUUGAGCUCAACCCCAUUGGUAAUUGAUUGAAUCGAGCCGGCGAGGGCUUGGUCGUGCCAAUUAAUGUGCCUUGGGGCAAUGUUAUAUGGAAUCUUGUAGUAUGAGAGACUCUCGAUUCCGGUUUACUCGAGUAAUACAACAAUGCAAGUGUUUGGAUUUCGGCCCCGGUUGGGGAAUGUUAGGUGGAAGGAAUGGAAGUAAAGUGGGGUCUACGGUUGGUUAUUUUUGAACAUUGAUGGAGGGUCAAUGACGUUCGAUCAAGAAAUGCAAAUGAGGAAAAGGGCUCUUGAGAGCCAUCUGUAUCCUUUUAUCACCAUAUUUGACGUGUGCCUUUGCUUAUUUUACUAUAUUGAAUGAAAGCUUGAUGCUUAUAUGCAAUUGGUUGCGUAAGUGAUAGUAUCUCACUGGGCAAUUAGCUCACACCGUUCCUUUUGUUUUCCUUACAGGAAUAUGACUCUUUUUGGAAUGAAUCUUGAUAGAUGGUUGUCGAAUGAACUAGAUGUAUAUUUUUUUUUGUAGGGUAUAUGAAGUGAAACCCUAAAUGUAUCUUUAGGGCCGUUUUCACUUUCAAUUUGGCAAAUCGUGUAUAUAUUCACUUUUGACAACUUUUAUAUGUCACUUUGGAUUGUAUUUGCUAAAGUUCAAGAUGUGAAUGUUUGUUCGAUAUUUGGUUGCGUUCUGACAGGUCGGUUACUAUUCAUGACCGACUCCGAAUUUCAUUUUUUUUAUUUUGGAUUAUUUUGCCCUUUUGCCUUGUUUACGUGCGUUUAUAAGUUCCGGAACGCAAUAGAUCGCUCUAAAUUGUACCGUUAGUCCUGGCGAGAGCUGGGCAGGCAGUCCGCUAACCUCUUUGGUUCGCCUUAGGGGAAGGUGGGGCUGUCACACGGACUUCGGUAACCUGAGUUAUUUUAUGCAUAGUGCAGCUAACUAGCCCGAAUGUGAGAUUUUGGUUCUGUAAUUUGAAAUUUUGACCUAGAUACACUACGAACUGGACUGAGUGGUCUUCAUCAAAGUUGUAGGUCUUUGUCUUAGCUUUGAAAUGGUAUCUUUCACACCUUAAACUGAUGACCACAGCUUCUGUUAUAAUUAAAACUAUAAAAGGUAUCAAAACUGUGAAAUGUCCGUUUGCGCCUUUGGGUGUGGACGCGCGACCGUUUUCAUUUCCGCACACGCAUACGUGCAUUUCUCAACUGUUUUUGCCAUUUUGGACCGUUUAGGACUGCUUUUAUUAUUUUGUUACCAUUCCAGCUGUUUCGGCCAAUUUCGACAAUCUUUUGGCCUUAACGUCGUUUUUGACCAUUUUUUAUUAUUUUUGACCGUUUUCAACCAUUUUCAAUCGUUUAAGUUAUAAACUGCUAUUGUAUGACUAUUUCACUUAUGUGUGUAUAUAAUCUAUCAAUACAGACUGUGCGGCUUUUGACGGUGACGGCCAAGCUCAGUGAAUUGUAUCGUUUUUCAUGACAAGCUUUAUCAAGUGAGUAAUUGGGUUGUUUAUUGACGUGAAAUUGUUAAAGGGCUUUGGAUAUAUUGAAUGGGUACUUAGGUGAGGGCAUACUUUAUCUCACUCGACCUAAGCCCAUCCUUUGUUUUGAUUUCAUAUGUGAGAUUACAUGUCUUAUGUUGUGUAUCACCCUUAUGUGAGAUUACUUGAAUUGAACCCCAUUUGCUGUGUGCUGUUUGGGGUAAGUACUUUGUUGUGUACUUUGUUGAGAGAUAUCAUCUAUUGAGAGAUUGAAUAUCUUAGGACUUGGUUCCAGUCCGGUUCCAUAGGUAGACGGACUAUUCGAGCCAGCCGGAGUUUGGUCGAAUUUAGUUCCAUGCUAACCUUGGGAUUUCAUUCUUUGUUAAAACUUUGAUGAAAGCUAAGUGAUUUUGUUUCGCUCGAGCUGCUGUGUGCUGUUGACUGGCCAGCGGGGGUUGAUAAGGUGAACGGGGAAAGUUAUGUGGAGUCUAUGGACUAUGAGUACUUUGGUUGAUGGAGUGUCAACAGGCGUUCAAACUCGGGGAAUUGAACUAGUUUUGGAGCCACUCAUAUCCUACUAUUGUGAUGUUACAUUUCUGAAUUGAUGUGAAAUAUUUGGAUUUAUAUGUUUAUCUGGAUGUGCUUUUACAUUUUUAUCCCAAGUAUUCACUAAGCAUAUAAUUUCCCCGUUCCAUUUGUUUUCCUUAGCAGGGGACCGACGCGGGGAUCGUUCGGGAAGGUGUAUAGACUUUUGGUUAUAGAAUAGUUGACUUUGUACCUGUUAUAAGUUGACUAGUAAGAUAUAUAGAGUUGUCGUGGUGGUUGUAGUUAUCAGCUUUCUAGGGUUUACUUUCUGGAUUCUCUGGUAUUGCUGAAGAUGGUGAACGGCGAUGGUGGAGUUCCUUGGAGAUUAUGGCUUACUGUCUCGCGUAUCAAAUCUUUGGUGCUCGGACGCUAGAUCACUUUCACUCAUGUUUACAGAGAGGCAAAUGCAGUUGCUGAUGCCCUGGCGCGCCUAGCAAGCACCACGCAUGUUUGUCAGUCCUUUCCCCCCUUCCCCCCACGCAUGUUUCAAUUUUCUCUAAUGACAAGCUCCUCAAAGUUAAAUCAAUUUGUAGGAAUUCCUAUGCCAACCAAAACCAUUCCUUCAUUUAGAGGUUUCCUGCUGUUCAAUUGGCCCAAAAUUUUCAAAUUGUUUUCCAAUCAACUGUCAAUGAGUUGAUCGGAUCCAUCAGAUAUGGUAUGGUGCCUACCCUAGAGGAUUGCAUUUUCAUGUUAGGCCUACCCUUGGCAUAAAAGGGUUCCUCCCAUAGGACAUGCAUACCGAUUCUGCAAUUUUGCUUACUAACUCUGGGUAUUUUUUUCCUUUUAUUUUUCCCCCUCCCCCUGCAUUCAUAAAAAUGUUUCAAUAAGGUAAAAAUAUUUUUUCUAUAUCUGAUAACAAUUUUUGAUCCGGAAAGUGUGAAAAGUAUUACUUGACUCUUGGGCAGACCCUACGAUGAAAACAUGAAAGAUCUAUUUGGAAGCGUUAGGCUAAAGCCUCUAAGAAAUUUCAUAAUUGUUUUUCAAAGGAAAAUUCUGUAUAGUUGACUUGUUAAUACAUUUUUGGCCCAAAAGAAAAGGAGACAAAAAGUGUAUAUAUGUGGAGCUCUUUAGAAGUUUUUCUCUUCUCAUUUGUAUUAUAAUUGAACGAGAAAUUUUGUUUUAAACUUUUUCAGCAAUAAAAUUUUUUUGGAUAAUUAUUAUAUUCAUGUACAUUUCAUUCUUUUGCUCAUCGAAGAUUUCAUGAUGAAUUUUGGGAAAUAAAGCUAAAUUGAGAUUUCCUCAACCUCCAGCCCGAAUUUUCACGAGUGUAUGCUUUCUAAAAUCCUUACGUACACUCAAUUGGUGAUCCGAGCUAUACAAUAAGAGUGCUCAGAAUUUUUUUUAAAAAAAAAAAAAAAAAGAAGGUGUGCGGUCACUCAAAAGGCCCAAUGAGAUACCUUUUCUCCUUCACUUAACCCCAAAAUAAAAUCAGUCACAUUGAUUGAUCAAUUGCAAAUUGGGGCAAUCUUUGCUCGAGAAAUGCCCACUGUGCCUAAUUUACAUCUAAGUGAAAGCAAAAAUGUGCGUUAUUCUUGUUUGUUUUGAAAAUUUGGAAUGAUACUUUGAGCGUUCGUUUCUCUACCCAUACAGAUUUUAUCAUUUGCUCUCCCAUUUGAGCCUUUGAAAGAAUAAUUUCGUUUCAAAUAAGAGCCUUAAUGAUCACUACCCUACAUUGGAAAAUUUUCAAAUAUCAAAAGGAAAUGGAUUUUCAAUGAGCGAUUCAUUACUUUGGUUGUCAUGAAGCAUAAGAAUGAUACUUUGCCCAUCGUUUCUACAAUCUAAACACUGUUUUACACCUUGCAUCCUCAUUUGAGCUAAAAUCGGUGGUUCUUUUCAAAGCACCUAUGAUCGUACCCCACAUUGGGGAAGGAGAUUGGAGAAUUUUCCCAAAAAGGAGAAAAAGCAAAAUGCUAAAAUUAAAAGAAAGAGAGAACCCCGAAUGGGAAAAUUUAUUCUACCUGGGCUUCAAUUUUGAAAAAAAAAAGAGAAAAGAAAAAAGAGAAAGAGAAAAGAAAGAAAAGUUGUCUGGCGGAUCCUCUAUGUUUCACGGAUAUAGAUGAACGGAAGUCAUCCUCGAUUAAUUGAUUCAGAUGCAUGCAAAAAAUUUUGUAUUAAUGAAAAUUUUCCUUUCAGAGUUAAUGUAAGGAACGGAUUAAAAGUCAGGCCCUCUUCUUUUCCAAUCAAACAUUUUAUCCCUAGUUAUCCCUUUUGAGCCUUCAGAAUAAAUUACUUCGUUUGGCAACCUCUGAGAAUCGCAAACCCCACACUGGGGCAAGUUUCAGUUAAAAAAGAAGAAAGGUCUUAAAAGGUGAAAAGUGAUAAGGCAAAAAAAUCAAAAGACAAAGAAAGAAAAGAGAACCUCAGUUGAACAUGAACUGGGGCAAAUUUUGAAAAGUUCAAAAGAAUGGCAGAACGCCAAAAAGAAAAAAAAAAGAGAAAAAUGAAAGAAGAAGACCCUCAAUUGAGAAUAAACUGGGGUGAGUUCUGAUUUAAUCCUAAAAAGAGGGCUGUUACAAUAAUGCGAUCUCAGAUCAUUUAAACCACUUUUGAAAAUCUGCUUUCAAACCUUAACUUUUCUAAGCACCCUACCAAACCCCAUUACAAAAGCCGAAAGUCCUGACUUCUGUUUCUUUGCAAUAUCUCUGUCAAGAAAAUUUCUAAUUGGCAAGUGAUGCUUGUAUACUGAUGCCAGAAUUUUUUUAAAUGUAUUUCUGAAUUGAUUAGCUGUGAAGUUGACAGUACUCAUCAUCUGAAAAUCCGCCAGGGCACCUUUGAAAAGAAAGGAAAAGCAAAAAGCAAAAAAAAUAAAUGCAAAGGAAAUGGGAAUGAUCUGAUAGUCCCUGUUAAGUGAUGACGAAAGUCACCAAAUCUAAGAUCUUUAAGUUCAAAAUAGAAGCAAUUUUGGGAAAAUGCGAUCUACGGUGCAAUGUCUUUGAAAGUCUUAUGCUUUAAACUAUCGUUUUCAAGCCGCAUUACAAGUACAUAAAGUCCAUCGUUGACUUAUCCCUCAUGACAAUUCGAAGUAAGGAUUAUGCUUCCGAGGAAUCCCUCAAUCAUUCGGGAUCAUAAGGUUAUAACCUGUUGUUACAUAUUUAGCUAUCGUUUCCACCCAUAUGUUACAAGCUUUUAAAGCUUAUAUGUUGACUAAGUUUUCUUAAGAAAUAGGGGUGACAAACUAUUUGUUUUCACUAAGAUGUGAUAUUGAAUGGAUUACAUACCAUUGGCCACAAGAAUAAGACAGAUCCCGACCUCCAAUUUUCCUUAGUCAUCUCAAAAUCAGAAAUAAUACCCACUUGAUUGGUCCUGAAAGAAGAGCUAACAAGAAGUGGUGACCCAUUACCCUAAGCAUCAAUGCUAAAGUGAGGAAGGAAUCACUUGUAAUUUGGUAUUAUUUUGAGAAAUUCAUCAUGAAAUUUUCUGUUAGGAAGCAUAGUUUCUUACUUUGUUCAAAUAAAUGGAGAGUCAUCCAAACAAAUUUUUGCAAUUAAAUGGUCCCACACUGGGGCAAAUUUUCAUUUGAAAGAUUUUGCAAAAGGAGCCUACACUGCGGCAAGUUUUUAUUUGUGAGAUUUCGUAAAAUGGGCCCACACUGGGGCAAUUUUUUUGUAAUACAUUUGAGGUUUUCGUCUAAAAAUCAAAUAAUACAUUUUCAAAUCAAUCACGCUGCUCUUUUCAUGAAAUUUAAGUGCAUGUCAUACUUUGGUAAGCCCCUUGUGCAGGUAUUUAUGGCUGAAAUCGACAAAAAAACAUCUGGUGAUGUGGAAGGCUGAUGCCGAAGAAAGAGAAGAAAGAGGAAGCAGGGCCCGACACUAGGGCAAAUUAUUUUUGAAGAGAUUCUCUCAAACAAAAAUCCAAAAAAAAAAAAUUCAGAAAGGUCAAAAAUCAAAAAUCAAGUUUAAUUUCUUGUUUCUUGACAAAUCAAAUUCAAUUUCUUGUUCACAAUGAACGUUAGGACCGGGUUCCAUCCCGCCAACCUCGUCAGGACCGGGUUUUAUCCCGCUGACCAAUGAACUUUGGGACCGGGUUUCAUCCCGCCAACCUCGUCAGGACCGAGUUUUAUCCCGCUGACCAAUGAACGUUGGGAUCGGGUUCUAUCCCGCCAACCUCGUCAGGACCGGAUUUUAUCCUGCUGACUAAUGAACUUUGGGAUCGGGUUUCAUCCCACCAACCUCGUCAGGACCGGAUUUUAUCCCGCCAACCAAUGAACGUUAGGACCGGGUUCCAUCCCACCAACCUCGUCAGGAUCGGGUUUUAUCCCGCUGACCAAUGAACUUUGGGACCGGGUUCCAUCCCGCCAACCUCGUCAGGACCGGGUUUUAUCCCGCUGACCAAUGAACGUUGGGAUCGGGUUCCAUCCCACCAACCUCGUCAGGAUCGGAUUUUAUCCCGCUGACCAAUGAACGUUAGGACCGGAUUCCAUCCCGCCAACCUCGUCAGGACCGGAUUUUAUCCCGCUGACCAAUGAACAUUAGGACCGGGUUUUAUCCCGCCAACCUCGGCAAGACCGGGUUUUAUCCCGCUGACCGCUUAUAUCACGUUGGCAUCGGGUUUUAUCCCGCCAACCUCGGCAGGACUGGAUUUUAUCCUACUGACCGUUCAUACCUCGUUGGGUUCGGGCCUAAUCCCACCGACCAAUUAUCAAGGUAGGCUCAGGUUUAAUCCCAUUGACCGAUUCUCGAGACAGACUCGGGUUUAAUCCCACUGACCAAUUCAUCACACUGGAGCAAAUCUUUGGAUAAUUUUUCGAGUAAGUCUUAUGCAGUUUUUUCACACAUACCAGCAUUUUAUUUAUCAUUGCCACUAGCCGUUGGGUCAGUCCCACUAAUGAGCUUUUCAUUUACACUGCCACUAGCCGUUGGAUCAGUCCCACUAGUGAACCUUUUAUUUUACACUACCACUAGCCGUUGGGUCAGUCCCACUAGUGAGCCACUAGUGAGCCUUUCAUUUUGCACCGCCACUAGCCAUGGGUCAAUCCUAUUAAUGUGCAUUCCGAUUUUUUAAAUUUUGUUCGGGUCAGUCCCGUGAUUUUAAGUUUUGUUCGGGUUAGUCCCAUGAUUUUAAAUUUUGUUCGGGUCAGCCCCAUGAUUUAAACUUUUUGUUCGGGUCAGUCCCAUGAUUUUAAUUUUGUUCGGGUCAGUCCCAUGAUUUAAAGUUUGUUCGGGUCAGUCCCAUGAUUUUAAUUUUGUUCGGGUCAGUCCCAUGAUUAAAUUUGUUCGGGCCAGUCCCAUGAUUUUAAAUUUUGUUCGGGCCAGUCCCAUGAUUUUAAUUUUGUUCGAGUCAGUCCCAUGAUUUUAAGUUUGUUCGGGUCAGUCCCAUGAUUUUAAGUGAUUUUAAGUUUUGUUCGGGUCAGUCCCAUGAUUUUUAGUUUUUUUCGGGUCAGUCCCAUGAUUUAAACUUUUUGUUCGGGUCAGUCCCAUGAUUUUAAUUUUGUUCGGGUUAGUCCCAUGAUUUUAAAUUUUCGGUUCGGGUCAGUCCCGAUUUUAAUUUUCUGUUUGGGUCAGUCUCGAUUUUAAAUUUCUCGUUUGGGUCAGUCCCAUUUUAAAAUUUUUUUGUCAAAGGAGUCAGUCCCCAUUUUUAUAGCAUCAGUCGCUUGAGUCGUUUGCAGCCGAAUAACGCAGGUAAGUAUUUGGUGUCUACGUCUUUGUCUCAAGUUUCUUCGAAACUCAGACAAAGAGGGGCAAACUAUAGACACCAAAAUUUUGAUUUUUUAAUUUUAUUGGUUUAAUUAAUUUAAUUUUUUGCUUUAUUUGUUUCAAUUCUAGGGUUUUUAUUUUAUUUUAUUUUUAUUUUAUUAUCCAUUUUGCUCAUUAGUCUUUUAACUUUUAUUUUAAAGUUUUUAGUAUUAAACUUUAUCGAAAAAAGAAAAAAGAGAAAUAAGAAAAUAUGCAAAAUAUAAUAAGGGAAAUGUGUAAAAUAGGUGAAAAUUUGCAUGCUAGACAAGUGGAGAAUAUACAAUAGGAUAAGUGUCCCUUUUAUAUUGGGACAUGUGAGACCCCGAAAAAUUUCUUAUUUUUCAGGCAUUUAUUUUGGGCUUUUGGGCCUAAUUUUUAGGGUUUUCUUUUGUCUGUGGGUUUUCUGGGGAAUUUUAUGAGAAAAUAUGAAUUUGGCAUCAUUUUCUGGGAUUAGGUCAAUUUCUGUGCUAUUAAGGGUGUACAGUGGUUGCGGGACCCACUAAGACGAUCGGUACGGUAAAAUGUAGCUUUUGUAAAAUUUUAUAUACAGAGUGUUUAUUAUCUUGGGUUAUGAGUUAAUUAUAGGUUAGUUGGUCUAAUUAAGUAAUGUAAGACAAUAGGAAGGGAUAAGCUUGAAAGGCCACAUGUCACAUUUUCAUUGGAGGUUGAAUUUUGACUUGUCUUACACCUUUACUAAAAUAAAUUUUGACCAAAAUUCUUCAUCAUUUCCAUCAUCUUGGCCGGCCAACUAGAGAGAAAAAAAGAAAGAAAGCUCUUCAACUCUUGCUUCAUUUUCUUGCCCAAAUCUUGGAAUUUAACCAUUAAUCUUCCAAAUCUCUCCAUAAAACCUUCUUGCUAGGAGUGUUUGAAGUGUUUGGUGGUUUUUGUUUGAAAGGAAAAGCUCUCAUCUACCUUGUAUCAAGAAAUUGUAAGGUGAGUAAAUAUGGAAUUGUUUCUUUGUUGGAUGUAGGAUGAAAUUGAUAAGUGUUAGUGGUUAAAGAUGUAAUUUUGUGGGUUAUUUCAUGACUUAUAGAUGAGUUGUGAUAAUUUUCUAUUUAUUGGGGAAUUUUCUGUUUUAUAUGGUUUCUCAUGAUUAACUAGGAUGUGAUGGUAUUGUAUUGAAUGAUUUAGAGCCUAUUUGUGGUAAUGGUAGUUAAUUGUGGAAAAUUUCAGCAUUUGUGAGAAAAUUUCGAUUGUAGGGUUUGAUGAAAUUGGGGCUUUUCCAUGUAUGGUUUUCAUGUUAGCAAUUGAUGUGUAUAUGAUUGUAUUGUGAUUCAAAUGGGGUGAAUGGACUAGUUUAAGAACCAUAAGUGUAAUGGUAUAAGUUGGGUGUUGUUCACUAGGUUGGAAAUGUGAAGAAAUUAAGGGGAAAUGCCGCCCAAUUGGUUGGAAAUAUGGGUGGUCUUGAAUUGAGAAGGAUUUGAAUAGAAAUGGAAGAAUUGGGGAGUUUGUUCACAUUCCACACUUUCGUUGCUCCAUUUUUAUUUUGAGUAACUUGUGUUAGUAGGAUAAACUUAUACGUUGACUCGUGUUUGAGUCUCAAAUAUGUUUUCUUGCUUGUUUUAGGUCGUACCGGUGGACCGGGACCUACUCCUGACUCGAACGUGUGAUUUACUUGAUUACUUGGUGAGUGUAUCAUUAAAUGGUUGAAUGCACUUGAUAUGUGACUUGUAUGGCUUGAAUAGGUCAAGGGUGUACUUUAUCGCUUUUGACCACUUACUGGCAUUAUUGUUACUGUUAGACUGUGAAAUUUCAUGUAUAUAUGUGGUUUGAUAUUUGCUAGGGCCAUGCCCUAUUAUUACUGUGAAAACUGAGCUCUUUCCCUUAGGCCGUUAUUCGAGUCGAGCCGGCUAGGGCUUGGGCGAAUCGUUAACGUGCCUUUGGGUCACUGAUAGUCGAGUGGAGUAUUCACUCCUCGACCUUAUGGUAUACUCGAGUAUUACCUUUUGUAACUGUGAGGUGUGCGGGCCCGGUAAGGGUGUGAUUGGUGGAAGGAAAUGGUGUAAAGAGGUGCCUACGGUUCUUGGUUUUCUCCAAUGGUUGACGGAGUGUCAACGGAUAUAAUCAAGUAUGGAAAUCGGAAAAUGGCCCUUGAGGGCCGACUGUAUCCUUUUAUAGAUGAUUGAUUGAAUGAAGACACUUGCGCAUAUGUAUUUGUUAGCAUGCUUCAUUAUUUGUGAAUUUGGUACCUCACGAGCGUAAGCUCACCCCCGUCGUUUUGUUUUCCUUACAGGGAUACUGUGGGACCCAAGUUUUGAGAAAUAUGGGUUGAGCUAGUUAUGUAACUAGUUUUGAAUAGCUCCUCGUACACUCGAAAACUUUGAUGUAUUUGAAUUCAAGUACUUUUGAAGUGUAUAAUUGAACCUUUCUUAUGUAUAUAUGGCAUGUAUAUAUGGCUUUAUCAAGUCUUGGAUAAACUGCAUUAUGUAUUUGAUGGGUUUAUGUGAGUAUCGGCUGCGAACGAAGGAAGAAAGGAUUUUGGCAAAAACACUGCCCAGAAUCCGGCCAAGAAUCCGGCCAGUUUCUGGCCGGAUACAAGGCUGGAUAUGCAGGGGAGAAAGAAAAAAAAAUUUGGUUUUUGGCUACUGGCCACAAUCCGGCCAGAGCAAUCCGGCCAACUUCCGGCCGGAUUAUCGGCCGGAUUGACAGGGGAAUUUCGACCCCUUUUGGGUUGGCCACUGCCUCAUAUCCGGCCAAGAAUCCGGCCGGAUAUCCGGCCAGAUUCUGGCCGGAUAGUGACGUGGCCGGUUACUGUUCAUCAGCGGCAAAUUUUCGUUUUUCGUCUUCUUGUCCGAUUGAAGUGCUCGAGCGCUAUACGUUCUUGUGUAGUGAUAUUAUGGUUUUAAGAAUACCUUAUUGGGAUAAAUCAUUCAUUUUGUCAAGUUUCCCUUUUUAUUAUUCAAAUGCGAUUUGAUUGCUUGCGACCCGUAGUCCCGGCGAGAGCUGGGCAGGCGGUUCGUCAACCCCUCUGGUUCGCCUUAGGGGGGGAUGGGUCGUCACAAGUGGUAUCAGAGCCUAGGUUUAGAUUAACCUGGGCAUGUUAGAAAUUUAUGGACUUGGGACUUGUAUUUGAUUGUUUUCCUAAGGGUGUUUGAGUUUAAUUACGCUUUCGUGUAGGAUGGACGCGCAUAGUGAAUCUAGUGAGACACCGACCGUGGAGCAGGGCCGUGGAGUACUUCCGUUGAUUAAGUAUCAGAUUCGGCCGAGAGGAUCAACUGUACGCUGGAGUCCGGCUAGUCGCCUCCGGCGUUGUGAGUGCCGCCAUAGGUUUGCCUGCCCCAAUACCCUCGUGUUGGCUGUGGACAAAGAAAGGAAGGAGUUAGCCAAGGAUUAUGCAAGGCUUGAAGCCGAAACAAACCAAUUGAGAGAGGCUAACAAGAGGCAAGCUGAGCGGAUUAAGGAGUUGGAGUAUGACCUGGUUGAAGGUCAAGAUAGGGUGGACGACUUGUGUACGCAACUUGGGGAGAUGCGCGAAUGUAUGGUCAAGCGGGCGAGGCAACUGAAGGAGAGGGCCGGAUCAAUGCUAAACCUAUGUGAUGACCUAUUAGGGGACGAGGGUGACGAGGGCUCUAGUGUAGGAGGCGGGGUUGGAAGUGAACCCGCCCAAGCGAGUAGGUCCUCUAGUCCCACGGUAGGCUAGGGCUUGGCUUUUAUGCUAUUUUGGGAAUUUUUGACUCUUGUAUAUAUAAGGGAUACGGAAUGGUAGGCCGGGAAGGACCCUUAGCUAGUCGCGUUGUAUAUUGGACUAGUUUUGUAUAUAUUACUUUUGUAUUGCCAUUCCGUAAGAGGCUUUCCCUGUUUGUACUUGACUGACUAUUUGGUAUAAAUGUUUGAUCUUGUUGUGAAUGCUAUGAAUAUGUGUUAUGUGCCUAAGUGUUUUAUGAAGUCAUUGUUGGGCUGAGUGUUCAUGUUUAUUGUUAUAUACAGGGGGUGUACACUUUUAUAUUAAUGCUAUAUUUAUGUGCAUAUUUUGACCCUAGAUUGACCUAGGACGAUGAAAGGUACGCGUGGUGGCCGAGGUAGAGGACGUGGGGGUAGACAGCCCACGACUGAACAGGGUACGAGAACUGAAUUGCCCGAACCAAUUCCUGAACCCCAAAUCGAUCCUAAUGUGCAAGUAGCCGCUGCUAUCCAGCGGAUGACUGAUCUCCUGGCCCAGGUGGUGCAGCAACAGGGCCCCAACCCUAAUCCACCCGUCGGCAACCCUGAAAACCCUGGAAAUCAUGUCGAGAGCGAAGAUCGAGCUCUCGAACGAUUCCAAAAAUUUUCUCCACCUAAAUUUCUUGGAGGACCCGAUCCGGACGUGGCGGAACAAUGGUUGGAGAAGAUGAUAGACAUUUUUGCCGCCCUACGUUACUCGGAGGAGAGGCAAAUUACUUUUGUGGUUUUUCAACUCGAAGGGGCCGCUCACUCUUGGUGGAGCAUUAUUCGGACAAAAUGGGAGCGAGAGCAGACACCGAGGACAUGGACGAAUUUUGUACGGGAAUUCAAUGCCAAGUACUUUCCGCCAUUGGUUCAGGAGAAAAAGGAGGACGAAUUUAUUCGUCUACGCCAAGGCACGCAAUCGGUGGCUGAAUAUGAGAGCCAAUUCACACGCUUGUCCAAGUUUGCCCCUGAGCUCAUUUUGACGGAGCAAAGGAGGGCGAGACGUUUCCUUCAGGGGCUUAAUGUGGAAAUCCAAAAGGAUUUGGCCGUAGCCCAAAUCACCACUUUCAGUGAUGCUGUUGAGAAGGCAUUACGAUCCGAGAACGCAAGGCUUCAGGUGAGGAAUUUCCAGAAUAGGAAGGGUGGAGCUGCUGGGAGUAGCUCAACUCAAGGGGAUAAGAGUACCCCUCCUAAAUUUGGAAGGGGAGUUGGAGGGGGACGGUUUGCGAGUCCGGCCAGAGGGGCUCCCUCUCGAGGAAGCCAACCCGGACGAGGCCAGCAGAGGAGUGCCUCACAAGGGAGUUCCGCUACUGUUACGCGGGGGCCGUGCGGCUUUAGUGGGAAACCAAACCACACGGAGGACGACUGCUGGAGGAAACAGAAUAAGUGCUUACGCUGCGGGAGUGCAGAGCACCGGCUCGCCAGUUGACCAGUUCAAGCCCGAGACGUGAAAGGAACUACACCGACAUCCAAGGCUACCUCAAGUCAAUCACGAGUAGAGACUGUCAAGCCGAAGGUGCCCGCACGUGUGUACUCCAUUGAACAACGGCCAGUUCCUGACUCAGCCGAGGUAGUGGAAGGUACGAUUCCUGUCUUCCACCGCCUAGCUAGAAUUUUGAUAGACCCUGGAGCCACCCAUUCCUUUGUUAACCCCGAGUUUAUGUGUGGAAUUGAUAUAAACCCUGUCACUCUUCCUUAUGAGCUGGAAGUUAGUACUGCUACGGGGGACCAAUGCUUGAUUUCUAGCAAAAUGUAUACAAAUUGUGAGAUCUGGGUUGGUGAGCGGAAGUUAUUGGGGAAUUUGAUAAGUUUAGCCAUAAAGGGAUACGACGUGAUGUUAGGCAUGGAUUGGUUGGCUCGAUACGAUGCCCAACUGGAUUGUAAGAGGAAAAUAGUUGAAUUUCGUAUUCCUGGGGAGGCAACUUUGAUGUUAGAUGUGAGGGGUAGUCUAGCCUCAUCUGCUAUGAUAUCGGGUAUUCGAGCUAGGAAAUUAUUGAGUAGAGGGGCGCAAGGGUUCCUAGCUUUUCUUAUAAACACUCCUGCCGACAAACUGAAAAUAGAAGAUGUUCCAGUAGUGAGUGAAUACCCUGAUGUCUUUCCUGACGAGUUAGUAAAUCUGCCUCCAGAAAGAGAAAUUGAAUUUGAAGUUAAUCUUCUUCCAGGGACUUCCCCUAUUUCCAAAACUCCUUACCAAAUGGCACCUGCGGAGCUCAAAGAGUUGAAAUUUCAGUUACAAGACCUUCUAGAGCGGGGUUUCAUUCACGAGAGCGGAUCACCUUGGGGGGCACCUGUUCUCUUUGUUAAGAAGAAGGACGGAACCUUGAGAUUAUGUAUCGACUACCGAGGGUUGAACAAUGUGACCAUUAAGAAUAAGUAUCCGCUACCCCACAUCGAUGAGUUGUUUGAUCAAUUACAUGGUGCGGUGGUCUUCUCAAAGUUAGAUCUUCGACAGGGGGUAUUACCAACUGUUAAUUAGAAAGGAAGAUGUGCCUAAAACCGCCUUCAAUUCUCGGUAUGGGCACUACGAAUUUGUCGUGAUGCCUUUUGGACUGACCAAUGCCCCUGCUGCUUUCAUGGACCUCAUGCAUAGAAUUUUCAAACCUUAUCUCGACCGAUUUGUCGUUGUUUUUAUUGAUGACAUAUUGGUUUAUUCAAAAACCCGUGAGGAGCAUGAACAACAUUUGAAAGAGGUCAUACAAACCCUGAGGGAGCACCAGUUGUAUGCUAAGUUUAGCAAAUGUGAGUUUUGGCUAGAAAGGGUUUCUUUUCUGGGGCAUGUGAUUUCAAAGAAAGGGAUUGCUGUGGAUCCGGCCAAGGUAGAGGCGGUAACUGAGUGGAAGAGACCCGAUAACCCUACUGAGAUCCGGAGUUUUCUAGGGUUGGCAGGUUAUUACCGGCGAUUUAUCAAAGAUUUUUCGAAACUUGCCAGUCCCUUAACCGAUCUAACAAAAAAUGGUGGACGAUUUCUGUGGAGUGAUAAGUGUGAAACCAGCUUUCAAGAGCUGAAGCAGAGAUUGACUAUGGCCCCUAUUCUAGUUUUACCUAACGGUCCGGAUGGUUUUACUGUUUACACUGACGCCUCCAAAGAAGGUUUGGGGUGCGUAUUGAUGCAACACCAAAAUGUGAUAGCUUACGCUUCCAGGAAAUUGAAAACUCAUGAGCAAAACUAUCCCAUUCAUGACCUAGAACUGGCCGCAGUUGUCUUCGCUCUGAAAAAGUGGAGACACUAUCUGUACGGAGUGACUUUUGAAGUUUAUUCUGACCAUAAGAGCCUCAGAUACCUCUUUUCCCAGAAGGAGUUGAACAUGAGACAACGCCGUUGGAUGGAAUUCUUGGAGGAUUACGAUUAAACUAUUAACUACCAUCCUGGUAAGGCUAAUGUGGUAGCCGAUGCCUUAAGUCGAAAGGCUCAAACUUCUGGAUUGAUGGUGAAGGAGUGGGAAUUAUUGGGAGCUGUUGGAGAAUGGAAUCCAAAGCUAGAGCAUAAUAGAAUAAUCUUUGGGAAUAUCCGAGUGACGUCCGUAUUUUUAGAAAAGAUCAAGGAAGCUCAAACUAAAGAUCCGACAGUUCAAAUGUGGGUAGAAAAGGUGAAGAAAAGAGAAAUUUCCGAUUUUAAUUUGAGCUCUGAAGGGAUUUUAAGAUUUCGAAAUCGAAUAGUGGUACCCAAUGAUGAAACUUUGAGAAGGGAAAUUUUGGAGGAAGCUCAUCGAUCUAAGUAUACAAUCCAUCCAAGAAGUAACAAGAUGUAUCAUGACUUGCGACGAUUGUACUGGUGGGACCGGAUGAAGAGAGAGAUAGCUCAGUACGUACAAACCUGUUUAGUAUGCCAGCAAGUUAAGGCUGAGCACCAGAACCCUUCGGGACUACUACAGCCUUUGGAGAUUCCCGAAUGGAAAUGGGAACAUAUCACCAUGGACUUCGUUUCUGGACUACCUAGAACUCAAAAAGGACAUGAUGCCGUUUGGGUGAUCGUUGAUCGAUUGACCAAGUCGGCUCAUUUCCUACCUGUGAAUAUGAAGUAUUCCAUGGAUAAGUUAGCUCAGGUAUAUUUGGAGGAGAUUGUGAGACUGCAUGGAGUGCCUGUGAGCAUCGUUUCCGAUCGAGACCCUCGUUUUGUGUCCAAAUUUUGGCAAAAGUUUCAGGAGACCUUGGGGACGAAGCUGAACUUAAGUACUACCUAUCAUCCUCAGACGGAUGGGCAGUCGGAGCGAACGAUUCAGACCCUCGAACAUAUGUUACGAACGAGUAUUCUAGAUUUCGGGGGUAAUUGGGGACAACAUAUGACAUUAGUAGAGUUCGCCUACAAUAACAGCUACCACUCAUCAAUCCAAAUGGCACCGUACGAAACCCUUUAUGGACGAAAGUGCCGUUCACCGAUAUACUGGGAUGAAGUGGGAGAGAAGAAGAUCCUAGACCCUACUAUCAUUCCUUGGAUGGAGGAUGCUCAAGAAAAGAUCAAGUUAAUCCGUCAAAGACUCCAGACAGCCCAAAGUCGCCAGAAGAGCUACGCCGAUAACCGAAGGAAAGACUUGGAAUUUGAAGUGGGAGACCAUGUAUUCCUUAAGAUUACACCAUUGCGGAGCAUCACUGCUGGCAGAGGAAAGAAACUCCAACCUAGAUUCAUAGGACCGUUUCCGAUCCUUCAACGGGUUGGAAAAGUAGCAUACCGGCUUGAAUUGCCGCCGAGCUUGUCACGGAUUCACGAUGUAUUUCAUGUAUCGAUGCUCAAAAAGUAUUACCCUGAUCCAACCCACAUUGUCCAGCCGGAAGAGAUUGAAAUUGAUGAGGCCCUUACUUACGAAGAAAAACCUGUACAAGUGCUUGAUAGGAAAAUUAAGGAGUUGAGGAAUAAGCAAAUUCCACUGGUGAAAGUGCUGUGGAAGAACCACGGAGUCGAGGAGGCAACCUGGGAGAUGGAGAAUGAGAUGAAAACCAAAUAUCCCGAACUGUUUAGUGAUUCAGGUGAGAAAUUUCGAGGACGAAAUUCUUUAAGGGGGAGAGAGUGUGAGACCGCGAAAAAUUUCUUAUUUUUCAGGCAUUUAUUUUGGGCUUUUGGGCCUAAUUUUUAGGGUUUUCUUUUGUCUGUGGGUUUUCUGGGAAAUUUUAUGAGAAAAUAUGAAUUUGGCAUCAUUUUCUGGGAUUAGGUCAAUUUCUGUGCUAUUAAGGGUGUACAGUGGUUGCGGGACCCACUAAGACGAUCGGUACUGUAAAAUGUAGCUUUUGGAAAAUUUUAUAUACAGAGUGUUUAUUAUCUUGGGUUAUGAGUUAAUUAGAGGUUAGUUGGUCUAAUUAAGUAAUGUAAGACAAUAGGAAGGGAUAAGCUUGAAAGGCCACAUGUCACAUUUUCAUUGGAGGUUGAAUUUUGACUUGUCUUACACCUUUACUAAAAUAAAUUUUGACCAAAAUUCUUCAUCAUUUCCAUCAUCUUGGCCGGCCAACUAGAGAGAAAAAAAGAAAGAAAGCUCUUCAACUAUUGCUUCAUUUUCUUGCCCAAAUCUUGGAAUUUAACCAUUAAUCUUCCAAAUCUCUCCAUAAAACCUUCUUGCUAAGAGUGCUUGAAGUGUUUGGUGGUUUUUGUUUGAAAGGAAAAGCUCUCAUCUACCUUGUAUCAAGAAAUUGUAAGGUGAGUAAAUAUGGAAUUGUUUCUUUGUUGGAUGUAGGAUGAAAUUGAUAAGUGUUAGUGGUUAAAGAUGCAAUUUUGUGGGUUAUUUCAUGACUUAUAGAUGAGUUGUGAUAAUUUUCUAUUUAUUGGGGAAUUUUCUGUUUUAUAUGGUUUCUCAUGAUUAACUAGGAUGUGAUGGUAUUGUAUUGAAUGAUUUAGAGCCUAUUUGUGGUAAUGGUAGUUAAUUGUGGAAAAUUUCAGCAUUUGUGAGAAAAUUUCGAUUGUAGGGUUUGAUGAAAUUGGGGCUUUUCCAUGUAUGGUUUUCAUGUUAGCAAUUGAUGUGUAUAUGAUUGUAUUGUGAUUCAAAUGGGGUGAAUGGACUAGUUUAAGAACCAUAAGUGUAAUGGUAUAAGUUGGGUGUUGUUCACUAGGUUGGAAAUGUGAAGAAAUUAAGGGGAAAUGCCGCCCAAUUGGUUGGAAAUAUGGGUGGUCUUGAAUUGAGAAGGAUUUGAAUAGAAAUGGAAGAAUUGGGGAGUUUGUUCACAUUCCACACUUUCGUUGCUCCAUUUUUAUUUUGAGUAACUUGUGUUAGUAGGAUAAACUUAUACGUUGACUCGUGUUUGAGUCUCAAAUAUGUUUUCUUGCUUGUUUUAGGUCGUACCGGUGGACCGGGACCUACUCCUGACUCGAACGUGUGAUUUACUUGAUUACUUGGUGAGUGUAUCAUUAAAUGGUUGAAUGCACUUGAUAUGUGACUUGUAUGGCUUGAAUAGGUCAAGGGUGUACUUUAUCGCUUUUGACCACUUACUGGCAUUAUUGUUACUGUUAGACUGUGAAAUUUCAUGUAUAUAUGUGGUUUGAUAUUUGCUAGGGCCAUGCCCUAUUAUUACUGUGAAAACUGAGCUCUUUCCCUUAGGCCGUUAUUCGAGUCGAGCCGGCUAGGGCUUGGGCGAAUCGUUAACGUGCCUUUGGGUCACUGAUAGUCGAGUGGAGUAUUCACUCCUCGACCUUAUGGUAUACUCGAGUAUUACCUUUUGUAACUGUGAGGUGUGCGGGCCCGGUAAGGGUGUGAUUGGUGGAAGGAAAUGGUGUAAAGAGGUGCCUACGGUUCUUGGUUUUCUCCAAUGGUUGACGGAGUGUCAACGGAUAUAAUCAAGUAUGGAAAUCGGAAAAUGGCCCUUGAGGGCCGACUGUAUCCUUUUAUAGAUGAUUGAUUGAAUGAAGACACUUGCGCAUAUGUAUUUGUUAGCAUGCUUCAUUAUUUGUGAAUUUGGUACCUCACGAGCGUAAGCUCACCCCCGUCGUUUUGUUUUCCUUACAGGGAUACUGUGGGACCCAAGUUUUGAGAAAUAUGGGUUGAGCUAGUUAUGUAACUAGUUUUGAAUAGCUCCUCGUACACUCGAAAACUUUGAUGUAUUUGAAUUCAAGUACUUUUGAAGUGUAUAAUUGAACCUUUCUUAUGUAUAUAUGGCUUUAUCAAGUCUUGGAUAAACUGCAUUAUGUAUUUGAUGGGUUUAUGUGAGUAUCGGCUGCGAACGAAGGAAGAAAGGAUUUUGGCAAAAACACUGCCCAGAAUCCGGCCAAGAAUCCGGCCAGUUUCUGGCCGGAUACAAGGCUGGAUAUGCAGGGGAGAAAGAAAAAAAAAUUUGGUUUUUGGCUACUGGCCACAAUCCGGCCAGAGCAAUCCGGCCAACUUCCGGCCGGAUUAUCGGCCGGAUUGACAGGGGAAUUUCGACCCCUUUUGGGUUGGCCACUGCCUCAUAUCCGGCCAAGAAUCCGGCCGGAUAUCCAGCCAGAUUCUGGCCGGAUAGUGACGUGGCCGGUUACUGUUCAUCAGCGGCAAAUUUUCGUUUUUCGUCUUCUUGUCCGAUUGAAGUGCUCGAGCGCUAUACGUUCUUGUGUAGUGAUAUUAUGGUUUUAAGAAUACCUUAUUGGGAUAAAUCACUCAUUUUGUCAAGUUUCCCUUUUUAUUAUUCAAAUGCGAUUUGAUUGCUUGCGACCCGUAGUCCCGGCGAGAGCUGGCUAGGCGGUCCGUCAACCCCUCUGGUUCGCCUUAGGGGGGGAUGGGUCGUCACAAGUGGUAUCAGAGCCUAGGUUUAGAUUAACCUGGGCAUGUUAGAAAUUUCUGGACUUGGGACUUGUAUUUGAUUGUUUUCCUAAGGGUGUUUGAGUUUAAUUAUGCUUUCGUGUAGGAUGGACGCGCAUAGUGAAUCUAGUGAGACACCGACCGUGGAGCAGGGCCGUGGAGUACUUCCGUUGAUUAAGUACCAGAUUCGGCCGAGAGGGUCAACUGUACGCUGGAGUCCGGCUAGUCGCCUCCGGCGUUGUGAGUGCCGCCAUAGGUUUGCCUGCCCCAAUACCCUCGUGUUGGCUGUGGACAAAGAAAGGAAGGAGUUAGCCAAGGAUUAUGCAAGGCUUGAAGCCGAAACAAACCAAUUGAGAGAGGCUAACAAGAGGCAAGUUGAGCGGAUUAAGGAGUUGGAGUAUGACCUGGUUGAAGGUCAAGAUAGGGUGGACGACUUGUGUACGCAACUUGGGGAGAUGCCCGAAUGUAUGGUCAAGCGGGCGAGGCAACUGAAGGAGAGGGCCGGAUCAAUGCUAAACCUAUGUGAUGACCUAUUAGGGGACGAGGGUGACGAGGGCUCUAGUGUAGGAGGCGGGGUUGGAAGUGAACCCGCCCAAGCGAGUAGGUCCUCUAGUCCCACGGUAGGCUAGGGCUUGGCUUUUAUGCUAUUUUGGGAAUUUUUGACUCUUGUAUAUAUAAGGGAUACGGAAUGGUAGGCCGGGAAGGACCCUUAGCUAGUCGCGUUGUAUAUUGGACUAGUUUUGUAUAUAUUACUUUUGUAUUGCCAUUCCGUAAGAGGCUUUCCCUGUUUGUACUUGACUGACUAUUUGGUAUAAAUGUUUGAUCUUGUUGUGAAUGCUAUGAAUAUGUGUUAUGUGCCUAAGUGUUUUAUGAAGUCAUUGUUGGGCUGAGUGUUCAUGUUUAUUGUUAUAUACAGGGGGUGUACACUUUUAUAUUAAUGCUAUAUUUAUGUGCAUAUUUUGACCCUAGAUUGACCUAGGACGAUGAAAGGUACGCGUGGUGGCCGAGGUAGAGGACGUGGGGGUAGACAGUCCACGACUGAACAGGGUACGAGAACUGAAGUGCCCGAACCAAUUCCUGAACCCCAAAUCGAUCCUAAUGUGCAAGUAGCCGCUGCUAUCCAGCGGAUGACUGAUCUCCUGGCCCAGGUGGUGCAGCAACAGGGCCCCAACCCUAAUCCACCCGUCGGCAACCCUGAAAACCCUGGAAAUCAUGUCGAGAGCGAAGAUCGAGCUCUCGAACGAUUCCAAAAAUUUUCUCCACCUAAAUUUCUUGGAGGACUCGAUCCGGACGUGGCGGAACAAUGGUUGGAGAAGAUGAUAGACAUUUUUGCCGCCCUACGUUACUCGGAGGAGAGGCAAAUUACUUUUGUGGUUUUUCAACUCGAAGGGGCCGGUCGCUCUUGGUGGAGCAUUAUUCGGACAAAAUGGGAGCGAGAGCAGACACCGAGGACAUGGACGAAUUUUGUACGGGAAUUCAAUGGCAAGAGUAUCGGCUGUGAACGAAGGAAGAAAGGAUUUUGGCAAAAACACUGCCCAGAAUCCGGCCAAGAAUCCGGCCAGUUUCUGGCCGGAUACAAGGCCGGAUAUGCAGGGGAGAAAGAAAAAAAAAUUUGGUUUUUGGCUACUGGCCACAAUCCGGCCAGAGCAAUCCGGCCAACUUCCGGCUGGAUUAUCGGCCGGAUUGACAGGGGAAUUUCGACCCCUUUUGGGUUGGCCACUGCCUCAUAUCCGGCCAGAUUCUAGCCGGAUAGUGACGUGGCCGGUUACUGUUCAUCCGCGGCAAAUUUUCGUUAUUCGUCUUCUUGUCCGAUUGAAGUGCUCGAGCGCUAUACGUUCUUGUGUAGUGAUAUUAUGGUUAUAAGAAUACCUUAUUGGGAUAAAUCAUUCAUUUUGUCAAGUUUCCCUUUUUAUUAUUCAAAUGCGAUUUGAUUGCUUGCGACCCGUAGUCCCGGCGAGAGCUGGGCAGGCAGUCCGUCAACCCCUCUGGUUCGCCUUAGGGGGGAUGGGUCGUCACAGGACAACACAUCACUUAGGGAGGGGGAGAUUGAGACACUUGUAGGUUGUUGAUUUGAAAAAGAAAAGGAGGAAAAAAAGGCAAGAAAAAACUGGAAGUGGUGGCUAGGGUUUAAAGGGGCUAGGAGGGGUGAGUUACAAAAGAGGAAGGAAACCGUAGGAGGGGGCGGAUGAAAAGAAAGAAAGAGAACAAAAAAGGGGCGAAAAGAAAAAAAGACAGAAAAAGAAGAGAAACAGGCGGCGGACGGAGAGCCAAAAGGAGAGGAGACCGAGAGAGUUGAGGGCAAAAACAGAGCAAAGGAGAAGGGCUUGAUCGGAGGAAAAAUGGAAGAAAAGAACAAGAAAAAGGGAGACAAGAGUGGCAGCUGAAUCGGGAGGAGAUUGAGAAAAACACAGCAAAAGGAAAAGAGGAAAAGGAAGAAACCAGAGAGGGAAUGGCCGGCUUGGAGAGAAGAGGAGGGGAGGCUUUUGACGGCUGGUUUAGGGAGGAAAUUAAGAAAAAGAAACCACCAAAGACUGGAGGGGUCUCCGCGUUACCGUUGAGCUCACCGUUUAGAACCGUCAGGCCAAGGCGGCGGUAGUCCCCUCUGUUGCCGCUCUGGUCAUCAAGGCCCUGAAGGAGCCCAAGACGACAGCGACGAUGAAGAACCUGAUAGAAAAUCCAAAGCAGUUACAGAUGAGCUGUGGGCAAGAAACGGAGGAACCAAAGCAGAGGUGCAAAGCUACGAUAAAAAUCGAGCAAGGAAGAUACGUCCGUAGAGUUGCCGGAACCACCAGUCCGCAUCCGCCGCUGCUCGCUCCCUCCGUCGACCACCACCAGCGCCGCCACCAUCCAGAUUCGAUUCAACCUCAGAAACUGAGAGUUCAGCUCUUUUCAAGUUUUUGAAGCAUGUCUGUGAUGCCCCGAGGCAGAAGAAAAGGGAAAAAUUUCUGGUGAAUAGUGUUUUGUGGAGAAUCCGGCCAGAAGUCGUGCAAAUUCCUUAUAUUUUUCUUAAAAUUCCCUUUUCUUUGACAAAUACCACUUUAUAAUGGCCCUACUACUCAAUCACCCCACAAUAAGUGCCAAUGAAUCUAGAAAAUAGGGUUUCACUCUUCGGUUUCAAGAUUGGAGCAAAUUAGGGUUUUCGUGAUUUUUCGCCGGAUGAAUUUUCGGUACGGAGCAAUGAUCAAAUUUGGUGAUUAAAAGUGACUCUUAAGUGAGAAAUAAUAUGUGAUUAGGAGCAAUGAGAUAAGGUUGGUGAACAGGAAGUAAAAACCCUAGUACGUGUGUUUUUAAGAAAAACGGCGCGAACCGGCGGGUCCCGCGUACUACCGAUUGAACGCACCACUUGACCACCACUUUCUUACCAUACAAGUUUAUUGAUAUUUGAGCAAAAUAUCUCCUAAUUUAAAGCUAAACUUGACCGAAAUUUGUGGCUCAAAUGCAAGGAAGGAAAGAGAAAAUUUUUGUGGUUGAGGUUAAGCCAAGUGUUGGCCAAACUUGUGGUUAGAAUUAAUUCUUAUCUUUCUACCUUCUUAUAAGACAAACUUAGCUUAAUCUCCUUCAUUAUUUUCUGCAUCUUGGCUGAGUAAGGAGAGAGAGAAAGGGAGAGCAAGAAUUGCACCAUUUUCUUCUUGAUUUACACCAACCAAGUGCUAAAAUCGAAUUCUAAACCGAUUGAUCGUAAGUUUGGAAGCUUGGGAAGCUAAGAGAACCAAAUAUUUCAAGAAAUAGUGGAGGAUCACUCUUGUAAACCUUCUUUUUGAGGUAUAAAAUCUGAUCUAUGGCUUUGAUCCUUUUAUUCUUGUUUAAGAUGUUAAAUAGUUCAUGUUUUGGGUUUGAUUACAAGUUAUGCAAGUUGUUGUGGUGAUUUUGGAUGAAAUAUGUAAGUUAGGGCUUGACUAAGUGCUGCCCAAACUUGUUAUAUAGUUAAUAUAUGUUGUAUAUAAGGUUAUAUAAGGGGCUUUGGUAGUGUUAGAAGUAAGAAAUCAAGGAAGGUUGGAUUGAAAUCAACAAAUUCCAGAUUUCUGGAAAAUUUCCCCUUUUUCUGUCCGGUUUUGUAGCCUCAUGUUAGAGGCCGAUUUGGCCUUAGGUCAAAACAUAAAAUUUGUAUAUAAUGGUAUUUUAUAGUUGCCUACAAAAUUUCAGCUCAGUCGGAGCAUUGUAGCUUGUGAAAAGAUGAAAAUACCCUUGCUCAUUUAGGUUGCAUUUCAGAGUUCCGCGUGGACAGUUUAGUCUAUUUGAUUGCAUUUAUUCAUUAUAAUCCGUUUGGAUUUAGCGUUUCACCAAAACAUUAAAGUUUCAGUGGCCUGUCUUAGCUUUGUAACGCCAUCAAGAACGCCUUAAACGGACCUUGGUAGACUGAGAUAUGGUCACCUGAAUGCAGUGCGGUCGAUUAGCCGAAUAGUUGAAACCAGGUUAUGUGAGUUGGGAAUUUGAUCAGGUUACAUUGAACAUUUGACUAAGUGACCUUCAUGAAAGUUGUAGGCCUUUGUCUAAGCUUCGAAAUGGUAUAAGCUGUGUAUCAAUCCGAUAAGCGUAGCCUCGGAUAUGUUAUUUGCGUAAAGCCCGUCAAAUCUGUCUUUUGUAAUUGCAUUUCCGCACUUGAAAUUAGCUUAAUCUUUGUUCGUGUGUUGUUGUGAGCCUAUGGAAUGGCUAUUGAACUGAAUUUGUGUUAUGGAUUUGGUUAGUGUACAAUGUUGGGUUGGAUUGAGUAGGAAUAAAGCCAUAAAUGGCUGGAAAAUUAGGUAAACACAAAGGGCAUGCUGCCCAAAUUUACACUCGAGAACUAGGAAACGAGACUUGUAACUUGUGUAAAGGUUAAGUGAUUAUCACUUGAACUAGCGAGCACCUUUGCUACUUUGUUAUCGAGGGUUAUACGUUAAAAACCUAGACGAACUUGUACCCUUGAGGAAAAGAUAUAAUGGCCAAUGUAAACUUGUAUUUCCUGGUACUUUCAACUCAAGUGUUGUUCCCAAGUAUAUAUGCUACAAAAACCUUACGAUUUGAAAAGCGAGCAAGUGUUUCAUGUGACAGCCCCACCUUACCCUAAGGCGAACCAAAGGGUUCGGCGGACCGCCUGCCCAGCUCUCGCCAGGACUAACGGUUCGGUAUAGAACGAGCUAAUACAUCCCGAAACUUACCAACGCGGGAAAAAAAAUAAAUAAAAAAAAUAAAAUCGAAGUCGGCUAUAAAUAGUAACCGACCCGUCAGAACCCAACCAAAUACCAAGCAAACAUUCCCAUCUUGAAACUUAGCAUUUACAAGCCAAAGUGGCAUACAAAAGUAUUCAAAAAUGGAUACAUGUCUGGUUUGCCAAAUCAAAAGGAAAACAGUUCCCAAAAGUUCAUUUAGGAUUUUAAUACAUGAGCUAUACAAAAGAUAUGUUCAACUAGCUCAAUUUGGCAGCCAUUUGUCAAAUCCAGUCCAAAAGUAUUUAUUUUCCUGUAAGGAAAACAAAAAGGAAUAGAAAGGGGUGAGCUUGCGCUCAAUGAGGUACCAAACAUAUAGCAGAAAAAUAAUGGCAUUUCAUAUUUAACAAAUCAGAUACACAUGGCAGAUGUAAAGUAAAGUAACUAAUGAUUCACAUAGGAAGGAUACAGGUGGCUCUCAGGAGCCAAAUUUCCAGCGCAGUACUUGAUCCAAACCGGUUGACUCUCCGUCAAAGUAUAUAGAACCAACGCGUCCGUAGACCCACUUCGCACAGAAUUCCGUCCACCAAACACCCCUUUACCGGGCCCGCUCACCUCAACGAACAAAAAUGGUAAUACUCGAGUAUACCCGGAAUCAAGGGUCUCAAUAUCCAAAGAUCCCAAAAUAGACUACCGUGGUUCGUUAUCUAAUCGUCCAGGCCCUUGCCGGCCCGACUCGAAAAACUUAGCCACAGGAUUUGAGCUCAUAAGUCACAGAAAGGUCGUUGGAUACUAACCUCCAAACGACGUCCGAACAUAUACAAAUAACAGAUUCAAAUUUUGUAUAGUAAAUUGGCAUAUGAACAGACAAGAGAACGAGUGUGAUAAAGUACACCCUCGUCUCAAACAAAUUAAACAGAUUGCAGAGCAGAAAUCAAGUUAAACAGCAAUGGAGGGGAGUGGUACACUCACAGGCUCAACUUCAAAAAGUUUCACUUCAGAUUGGCCUUAAUCGCCAAGAAACCCUAAAAUAAUCAAAAUAAACUAAUUGAAGGUUUCAUAUUCAAAAUCGAGUAAACGGAAUGCACAAAUGAGGCUCGACUACACGUCGUACGCCUUGCCAAAAAAAAUACUAAUGCAAGGGUGCAAAAACAUGAUUUUCUUGGAAACGAAAAGGUAACAUGAAGACCUAGGCGCAAACAACCCAAAAGCCCUUUGCUCAAAUCACAAGUAAAUCCAACUAGCCUUCAAGUAAAAUUUCGGCAGCAUAUCCCUUAUGUUUACCUAUUUUACAGCCAUCAUGGCUUCAUUAUUUCCUCAAAUCAGUCCCAACAUCUCACACAAAAUUCAUCUCAUUUCCCCAAAAGCCGUUCACUAGGCUCAAAGUAGUACAAGUACAAAAGUUAGCUAGGAAAUGACCGGAAUAAGAGUAAGCCUUAAAACAUGUAAACAAGUACAAUGAGACUCGAUAACGAAUCAUAAAUCAAUGCCAAUUAUGACCCCAAUAGGGUUCCAUAAACAUAUACAAACAUUAGAGAAAACCAGAAAAUUCGGAAAUGCAAUUAGUUUUGGCCUUGAAAAAAUAGUUUUUGACCUCUUUUUGCGGUAAUGGUACCAAAUGCCCUAGAAUUAUCGGAUGAAGGUGUAAGACCCACCAUUUCGAAGCUAAAAGACAGGGCUACAACAUCACAGAAGAUACCUCAACCCAGUUUUGAGUGAAAACAGGUCAAAAAUGCAAGAUACCACAUCAAAAAUGUAAAACAGAUUCACCAAAACGCAUUCUAGCGGAAACAUCAUAACUCAGGCUCUACAAGUCCAAAUCUGGAAAUUCUAAAACCAGCUCAAAGCUAAGAAACAGGGCUAAAUUUCAUCAGAAGGCCUCAACAACAAAUUCGGAAGCAAUUCAGACCAAAACACCCAAUUACAGUCGCAAAUCUCGAUUUCGGGUAAAACCAGAACAGCAAUAGUAAUUUCGACUUAUCUCACUCUACGCUACUCCGAUUGACCUGAAAUUUUGUAGGACCCUAUAAAAUAUCAUUCCCUACAACUUUCAUGUUUUGAGCUAAGGCCAAUUCGGCCUCUAUCUAUGACCUAAAUUUCGGACAGAAUGAAGAACCAAGGAACCCUAAUUUUCCAGAUUUCUUCCAAAACAGAAAUUACUUGAAAUCUUCCACUUUUCCCACCUUCUAGAAUCAUUAUAUACCAUUUCCAAUCAUCAUACAUGACCACAUAAUCAUGUUCAUAUUAAAACAGAAAAAUCCCCAAAAAUAAUAAAACUUCACCAAUUCAACCAAAACCAAGAAAUAAUCCAUAAAAGUGCACCUUAUACCACCACUAAGCAUCAAUUAAGCAUCAUUAGAGGGAGGAGAGUGGUACUUUACGACUUACCUUUAAAACAAGAGAGGGAGAGCUAUGGAUCACCUUAACCUUCCAAAUAACUUCACCAAUCACCUCAAAACCACUUAGCAAAGAGAUUUUAUGGAAUGAUUUGGAGUUUUAUUGGUUGGAUUUGAAGAUUGAGCAAGAAAUAGAAGGAAGAAAUUGAGAGCUUUUCUUUCUUUCUUGAGCAAGAACAUUCGGCCAAGAAGCUUGCAAAAUGAAGUGAUUUUUGGCCAAUAAUUAAAUGGUAAAGUUAUGAAUAGUGCUCAAAUGGCAAGACUAAAUCUUAUGGUGACACUUGUCACCUUUUUAAUGCAAGUCUAUCACUUUGUUCCCUCUCACAUCAAUCCAAAUAGCUUCCUCUAUUUAUCUCUUAACACCCGAUAAAAUAAUUCCAGUAUCCAAAACUUAAUCUAGUUGGCCGAAAUUUUCCGAACUUUUCACACUAGUGGGUCCCACGUCCGGUAUACGCUCUUAAUUUCUCAAAAUCUAUUUGAUACUAGAAAAAUCAUCUGAAAAUUAUAUUUACUCAUAAAAUUUAUCUAGAAAAUUUUUCGGAUACAGAAAGUGCAGAAAACAAACCAUGAAAAAUGCGAAAACCUAGAAAAUGCAAAUUACGGGUUCUCACACUCUCUCCCCCUUAAAAGAAUUUCGCCCUCGAAAUUUUACUCUUCAAAUUUAAAGUAACCAAUGGCCUGUACCUUCUUCAUCUUCAGAGUCAGAAGAAACGAGAUUCUUCAUUCCAGUCCCUUUUCCACUUGACGGUCCAGGGUCGGUCUUGGUUGGUUGCUGGGUUCCUUUCUUUUCACGCGCUUUACUCGGGCAAUGAGCAAUUCGAUGCUCGGCGCUCCCACAGCACAGACAUCUCCCUCCUCUUUUCCAACAAUUCUCUUCAAAAUGAUUGGAUUUUCUACAAUAGCCACAAUAUGGGAGAGGAAUUGGGGUCCGAUCUCCUUGUGAGAUAUCCCUCAGUGGUUCUUUUUCCCUUGAGUUUCCUCCCGGCGUAUCCUCCUUAAGUGUCUCCAGAAUUGUCACACCCCUCGCUCCACGACCCUUCUUCGCCAAGGGCCUACCUUGCUCACCCUGUUCUGGCAAUUUACCCCUUUUCUUGCCCCUUUUCUUGGCAUGGAAGAUCGUCCCCUGUGGCCUUACAAUUCCUGCCCUUUGAGCUUCCUCUGGAGCCCCCAUAGCAGCAGUGUUUUGUGCCAUUGCUAAAGCCUCUUCGGAACUCCCUUCGUAUUCCCUUUUUAGCUCUAAGUUCUGGUGCAAGAGCUCAAUCUUUUCGGAAUACUCGUGCCUCCAUCGCCCUUCCCAGUAUUCGGCUAGUCUUCUUUGAACUUCUAUUUCGUCACGAAGUACCACGAUCUCCUGAUACAUAUUAACCCAAUGUGCCAUUUCACGGAGUCGCUGGAACUCAAAUAAUAGCCUGCCAGACAAAUCAAUGGGUCAUAAUAAAUUCUUAUGUAGGUGUGGUACUCUUGGUCCUGGUCUUUGUUCAACGGUUGUUUCCCUUUCUGCUCUUAAUUCUUGACCUCGCUCAGUUCCACGGCCACCACCAUGACCACGACUACAUCUUCCUUUCAUAUGAUAUAUAUAUUAUUUUAUUUUAUUAUAUAUAUAUUUUUUUCUCUCUUUUCUUUUCUUUUCCCCUAAAAGGUCAUUUAAUGAAUGAAUACAAUAAAGUGACUAAAAUAACAAAAUUUAGGGCACCAAAUACCUAAAUAAGCAUAUACACACAUAAUACACCACAUACAUAUCAGGGAAACAAAUGAUCAACGACACAAAUACGUAUCAAAGCAGGCAAUGAUUCAUAUACACCAAUACGCAAACCGACGGCAUGUAGUAACAAUAUACGAGCGAAUCAAAGAAAAGGGAUAUAUCGUCCCAAACCUUGCUAAAAUAACCCCGUCCGGUCUCUUACAUCACCUAUUACCCAAAUGAAAUAUCCACUAACCUCUUGGACUCAUUCCAGUCGAACAAAGCCUAUUCAUGUUCCCAAAAUGCAACUCUCACCUACGUAACACUGCCUCAUCUCUGGAGUACUCAGGCACAAGAAUCCGAAAUAAGACAAUUCACCUCUCGGGCUGGCCAGUCCCAAGAGAAAACUAUCUACAAUCGAAAUUCCUACCAGACGUACCUAUCUAUGGUCCUCAAUUACCACGGGAAAGAUUUAAGGCCUAUAAUGUUCACAAUUCAGAGCUUAGGCUCAAACGAGCACUUAUUCCUUCAUACCUAUUCACCACUUAGUCCAGGCUCACUCCGCGCAGAGACCACGCGAAGCAGGCUCUGACACCACCUGUGACAGCCCCACCUUACCCUAAGGCGAACCAAAGGGUUCGGCGGACCGCCUGCCCAGCUCUCGCCAGGACUAACGGUUCGGUAUAGAACGAGCUAAUACAUCCCGAAACUUACCAACGCGGGAAAAAAAAUAAAUAAAAAAAAUAAAAUCGAAGUCGGCUAUAAAUAGUAACCGACCCGUCAGAACCCAACCAAAUACCAAGCAAACAUUCCCAUCUUGAAACUUAGCAUUUACAAGCCAAAGUGGCAUACAAAAGUAUUCAAAAAUGGAUACAUGUCUGGUUUGCCAAAUCAAAAGGAAAACAGUUCCCAAAAGUUCAUUUAGGAUUUUAAUACAUGAGCUAUACAAAAGAUAUGUUCAACUAGCUCAAUUUGGCAGCCAUUUGUCAAAUCCAGUCCAAAAGUAUUUAUUUUCCUGUAAGGAAAACAAAAAGGAAUAGAAAGGGGUGAGCUUGCGCUCAAUGAGGUACCAAACAUAUAGCAGAAAAAUAAUGGCAUUUCAUAUUUAACAAAUCAGAUACACAUGGCAGAUGUAAAGUAAAGUAACUAAUGAUUCACAUAGGAAGGAUACAGGUGGCUCUCAGGAGCCAAAUUUCCAGCGCAGUACUUGAUCCAAACCGGUUGACUCUCCGUCAAAGUAUAUAGAACCAACGCGUCCGUAGACCCACUUCGCACAGAAUUCCGUCCACCAAACACCCCUUUACCGGGCCCGCUCACCUCAACGAACAAAAAUGGUAAUACUCGAGUAUACCCGGAAUCAAGGGUCUCAAUAUCCAAAGAUCCCAAAAUAGACUACCGUGGUUCGUUAUCUAAUCGUCCAGGCCCUUGCCGGCCCGACUCGAAAAACUUAGCCACAGGAUUUGAGCUCAUAAGUCACAGAAAGGUCGUUGGAUACUAACCUCCAAACGACGUCCGAACAUAUACAAAUAACAGAUUCAAAUUUUGUAUAGUAAAUUGGCAUAUGAACAGACAAGAGAACGAGUGUGAUAAAGUACACCCUCGUCUCAAACAAAUUAAACAGAUUGCAGAGCAGAAAUCAAGUUAAACAGCAAUGGAGGGGAGUGGUACACUCACAGGCUCAACUUCAAAAAGUUUCACUUCAGAUUGGCCUUAAUCGCCAAGAAACCCUAAAAUAAUCAAAAUAAACUAAUUGAAGGUUUCAUAUUCAAAAUCGAGUAAACGGAAUGCACAAAUGAGGCUCGACUACACGUCGUACGCCUUGCCAAAAAAAAUACUAAUGCAAGGGUGCAAAAACAUGAUUUUCUUGGAAACGAAAAGGUAACAUGAAGACCUAGGCGCAAACAACCCAAAAGCCCUUUGCUCAAAUCACAAGUAAAUCCAACUAGCCUUCAAGUAAAAUUUCGGCAGCAUAUCCCUUAUGUUUACCUAUUUUACAGCCAUCAUGGCUUCAUUAUUUCCUCAAAUCAGUCCCAACAUCUCACACAAAAUUCAUCUCAUUUCCCCAAAAGCCGUUCACUAGGCUCAAAGUAGUACAAGUACAAAAGUUAGCUAGGAAAUGACCGGAAUAAGAGUAAGCCUUAAAACAUGUAAACAAGUACAAUGAGACUCGAUAACGAAUCAUAAAUCAAUGCCAAUUAUGACCCCAAUAGGGUUCCAUAAACAUAUACAAACAUUAGAGAAAACCAGAAAAUUCGGAAAUGCAAUUAGUUUUGGCCUUGAAAAAAUAGUUUUUGACCUCUUUUUGCGGUAAUGGUACCAAAUGCCCUAGAAUUAUCGGAUGAAGGUGUAAGACCCACCAUUUCGAAGCUAAAAGACAGGGCUACAACAUCACAGAAGAUACCUCAACCCAGUUUUGAGUGAAAACAGGUCAAAAAUGCAAGAUACCACAUCAAAAAUGUAAAACAGAUUCACCAAAACGCAUUCUAGCGGAAACAUCAUAACUCAGGCUCUACAAGUCCAAAUCUGGAAAUUCUAAAACCAGCUCAAAGCUAAGAAACAGGGCUAAAUUUCAUCAGAAGGCCUCAACAACAAAUUCGGAAGCAAUUCAGACCAAAACACCCAAUUACAGUCGCAAAUCUCGAUUUCGGGUAAAACCAGAACAGCAAUAGUAAUUUCGACUUAUCUCACUCUACGCUACUCCGAUUGACCUGAAAUUUUGUAGGACCCUAUAAAAUAUCAUUCCCUACAACUUUCAUGUUUUGAGCUAAGGCCAAUUCGGCCUCUAUCUAUGACCUAAAUUUCGGACAGAAUGAAGAACCAAGGAACCCUAAUUUUCCAGAUUUCUUCCAAAACAGAAAUUACUUGAAAUCUUCCACUUUUCCCACCUUCUAGAAUCAUUAUAUACCAUUUCCAAUCAUCAUACAUGACCACAUAAUCAUGUUCAUAUUAAAACAGAAAAAUCCCCAAAAAUAAUAAAACUUCACCAAUUCAACCAAAACCAAGAAAUAAUCCAUAAAAGUGCACCUUAUACCACCACUAAGCAUCAAUUAAGCAUCAUUAGAGGGAGGAGAGUGGUACUUUACGACUUACCUUUAAAACAAGAGAGGGAGAGCUAUGGAUCACCUUAACCUUCCAAAUAACUUCACCAAUCACCUCAAAACCACUUAGCAAAGAGAUUUUAUGGAAUGAUUUGGAGUUUUAUUGGUUGGAUUUGAAGAUUGAGCAAGAAAUAGAAGGAAGAAAUUGAGAGCUUUUCUUUCUUUCUUGAGCAAGAACAUUCGGCCAAGAAGCUUGCAAAAUGAAGUGAUUUUUGGCCAAAUUUAAUUAAAUGGUAAAGUUAUGAAUAGUGCUCAAAUGGCAAGACUAAAUCUUAUGGUGACACUUGUCACCUUUUUAAUGCAAGUCUAUCACUUUGUUCCCUCUCACAUCAAUCCAAAUAGCUUCCUCUAAUUAUCUCUUAACACCCGAUAAAAUAAUUCCAGUAUUCAAAACUUAAUCUAGUUGGCCGAAAUUUCCGAACUUUUCACACUAGUGGGUCCCACGUCCGGUAUACGCUCUUAAUUUCUCAAAAUCUAUUUGAUACUAGAAAAAUCAUCUGAAAAUUAUAUUUACUCAUAAAAUUUAUCUAGAAAAUUUUCCGGAUACAGAAAGUGCAGAAAACAAACCAUGAAAAAUGCGAAAACCUAGAAAAUGCAAAUUACGGGUUCUCACAUUUCACGAAUGUCUUUCAAAUGAAUUUCAAUUGGUUGAUUCUUGAUGAACGGAACGUUUAAGUUUCGAAUCUUACUCGUGUUUCAAAGUUCUCAAAUUGGAUUUUUAUCGCAGAUAUGGACUCCAAACCUGGAGUAUAAUUGAACGUGAAUACUUGAAGCACUAUGAUACGUUCCUCGAUCCACGGUCGAGACCCGUAGCACGUUUGCCCAAGGAUCUAGCGGGGAUGUCCUACGCUUGGUUUGCGGAACCUUUACUCAAACGGACAACUCGAUUUGAUUGGAGGUGGUAGAUGACACUCCGAUGAAGGUGAAUACUCCAGGGGAAUAGGUCGGAUGAACAAUCAAGGACAGGACGCGAGAUUGCUCAAUAACCCUUGCCAAGCAAGUUAAAGGCACGAAUUCUUUAUGAAAGAAAACGAAUGCACUAAGAAUUUUAUUAAUCAAAAGCUACCCUUAACCUUACAAAGCUAGCCUAUUUAUAGGCUAAGGAAAACAAUAAAGAAACCCUAAGUAAUCCUAAAGGGGUGGUCGGCCAUCUUAGUGUAAGGUGGGCCGGCCCAUUCUACUAAGUAAGCUAUUCCAAUAAGUGUCAAAGGCUAAGGCCCUACUCGGCCGAAUCCCUUGGAGACCCACUGGAGUCGUCAUGGGCUUGGAUCAAGGUGUAAUUGGUCCAGUGGUCUUUCUCUAAGCCCUCAAUAUCUUUGUGAACUCCAUGUUGGUCUUGGACGACUCUCACCAGGGCUUGGAGUGAUUCUUUGAACAGCUUGGCCCGUGAACGUGUGACUGGGCCCAGUGGGACUCGGACUGGGUCAUCGCGUGGGCCGAGGCCCGUGCACACAUCAGUCCCCUCCUCUUGAGAAGGAUUUGCCCUCAAAUCUGGAUCCUGCUCGUCAAGCAAUGGGCUGAGGUCCCCAACGUUGAAGGUUGCACUAACGUUGUAGUCCCCAGGCAGCUCCAAUUUGUAUGCAUUGUCAUUGACCCGUUGGAGUACCCGAAAUGGUCCAUCCCCUCUUGGGGAUAAUUUGCUUUGCCGUUGCUUGGGGAAACGCUCUUUUCUUAAGUGUAGCCACACCCAAUCUCCAGGCUCAAAAAUCAUCUUGCGGCAGUGCUUGUUGGCUUGUUGGAUGUAUUGCUGCGUGCGCUUCUCGAUGUUUGCUCGCACAGCUUCAUGUAACCUGCGUACAAAACCAGCUUUCUUUUCCCCAUCUAAGCUUGUUUGCUCAGAGGAAGGUAAGGGCACCAGAUCAAGGGGGGUGAGGGGGUUGAAGCCAUAAACAAUCUCAAAGGGAGAAUAUUGAGUUGCACUAUGCACAGUGCGAUUGUAGGCAAAUUCAACAUGAGGUAAGCACUCUUCCCAAGACUUAAGAUUCUUUUUAAUCAAGGCCCGAAGUAAAGUGCCAAGUGUGCGAUUGACAACUUCAGUUUGUCCAUCGCUUUGAGGAUGACUAGUGGUGGAAAAUAAUAACCUAGUGCCAAGUUUGGACCACAAGGUCUUCCAAAAGUAACUCAGGAACUUCACAUCCCUGUCACUAACAAUAGUCCUAGGCAUGCCAUGCAGACGGACAAUCUCUUUGAAAAAUAAAGUAGCAACAUGAGAUGCAUCAUCAGUUUUGUGACAAGGAAUAAAAUGCGCCAUCUUAGAAAAUCUAUCAACCACAACAUAGAUGGAGUCAUUACCCCUUGGUGAUCGAGGCAAUCCUAAUACAAAGUCCAUAGACAAGUCAAUCCAGGGAUGGUGUGGAAUAGGUAAUGGGGUAUACAAGCCAUAUGGAUUUGUCUUAGACUUUGCCUUGUGGCAAGUAGCACACCUACCAACCAUGCGUUCAACAUCUCUACGCAUAUGGGGCCAGUAAAAGUGCUCUUGCAACAUGGCUAGAGUCUUGGCGAUGCCAAAGUGGCCCAUGAGACCACCACUAUGUGCCUCUCGGAUCAAAAGGUCACGAAUGGAAGAAUUAGGCACACACAAUUUAUCUACAUGGAAUAGAAAUCCAUCAUGCAAAAAGUACUUUCCAUGCGGGUUCUUAACACAAGCAGCAUAGAUAUCACCAAAGUCAUGAUCAUGUGUAUAGAGUUCCUUAACCAUUUCGAACCCUAGUAACUUGGCAUCCAGAAGUGCCAGCAAUGAAUGUCUACGUGAUAAUGCAUCAGCCACUACAUUCGUUUUGCCAGUCUUAUAUUUAAUGACAUACGAAAAGGUGUCAAUGAAGCUUACCCAUUUGGCAUGUCGCUUGCUUAGCUUGGGCUGUCCCUUGAGGUACUUCAAUGACUCGUGAUCAGUGUGUAUCACGAACUCCCGAGGGCGAAGAUAGUGUUGCCAAGUCUCCAAGGCCCUCACUAGUGCGUACAACUCCUUGUCGUACGUGGGGUAGUUUAACGCAGCCCCUCCCAGUUUCUCGCUGAAGAAGGCACACGGCCUCUUGUCUUGCAUAAGGACUGCUCCAAUACCUACACCAGAAGCAUCACAGUCAAUUUCAAAGGUCUUGUGAGAGUUUGGUAAUGCUAACACAGGGGCAUGGGUGAGUGUGUCCUUAAGGGCGAGGAACGCUUGUUCUUGGGAUUCCCCCCAGUGGAACUUGUCAUCCUUCUUUGUCACGGCGGUCAAUGGGGCGGCAAUGGUGCUAAAGUUUUUGACAAAUCGCCGAUAAAAACCCACCAAUCCAAGAAAGCUGCGCACGUCAGGAACGGAUGUAGGGGUUGGCCAUUGCUCGAUGGCCUCAAUCUUGGAUUUGUCCACCUUGAUGCCCUGCGAACUCACAACAUAGCCUAGAAACACAAGCUCGUUAGUACAAAAGGUGCACUUUUUGAGGUUAGCGUAUAGACGCGCCUGUCGAAGUGCCUCGAGGACUAAUCUUACAUGCUCCAGGUGCUCAUGCUCACUACGACUAUAGAUCAGAAUGUCAUCAAAGUAAACAAUGACAAAUUUACCAAUAAAAUGUCUCAAAACAUGGUUCAUGAGGCGCAUGAAGGUGCUAGGGGCGUUAGUCAAACCAAAAGGCAUAACUAACCACUCAUAGAGACCAUGUUUGGUUUUGAAGGCUGUCUUCCAUUCAUCGCCUUCCUUCAUCCUAAUUUGAUGAUAGCCACUCCUCAAGUCAAUCUUGGUGAAAAUAAUAGCACCAUCGAGUUCAUCCAACAUAUCAUCAAGUCUAGGAAUGGGAUGCCGAUAUUUGACAGUGAUAGCAUUCACAGCCCGGCAGUCAGUGCACAUGCGCCAAGUGCCAUCCUUUUUGGGGACAAGGACCACAGGCACAGCGCAGGGACUUAGACUCUCCUUCACCCAUCCCUUACCUAACAGGCCAUCUACUUGCCUUUGAAGCUCCUUGGUCUCCUCGGGACCCAUGCGGUAGGCAGGUUUGUUGGGUAAUGGUGCUCCAGGAACGAGGUCGAUUUGGUGUUCAAUUCCCCGAAUGGGUGGUAAGCCAUCAGGGACCUCGUCAGGGAAAACAUCCUCAAAUUCCUGCAAGAGAGCCACUAUGCUUGCAGGCAGCGCCUUGUCGAGUUCAGCAACAUCUAAGAGCACAUGCUUGCAAAUCAUGAGAAGUAUAGGCUGAUUAGAGUUUACCACUUUUCUAACAUCUUUAGCCUUAAUAAUCAUGUUAUGCUUCCUAGUGGGAGGUGCGGCAGGUGGUUUGUCGCGUAGACCCCUAGGUGUGCUCCCUUGAUCCUUGGUUGAUGGCUCAGUCGUAGAUGUGGAGCCUUGACCAAGGUCGACCGCCUUGAGUUUCCUCCUUUGACGGUCUUGUUCACACUCUCUUUGCAACAGUAGUUGGUCCUCAUAAACUUGUGCAGGCAUGAGAGGUGUAAGGACCUUACGUUUGCCAUCGUGCAAAAGUGUGUACUUAUUUGCUCUUCCAUCGAAUGUGACGUGUUUGUCAAAUUGCCAGGGCCUUCCCAAGAUGAUAUGUGUAGCAUGCAUUGGCACUACGUCGCACACGAUUUCAUCAAUGUAGGUACCAAUGGAGAAGGGAAUGCGUACUUGUUUGAAGACUCGUACUUCACCAUCCUCACUUAGCCAUUGGAGGCGGUAAGGAUGUGGAUGCCUGGUAGUGGUGAGUCCUAGACUUUCAACCAUGAGCAAACUGGCCACGUUCGUGCAACUUCCACCGUCGAUGAUGAGACUACAGACUUUGUCUCCUACCUUACAGCGGGUGUAGAAUAGGUUUUCGCGUUGUAGCUGCUCAUCCUCCUUGACGCGGGCGGUUAGCACUCGUCGUGCUACUAGGCAACCUACUUCUCCUCGUGUAGGCGAGCAAGCCUCCCCAGCUGGCUCUUCUUCCAGGCAGUCAUCUUCUACUAGUUCGGGCACGUCAUCACAUUCGUCAUCAUCCGACACGAUUUCGCCAUUGUGAGUUAUCAGCAUUACCCGUUGGUUUGGACAUUGAGAUUGAAUAUGCCCAAACCCUUGGCACUUAAAGCAUUUGAUGUCCCUACUCCUAGCUUUAGGAGUUUCUUGCGGUGCCUUAGAAGUAGACCUGGACACAUCAGAAACCUUGUUAGGUGUAGAAUAGGCAUUACGGGUAGAAGCAUUACCUUGGAAACGGUUAGAAUAGUUUGAUGUUGUUGCAUUUCCAGCUUCGUGGGUCACUCUUCGUGGUUGGUUGCCUUUCCACGAGGUGGUGGUGGAAGGUUGGAAAGUACGGCCUCCUCGUCUUAAUUUCUUCCCCCAUUCGGCCUUAAUGGCAAGUUCUAGAAGGUCGUGCAUGUCCAAGUAAUGUUGAAGCUCCAAGGCAUCCUGAAGGUCAGGGUUGAGACCCCUAAGAAACCUAGCCAUUGUGGCUUCAUUGUCUUCUUGAAUGUUGGCCCUCAUCAUGGCCAUCUCGAUUUCUUUGUGGUAAUCCUCCACACUCAUGUUGCCUUGCGUGAGUGUUUGCAGCUUAGAGUGGAGAUCACGAUUGUAGUAGCUAGGAACAAACCGCUUGCGCAUUAGUGCCUUGAGUUCUCGCCAAGUCCGGACACGGGGUUCUCCCAUCCUCCUCCUCGUGGUCCUCACUUGGUCCCACCAGACGAGUGCGUAGUCGGUGAACUCCACGGUGGCAACCUUCACUUUUUGUUCCUCGCUAUAGUCGUAGCAGUCGAAGACCAUCUCGAUGCGGCCUUCCCACUCCAAGUAAGCCUCAGGGUCACUUUUGCCUUUGAAUGCGGGAACUUGUAUUUUAAGCCCCUUGAUUUCGUUUUUGGGCAUGUCCCUUGUAGGCCUCUCAGGUCGUUCAUCAUCCUCACUAGCGGAGUAGUCUUCGCCAUUUGGGUCUUUGGUACCAUGGUUACUCCGGUUAUGGGACCGAGAACGAGAGCCUCGCGUAAGGCUCCUAGACAAUUCAUCAAAACGAGUGUGUAGUGUCUCCAUCUGUUGCUCACUUAUUCGCCUGAGCUCAUUCUUCAUGGCGGCGAAUAAUAAGGAAGGAUCAGUGGUUACUUGUUGUUGAUGGUGGUGUGGUUGCUCCAUGCUUCCCUUGUUGCCCCUGCAAAGGUUAGAAGAAACAAAGAAAAUGCAAAUAUAGUACUCACUUCACUCCCUUAGUGUAUCCCUCACGCUCGUGUGUAGUGUGCAAGUCACUCUAUAAAGCUUACCAAGUACCUUACCUGUUGGUUUAGGUAGUUGAGUAAUGUUGCUCGAGUCCAAUAAUUGUCACCAACUUAUCCCCCACAAGAGUACACAAGAAUUCUUUGUUGUUGGUGAAGGGAAGGACGGUUUUGGGAAAGCUUAAAGGCGGUGGACAGAUUUGGAAAGUACGGCCAAGAAAGGAAACUCUAAGAAUCCUAAGAUGUAGGAGUGGUUUCCUAAAAAGGAUGAGAAAAUAUAGUAGGAUAUCCUAAAAUGGAGGAGAAAAUAUAGGAGAUGUCCAAGAGUUAUCCAAGUAUAUUACUUAGUCUCCUAAACGAAGUGGGAAAACAAGUUGGAGUUGGAAACUUCCUAAUUCUUCUCAAGACAGAUUCGGUUCCUCCUCUCUCUUACCCGCAAGCUUCCAGAAAUUUCCCUCACAAAAACCACCCCAAGGUCGGUGCAAAUCCCACUCACGAACCAGAAUUGGAACCCUAAAAUUUCCAGAAUUCCUCCCUCUUAUUCCUUUCCUAAGGUCGGCUACAAGAAACCUUAGAAGGCCUCUUAAGCAGCCGCCCACUAUGCUCACAACACAAACCAGAAUUGGGCCACUGAAAUUUCCAGAUUUCUUCCUUCUUGAAACCCUUCCCUAAGUCGGUUAUCCUUCCUAUAAGACUCCCUCUUCACAGCCGCGACUUACCCCAAACAAUUCGGCUCUCUCUCUACUCCAAGAACAAGAAAUUCGCCCCUCUUUCUAACAAGGCAGUUUCGGUUCUUGGCACUCCAGAAAUUCUGCUCCAAUGGACUCCCAAGGUCAAGCAAGUGAUGUUACUCAAGAAUCUCCCAAGAAAUUCACACUUAAGCCAAGAAAGCCUCGUAUGGAUGCAAGAUCUUACAAGAAACUCUUUAUUCGAAGAGAGGUGCAAGUCUUCAAGACUCAAGAUGGUCAAGAGCCUCAACGAAGAGUUGUGCAAGUGAUCAAGAAUCAAGAAGUUCAAGAAGAGGUUGGUCAAAACUUUUGAGUUCCCCCUUUUUUUUUUCUCUUGAUGUAAUUUCUGGGUUGUGUAUACGGUACAAUAAGACAGAUUUGGCAAUAAAAGUGCGGUGUUCCCUCUUGGGUUUCUUGUUACCCGAUGGCUCUCUUUUUUUUCCUCUUCGGUUCUGUUUUCUUUUGCUUUGGGUUUUUUUUUUUUUCCUCACUUGGUAAUAGACUACACCUGACCGAAUGAGUAAAACAAUCCCAGAAACAAGGUCUGCCCGAAACACACAAGAACGCACCACCCUACUCCCUCAAACUAACAAAGUUUUCCGACUUUCAAGAAAUUCAAGAGAGUGUUCAAGAACUUCAAGAACCCUACAAACCUUGCGGGUGCUAUUCAAGAUUCACCAACCCAACAAGUUUUUACCCCCAAAUCAGUUUAGACAAGGUAAGCAAACAACUUGGUUAAUCAAUAACUACUUGGACAGAUUCGGACAAACAACAAAACCCUAGCCGCAAAACCCUAGCCGCGCCUGUUUUGUUUUGUUUUGUUUUUUUUUUUAUUUUGUAUGCAGAUUCGGCAAGGCUAAUUGCUGGGCAGAAUGGAUGUCACUAGAGUAUGAAAUCUGGGCAGAUUUGGACUAACAAAUAACACACAGCUGUCCAGAAAUUUGAUGCGACAACAACAAGAACUAGCGAACAGAAUUUUUUUUUUUUUGACGAACAAAACAGCAACGGACAGACUUGCAGACUCAAAACGAACAAAUAUGGAAACGUAAAACAAAACAAAAGCAACGACCAGAAUUCUAGAGAACAAACGAAGGAAACGGCUCAACAAGUAACAAUUCGAACAGAAAAAUAUAUAUAUAUAUAUAUAUAUUUUUUUUUAACAAACAAGGCAGCGGAAAAUUAGGGAAAACUAAGACAAGACGACGGAUAUAACGGAAGAUACCUCCACCAAAGCUCUGAAGCCAACUGAUACGUUCCUCGAUCCACGGUCGAGACCCGUAGCACGUUUGCCCAAGGAUCUAGCGGGGAUGUCCUACGCUUGGUUUGCGGAACCUUUACUCAAACGGACAACUCGAUUUGAUUGGAGGUGGUAGACGACACUCCGAUGAAGGUGAAUACUCCAGGGGAAUAGGUCGGAUGAACAAUCAAGGACAGGACGCGAGAUUGCUCAAUAACCCUUGCCAAGCAAGUUAAAGGCACGAAUUCUUUAUGAAAGAAAACGAAUGCACUAAGAAUUUUAUUAAUCAAAAGCUACCCUUAACCUUACAAAGCUAGCCUAUUUAUAGGCUAAGGAAAACAAUAAAGAAACCCUAAGUAAUCCUAAAGGGGUGGUCGGCCAUCUUAGUGUAAGGUGGGCCGGCCCAUUCUACUAAGUAAGCUAUUCCAAUAAGUGUCAAAGGCUAAGGCCCUACUCGGCCGAAUCCCUUGGAGACCCACUGGAGUCGUCAUGGGCUUGGAUCAAGGUGUAAUUGGUCCAGUGGUCUUUCUCUAAGCCCUCAAUAUCUUUGUGAACUCCAUGUUGGUCUUGGACGACUCUCACCAGGGCUUGGAGUGAUUCUUUGAACAGCUUGGCCCGUGAACGUGUGACUGGGCCCAGUGGGACUCGGACUGGGUCAUCGCGUGGGCCGAGGCCCGUGCACACAUCACACUAUAUUUUGGGUGAGUGAUCCCUCGACUGUUUCCAAAGUUGCUUUUGAACUAAUUCUUGCAUUUAUUACUCCAUUGCAUAUCAUUUGGGGUUCGGGUGUGUGCCAUGACGUAAUUUGGCUCCAAUGAGUUCCUGAAAAGUCUUGUGCUUAGAACCAAUGUCUCCACUACUGUUUACACAUUCUUUGUAGCACGAUGGCUCCUUACUUUUGUUUCACGGUUACCUGAUCUAAACGAGCAUUGGAUAUUUAAGUACAAGAACUUCACUGGCUCUCGUGAGCAAUAAAUGUAUAUUUGAUCUCUGAAUCAUGACAUCAUUGAAAUACACUAUUGUGAAAUAUAUUUGCUUACUGAUUUUACUGGUCACUCGCUGAGCUUCUAGCUCACCCCCUAUUAUCUACUUCUCCCCACAGGGAUCGAAGUAAAGGAGAUCUUGUAUUUGGAUCUCUGUGUGACUGGAUGGCGUACAUCUUGUAUAGUUUAGAUUUGGUUUUGGUUUAUGUACUUUUGGGCCUGUAUAAAUAUUUGGAAUUGAAGCGGAUGUAUAUCUACAUUCUAUGCUUAGAACUAGUUUCCGCUUCGCUUAUGAUAUGUAAUUUUUGGAGAAUUGGAUGUUAUUUGUGGUUCAUGAAUGGGUGUACAUGAUUCGAGUUCCAUAGUGAGUGAGUCCUGGCGAGAGUUGGGCAGGCGAUCCGCCGAACCCUUUGGUAACUCUUAGGGAGAAGUGGGGUCGUCACAAUGUCUGCCGUGACUUUGCUUGUGGCUAUGUUUCUGUUGGGUUUUUGAGAAUUUGAAGUAUGUGUGCCUUAUGAGUUGAUUGGGUUAAAUUUUCUUGGGUUGCUGACAAAUUUCCGGGGCUAAUUACAGUUUCAAUUAAGCAAGAAUUGCUGAAAUUAUCUAUGCCCGUUUUGACAAAUGCCCGACUGAAAAUUAUGCCUGAAGGGUGAUUGGCUUGUGUCUUGUAUGUGAGGGAAAUGGAUAUUCGGUCAAUUUAAUACAUGUCUGGGUAUGGUAGUUGGUUUCUAGGACAGAAAUGAAAGUUUCUUUUAAUUUUGAUGUGUUUUCUUUGCGCACUUUUUCUGUUUUUUCUGCUUUCUUUGAGUCCGGAUUACAUAUUGAGAUUGGGAGAGGGGAAGCUUGUGCGAGUUUCAGGAAUGGUUAGAGUUGAAGUUGAACUUUCUGUUGUUUUCUAUUUGCAAAGAAGAACGAAACAGCAACUGAUAAUUUGCCCGUUUGGAGAAGACGAUUGUUUGUGUAGUUUGUGAUUUCAGUCCCGUGAUUUCCCAUUUCUUUGUAAUUUGUCUCCCCAAAAUUUUUAGAACUUCAUAAUUUCGACCCCAACGUCUUCAUGAUUCCUACAAUUAGGUCCCUAUCUUGUUGUAAUUGAACCUCUCAAGUUUCCCCUUUAUUCUGAUAUAGCCCAAAGAACUGGAAAAGUUAAGUUUAUUUCUCCCUUUUAGAUUUUAAUCAUCUUUUAAUAUGCAUGAGUAGUCUUUUAACUAGAUUAAUUCUUGUUUUCAGGAUAUAUUUGUGGCUUAAUAAUUUUUGUUGAUUUUAUCAUGUUAGGGUGCUUGUGAAACAAGUGAUUUGGGUUAAGAGGUUAUUUGUGUUUGGGUUUAAGGAAGUGGGCUUAGUCUAUUUUUGUGGGGUUUCUAGCUUGGGCUUAGGAGGUAAAAUCCCACUCUUUAGGGUUGGGUUUGUUUUGUUGGAAAGUGAAGGCUAGCCGCCGGUUUUCUUGGGGCUUUCGACCGGGCUUAGAGAGCCUCGGCCCAAACAAAUAAAAUGGCCCAAUGGCCUGGUUGAGUAAGAAUCUGGUAACUGGAUUUGCAAAUCAGUCCUUGAAUUUUUCCUUAACUAUACUGUGGCCCUAGAAACUUUAGGCUUCUUUCAAUUGGGUCCUUAUUUUAAUUGCAAAUGAGUCCCUAAACUUUGUUUUUCUUUAAUUUUGACCUCAAAACUUUGUUAAUUUUUGCAAUCAAGUCCUUUCUUCUUUUG
RNAcentral lists this long non-coding RNA (130938 nucleotides) under Coffea arabica (coffee). Its description in RNAcentral is "long non-coding RNA (CARA_LNC002265)". Lineage: Eukaryota; Viridiplantae; Streptophyta; Magnoliopsida; Gentianales; Rubiaceae. The record is from RNAcentral.